This 129808-nucleotide long non-coding RNA is filed under the name Cucumis sativus (cucumber). Its description in RNAcentral is "long non-coding RNA (CSAT_LNC000427)". The stretch from base 117654 to 117725 matches the Rfam family "tRNA". The record is from RNAcentral. Lineage: Eukaryota; Viridiplantae; Streptophyta; Magnoliopsida; Cucurbitales; Cucurbitaceae.
UUUUUUUUUUUUUUUUUUUUUUUUUGUCGACAAAUUCGAUAGUUUUAUUUGGUCCUAGUCGUGUGGGGUUUGAUACUAAUUGUUAGUUCAAUGUUAUUUAAAUAGAUUUCAUAUGCAAAACUCUUCCUCUUUCUUUCUCUCUUUCGUUUAUUUUUUGUUGACCAAUUCGAUAGUCUAUAUGUUACAAAUAACAAAUGAACAUUUGGUGAGUAAAAAAAUGUCAAACCACACCAAAUUUUAGAUCUAGAAUGAAGAGCAAUAUGUAGGUGUAAAUUGGCAUGUGACAAUUUUUUAUUAAGUGCAGUACUAUGGUUGGUUGUAUCCUGAUUCUUUCAUUAAGAUUAAAGGUUAGUUAGGUUUAUAGAGCCUCUAUCAACUUAACUAUCAUUUAUCAAUGGCCAUGAUGUAAAUUUAUUAUUCACCACACAUCUUUGGUAUAUAGAGCAUGUGAAUGUUAAGCUUUGUACUCAAUUGGAGUCUAGGCAGAAUGCGUUUAAAACAGGUGAAGUGUUGUAUUAAGUAGCUCCAAUUUUAAAUACGAGAUUAUGUUUGGAUUGUAAGUAUAAAAAAACUAAGAAUGUGGUGCAUAAAUGUAAUAUAACUUCAUAAUUUAUUAGUGUUCAUCGAUGACAUUAAUAGACAUCGAUACAAAUUCAUCCGUGUUUAUCACGGAUAAAUUUUGCUAUAUUUGUAUACAUAACCAAUAAUCAAUAUCCAUCCAUCAUUAUAUUCUCAAUUACUUUAAAUUUGUUAUUUUUAUUUAUUUCAACUUAGUUAGGUUCAAGUAAUCUUUCUAAUUAUUAAAUAUAACUCAAGUUCAAAAAUUAAAUUUUUGUUAAUAAUAGAUUGACUAUUUCAAUUAUGUAAAGCAAUGACUAUGUCAAAAAUGAAACCUGAAUUUAAUAUAAAUAUUUUAGACUUCUAGAGGUUUAAAUUGGAUAUGAUAUCUGUUUUUAUGUUUAUCUCUAAACUUUUAUAAAUAUUGGUCGAAUCUAAAAUUUUGAUAUAUUUUAUAAAUGUUUUUUUAUUUAUUUUCUUAAUUUUAAAAAUGUCUAAAAAAUUAUUUUAGUGAUUUUAUUCUAUAGAAGGUAAAUAUUUUGUGACGUUUUUAUACUUUUAAAAAACGUCAAUUAAAUAUUUUUGAUUUUACUAAUUUAAUAAAAGUUCAAAUGGAACUCAUUUGAAAUUAAAUUUUUUUAAAAAAAUUAAACAACUUAUUUGUUAUCAAUUUUAAUUUCACUAAAAUUGAUGAAAUUCCACAUUGUAGAGAGUAAGAAUGUGCAAAUGUAGAAGUAUUUAUUUAUUUUGAAAAGAACAUACAACAAGAAGUUAAUCCCAAAAUCAAACAAUCUAAAACUCAACCUUUAGAUUUAGACUUAAUAUACAAUACAUAAUUUUGUAAAUAAUUUGAAGUGUUGAAUUGAAAUAAGACAAUGUGGAAAUUUGAGCAAAUAAUUCAAAAACAAAACUUCAAUGAUUGACCAAAGCCCACAAAAGCAAAAAGCAUUAAUUUAUUCAAUUUUGGCAUCCAAAGUUGCAAAGAAAAAUUAAUUUAUCAUAUCUUCACGAGGAAAAAGGCAAAGGUACCCUUACAUUAAAGACAAUCUACUUCUUUGUUGAGGGUCACUUGAGUAAUUUCAGAUAUUGAUGUACUUGGAGAUGGUUGAAUAGAAGAAGAAGAGGCACCGACACCUUUGGAGGAACCACACCCUCACACCCUCACACCUUUCCCUAUUUCUCUUUUUAAAAAUACUUCUUUUUCUUUUUGGAAUAUCUUAAUCAAUCAUUUUAUUAAACUCCAAACCACAAGAAGAAGAAAAAUAUUAUUUAAGAAACUUAGAAAGCAUUUCCUUUUCCUUUUCCAUUAACGAAAAAAUUUGAGAUUCUAAAUCAAUGAAAGUGAGGUGAGAGUUAUAAUAGGAUGUGUUUAUAUGUAGACUGUUGUCUUUGUUUUGAUAGAAAAUUGUGAAUAAUGAAAUAAGGUAGUGAAUGUUGUAGCCAAGAGUAAUUUGAAAUAGUAUUUAAGUUGCAUACACCAAUAUUAUAGUUGGGGCAACAGAAAAUGAAAUCACUUCACCAACUUCAAGUUAGUGUCCCAGAUGGCUCUACCAACUUUAAGUUUUUAUAAACUUUUAUUUUUUUUCUAUUCAAUAUUUUAAUUUUAAACUGUGUGUCUAACCUGUAUAUAUUUAUGGUUAAUUUUCAUAAUUAGAAUAAAACGACAAAGUAUUUACGAUCUAUAGAACAAUUUUAAAAAAAAAACUCAUUAAGACUGAUUAUUUUUUUAGAAUUUCAUAUUGACCUUUAAUUGUUUAUAAUGAUUUUUCAUUUUUGAUUCUUUCUCUUCUUCUCGAUUUUUUCGGUAUUAUUCUCUAUUCUUUACAGUUCUUGACGGCAUUUUUUCUUUUCAUCGCCUUUCUUCUUAUCUUUUGCAAUUUUUUCUUCUUCUUUCCAUCCUCUUUUUCUCUUUUUCUGCAAUUUUUAUUCAGAUUGUUAUUUGGUUCAAAAUCGUGUACCAAAUGUACAAUAUUUUUUUUUCAAAUUGUUAUUUAGGAUAUUGAAUAGCCAAAUCUAAACGAUCACAAAUUUAAACACCAAAUAAUAUUUUAAAAAGUUUAACCAAAUUUAAACGAUAGUCUACAAAAAUAGUCAAAUUUAAACGAUCGUGUAGCAAAAAAUAAAAUCGUUUAGAUUUUGAUACCCAAAUUUAAAUGAUUAUGUACCAAAUAUAAAUGAUUAUUUUUCAAAAAAAUCUUGAGAAAAUCGCAACGAUCAAUUAAACAAUCGUGUACAAAAAAAAUGUAAUUAAAAAAUCGUUUGGAUUUAUGUCCAAAUCUAAACAAUCAAAUUCUAAACGACGGUUUCUUAAAUAUAUUAGCUGCUUGAAUGUCAAAUUAAUUGAGGGUAUUUUUAAAAUUUUUUAUUGUGGCCUCCGAACUUUUUCCUUUUUCAAAAUUGUUGGGUGUAAAUAUUUUAUUUAUUAGUUUGUUCUAUUUUUUAAAACACCCCUCUUUUUGUUUACUGUAAUUUAAUUUAGAGAUUUAUUGGAAAAAAAAUAAAUAGAAGGAGAAAUUUAGAGACAAAACUCAAAUUUGUAUCCAAUGCAUCAAUUAAUUUUGAAAAUUUGUAAAUGUUCCAAAAAUGUAAUGAAUGCAAAAUUGAGAGUUAAAAAAGGGAUGGCAUUCUUUUUCUUUUUUUCUUUUUUUCUUUUUCUAAAAUCAAUUAUAAAUAUGAAACCAUUCAACACUUAUUAUUAUUGCUUUAUAUUAAAUCUGUAAAUUAUCUAUUUAUUUAUGCUAAUUUUACCCUUUUCCUCUUGUGAUAAUUACUAUCAGAAAAGUAAUUAAUAUUUUAAAGGGCAAUGGAGGAUCCAUGAUUUAAUUACAAUUACUAAUUUAAGUAUGUGUACCAACAAACAAGAAAUUGAUUUAUAUUAUCUACUAAAAUCAAUCAAUAAUUUGGUUCAUUAUGAGUUUAUUUUUCCAUAUUUGUUUUUUCUUUCAAAAAAUAAAACUCUAUGAGAUCUACAAACCCUCUUUUGCAACUCUUCCAUUUCCUCCCGCUGUUAGUUUCUACAAAAAUAUCUUUUUACUUUUCAUUGGUUUCAAAAUCUUUAUACUUUUAUUUCUUAAAUCCUUUUUAUUUGAUUUCAAUUAUCUUUAUACUUUUAAUGCAAUUGAUUUUACCAAAUAUUCAUUUCUUAAUUUCAAAUAAGAGAAUAAAAGUGUAAAAAAAUUACACUAAGUAAUUAUUUUUAAAAAAUGAAGAUAAAUUAGUUUAAAAACUAUAAUUUUAUAAGUUUAAUUUGUCAAAUGGUUAAACACAUUAAUGGGUGAAUUUACUAAAGCAUGUGUGAUUUUGGAUCAUAUAAGAUUUACGCACUGAGUUGUAAAAAAGAAAGAAAAAAAAGAGUAAAGAGUAUUAUAUAAAUUUGAUCAAAUUAAAACAGAGAAGAUUGCUAAGUUAGUAAUAACAUUUUUUAGGGUACAAAAAAAUUGAUAUAUGAAGGAGUAAAAUAAAAGAAUGGCUAAAUCGUAAGGACCAAAACACUUAUUUAAUCAACAUUUCCUUUUUCCACUUUCUAUAUGAAGAGAGAGAUCUUAACUUGAAGAAAAGAUGAAAGGAUGUAAAAAAAGCAAAGAAAACUCAAAGAACAACAAAUUAAAAUCAAAGUUAUUUGUGAAUUAAAUCUAUGGAAAUUAAAUUUUUUAACACAAUUCACAUAUAUUAUUUGGUUGAAGUAAAGUUUCUUUUAAGGGAAUUAAUAUUUAUAAGAAACAACAUAGAAAUAUAUAUAUAUACACACUGUUGAAGGCAUAUUGAUUUUAUAUAUUUGUGUGUGUUUGUUUUAAGUCACAUUCAUAUAUAUUCUUACCUAAAUAAAGAUAUAAUGUUAUUUUCAUGGCUUCAGCUUUGCUUUUAAAUAUUUUCAAGAGUAUUGAAAUAUUGUGUGUUAUUAAUUUGGUAGUACGUAAGAGUUUAUAGUUUUUGAAAUUAUUCAUUAAUAUAAGUAUCGUUUGUUCAUCAUUUUGUUUUUUUUUUUAAAAAAAGAAAAAUUAAGCUUAUAGACACUACUUUCACCUUCAAAUUUAAAAUAAAAAACGAAAUAGUCACCAACCAAAACUUAAGUUUGAUUAAAAUUGAACUAUUUACGAUAAACAAAUUUUGUUUAAUUAAAUCCUAUUUUGAUUAAAUUCUACUCCAAAUUAAGUUAAAGUUUUUAUUAUAUAUAACAAUUUAGUCUAUAUUAGUUGUUAAAUAUGACUUAAAAUCCACAACCCACAUAACACAUGCUCUACAAACUGGUGCCUUUGAGAUAAUAGGAUUUGAAGACAUUCAAAAUGAUAAUCAAGCAUACAUGAGAGACACCCAAUAACUCAUACAUUCAAUGCAUAGAGUUGAAUAACCUUUGUUCUAGAACAUUAAGUAUAAGCAGACUUACAUUAAUGAGUUCAAAAUCAAGUCUCACAACUAACUACGAUGAGUUUCAAUCCUAUCCCUAGCUAUAGGCUAGAAAUACUUACCUUAGCCACUCAUAAUGUGGUAUAAGAUGAGCCUUAAUGUUGAAAUAAAUGCAAGAUACAAGAUGAUAGAGUUUGGAAUGUAAAACUAUAGAGAAAUGGAAGUUGGUGGUUGCAAAAAUGAAGCUAUACCAUGUGACCUAAAUCAAAGAAAUAAUAAUCCCUAUAUAAAUGUACCGGUGUGUUGUCUCGCACUCUCCACAUUUUGCCCUUACCCCAAGCAUUGUGCCACUACACACAGGGAACACAAUGACAUGCAUGCACACGAUGCUCUUCGUUCAUCCAUUUCGACUUUGGUGGUAUAUAUAUUCUACCUCUUAGUUGUUCAAAACAUAUAAAAUAAUAUAAUAAACUAGUACAAUCCAAAUAGAGUCUAAAUUAAAUUAGAGAAAUUAGCACAUUUUCGAUACUAAUAACAACUUGUAACAAAAUUUGAUAUAUAUAUAUGUAAUCAACCUACUUGUCUAUGUCUAAGAAAUUUCAUUAAAUAUUAAUAAUGUUUGCCCCAAUAAUGAUUAAAUGAUUAAUAAGUAAAAAGCUCUUUAAAUAAUUGGAUUGAUUUUAAAAACUACUUUUGAAAGAAACAAUAACUUGAGAAAAUGAGUGUCCAAUACUGACUUUUAAAAAGAACAUCUCAAAAUCUUCAAGCCUUUUUUUUUUCUGUGUGUAACAAUUAAUUUUGAAUGUAAAAAGCAUUUUUUUUUAAAAUAUGUAUGUUAUUUUUUUAUUUCUAAAAAUCUUAAUCAAGAAGAUAAUCUAAAUACAUCUUAAUAAUUAAGUAGCUAUAAUCACAUUAAAAAAUCAAUUCCUCUCUUUUUUAAAAACAAAAAAAAAGUAAAAGAAAGAAUGAGAUUUGUAGUAUGUGAUACUUUCCCCACUUGGAUUGACCAAAUCUCUAGAUUUGGUACAACUUAUGCAUCAUCCCUAUUUCACUUUCUCAUUUACUCUUCUUUUCUUUAAAUCAACUAUUUUCUUUUCUUAAAAUAUUAUUAUUCAUUUCAUUAUACACUUUUAGUAUAUAUCAACCAAAUCCCAAACAAAUUUGCCUCAUCAAAAUCUAUAGAUAAUAUCAGUCUUUAUUGGUACCAAAAUGACUAGUUGUACAACAUCAUACGUGAAAAAUGAACAUCAUGUAUUUAAGAUAAUUAUUACGGUGACAAAAGUCGAAACAUUAGCUAAUAUAUACUCACACAAUAAUGUAACAUCUAAGAGAAAUAAUCUUUUAACUAGAUUUUUAUCGUACAUAGAAAUAAUUAAAUAAAGUUAGUUUCAAAAGUUAUCAAAGAAAAGCUUUAGAAAUACAUAGUUCCUUCAAGUAAGGACGUGCUUGUAGAAAUAUAUGAAAUAUCUUAUCAAGUAAAAAAGUAAUCCAUAUACUAUAGACUCUUAAUAUUAUUACUUGAAAACAUGAUCAACUUGUAUCUACUGACAAAUUUAGUAUAAUCACAGUGAUAAAAUUGUCAUUCAACUUUCUCUAAACUAAAGUUUGAGCCCCACCCAUUAAAUGUUUCUCUAAACAAUCAAUAAUUAUAUCAAGUUAACUAAUUAAUUAUAAGGUUUUAAGAUAUACAUACCAACAAUAUUUGAAAAGCUAUUUGAAGAAAUUAUUUAAGUUAAUGAAUAAAUAUUUUUAUACUUUUUAAUUAGAUAAAAAUAUGGCUUAUUAUUUAUAAGUUAAAAUACGGUUUUAGUCCUUAUAUAUUGUGCUAUUUCUCAUGUAUUUUAAACUUUCUCUUUAUUAAUAAUAAAUGCUGUUUUUUUUUCUAAAAUAAAGUUUGUACUAUUUAUUAGCAUUUUUAUUAUAAAUUUGGUUGUAUAUUUACACGGUGUAUUUUCCUGUUAAUUUACCAAUUCCAAUAAUAACUAAAUCUCAAAAUACAACAACUAAUGUAAUAUUUUAUAUUAUAUUUUCAUGAGUGAUAAAUCUAAUUUUCCAUAUUUAUUAUUUGGACUAGAGUACAAUUAAAUUAUUGUACAGUUUAUUUAAUUAUUGAGGUAUAAAGAAAAAAAAAAGUUAGAAAAUUUGAUGAUUAGUUGAGUAUGUGAAAAAUGAGAUGGAGAGGGUGAAGUUAGAAAUUGUAAAUGAGGUGACCAAUUUUAUUAUAAAGAUAAAUUUAUAGCAUAUUAAAUAUCUUUUUUCUAUAUUUUAUUUUGAGCAAUUCCCAUUUUUUAUUAGGUGUAUUUAUGUUUGUUUUAUCGUCUCUGUCUCCCUUUAGUUUGUGUCAUAGGGUGUAGCGGUUUGCAAUUGGGGGUUUUGGGUUUGGAUGGAUGAUUGGAUCCCCGGUUCGAUUGCCCGUGAACUCCAUUUCCACCCGACGGAGAUGAAGGGAACACACAAAAACCAAAAUAAGAAAUCCCACCCAACACUCUAACCCUAUUUAGUAUUAUAUGGAAGAUAUUUGAUGAUAUGAAGUGCAAUUAAAAGCAAAGGAAAGCUAAGGUGAAAUAGGGAAAGAAAAGAAGAGCGCCCGUGCCCCCCACCCCACCGUGAGCUGUCCUUCCAACCUUCAACAAAUCACCUACUCCCAGCUCUAUUUUACACCGUUUCUUAGAUCCAAUCAAAAUUAGCCACGUUUACAAAAUCUAUUUGCUCAUUGCCGACAUUUCCUUUCCCCACUCCACCACUUUAUUCCUCCACCACGUUUCCCAACACACAAUACUAUUUUCCUCUUUUUUUCCCUCCCAAUAUUUUACUAAAUCAAUAAAUGCUCUUAAAUUACUAUUUUCCUCUUUAUUUUUUCAUAUUUUUUCAAAAUACUAUCAAAUUCAAUUCUUUACAUAUUAACAAUUUUUGUCUCAAUAUUAUAUAAUUUUUAAAGAAAAAAACUAAUGCUAAUAGAGAUUAAUUAUAUUUAGGAAAUAAAUCAAACUAUUAGAAGUGAUUUAUUUGAAGAUUUACUAAAACUAAUGCUAAUAGAGACAGUAUCACCAUCAAUAUCUAACAAAACUAAAGUAUGUAGGCUAAAAAUGUAUUUUAAUUAACCAUGAGGGGAAUAAAAUUCAAUUCUUUUUUUUUUUUAUAAAUUAUUUUAAGAAUGAGGUUUUAGGUAUUAAAUUUGAAUGUUGUGUUGGGUAACUAAAAGAAAAAUAAGAAAAAGUAGGAAUGUUUUUAUAGAUGAAAAAUGAUUUAGUUUUGAAGGAGUUUUGAGGUUGAAGUUGAGUUUGUUUAGUGAUUAAAAUUUGUAAGAAAAUUAAUUAGGUAGAUGUAACCAUUUGGUUUGUUGUGAUUGAUUGUCGAGAGAAAGAACCCCUAAUGACUUUCCACCUCUUUUUUCAUUUAAUAUAAUUUAAUAUGUAACCUAAUUUCAUUAUUAUUAAUUAUUUUCUCAAUAUUUAGAAUUGGAUUUUCCAUUUUCUGAUUUUAAAUAAUUCCGCCUAUUUUGGUCCGCAUUUCUUUUUAGUUUUGUUUCAUUCAAUCUUUGUGUUUUUAAAAUGUUAACUCAUCUCUUUUCAUUUAUUUUGGUUCUUUUAAUUUUAUUUUAAAUUUGUACUUUAUCAAUCCAUUAAAAUAAAUAAAAAAGAAAAAAUAAUUAUUAACAACAAAGUUGAUUAAUAUCUAUUAUUUAAAGAAUAUAUAGAACUGACGGUGUUUGAAAAGAUAAUUUUGAGGUAACUUAUAUAAUUAAUAUGAAAUAUAUAUUUUUUGAUUAAAUAAGCUUUAAAAUUAUAAAAUGAGCUCUUCAAAAUAAAUAAAUAAAUGAAAUGAAAUGAAAUAGGGAAAGGGAAAACACCCGCAUAAAAGAAUUGUGCUCACAAACUAUCACAGUUGCUUUACCUUCUCCCUCUAGAAGGAAGCUUUGUCCUCUUUUCUUUGCCGGAAUCUGCUGCAUUCGCCGGCCGCCACCGGCCAUGGAUUUUACUCUCUCCGCCCCCUUCAAGCUCUCCAUCAUAUUUUCUUUUCUACUUCUCUCCUUCCGAAUCUCCUCCGCAUCCCCGGAAUAUUCAAAGCCUCGUUUGUCGUCUCCUUCCGCUAAUUCCUCCGGCCAGAUUAACUCCAACUCGGUCCUCGUCGCUCUACUGGACUCGCAUUAUACCGAGCUUGCAGAGCUGAUUGAGAAAGCUUUGCUGUUGCAGAUUCUAGAAGAUGCUGUUGGAAACCACAAUCUCACCAUUUUCGCGCCGCGAAACGAAGCUCUGGAGCGCGAUCUCGACCCUGAGUUCAAGCGUUUCCUUCUCGAGCCAAGGAAUUUGAAGUCACUCCAGACGCUAUUGACGUUUCACGUCAUUCCGACUCGUAUCGGAUCGACCGAGUGGCCGAAGCAUUCUGAGUCGACUCGCCACCAAACACUCUCCAAUCACGUCCUCCGAUUGACUCACCACAGCACUGGCGAACGAACCGUGGAUCUCGCCAAGGUCAUUCAACCCGACGCCAUUACACGUCCCGACGGCGUCAUCCACGGAAUCGAACGAUUGCUCAUUCCUCAGUCCGUACAAGACGAUUUCAACCGCCGACGGAAUCUCCAGGCUAUAACUGCAGUGAAACCGGAAGGAGCACCAGAGGUUGAUCCGAGGACUCACCGUCUAAAGAAGCCAGCUCCACCAGCCGAACCAGGCUCUGCACCGGCUCUUCCAAUAUACGACGCAUUAGCUCCAGGGCCAUCGCUGGCUCCGGCUCCCGCGCCGGGACCAGGUGGGCCACACCACCACUUCAACGGUGAACGGCAAGUGAAGGAUUUCAUUCACACUCUUUUACACUAUGGCGGUUACAACGAAAUGGCUGAUAUAUUAGUGAAUCUAACGUCCUUAGCCACGGAAAUGGGAAGGCUAGUUUCAGAAGGCUAUGUGUUAACCGUUUUGGCGCCGAACGACGAAGCCAUGGCGAAACUGACGACGGACCAACUGAGCGAGCCAGGGGCCCCGGAGCAAAUCAUGUACUACCAUUUGAUUCCAGAGUAUCAAACGGAGGAGAGUAUGUACAAUGCAGUUCGCCGAUUUGGAAAAAUCCGAUACGACACAUUGAGAUUGCCGCAUAAAGUGGUUGCGCAAGAGGCUGAUGGUUCGGUGAAGUUUGGGCAGGGAGAAGGGUCGGCGUACUUGUUCGACCCUGACAUUUACACCGACGGGCGUAUCUCAGUGCAGGGAAUCGAUGGAGUUCUGUUUCCGCCGGAGGAGGCGGAGGAGAAACUGUCGGUGAAAACAGUUCAACACGUGAAGGUAGUGACCAAGCCAAGGAGAGGUAUGUGAAACAAUUUCGUUUUCUGCAAUACAAUUUUCCAUGAAUCUAUUGCUUUGUUAUGUUUGUUAGUUUAGGGUUUCACGGCGCUUCCUACCUCUAUUUAUCUAAUUCCGGUGACCGGCUUUGCCGGAUUGAUUAUGGAUUCAGCUGAAAAAGUAAGGAGAAAAAUGUUAAAUCACUAGUCAUUCUUUAGUCCUGUUUGUUCCUGUAUCAGUAUUUUAAUAGGUUUUUUAAUUGUGUCUAAGGUGGAUUACACUUCCAAUUUUGGUGUCUAACAAGUCCCAACAAAUUUGAAAAGUUUAACAAACAACUGAUCUAUUUGAUGUAAUUUAAUUCUAUGACUUCUUAUUUUGUGUUUAAUAAAUUAGUAAAUCUCAAAAAAUUCAUAAGAUUUAAUUGAUAGUACAUGAACAAGAAAUCUCAAAGUCAAGGGACUUAACUUGUAAUUAUAAAUAUAUUGAGAAGGUGUAUAGUGAAAUUUACUCAUUGGAAUUGCUUGGGAAGUGGGGAUUUGGUGGCAAAGUUUGAUGCGUUGAGAUGGGGCUUUUCUAAAACAAAUUUUCUGGUUGAAGUUUACUUUUGAAGAAAGAGACUGAGUUUCUUCAAUGGGGUUGCUUGGAAUCUCUCCGUGUUAUCUAAUGAAACCAAAAAUUCCAAGUAAAAUCUUACAAUAUUAUUUUUCACUAAGAUCAUCUUCUAUUUUGUAUUAAUCUUUGGAUUCUUUUAAUAAUUAUGCAUAUGGGUUUAGUUUGUCUUUAUAUAAAUUGGAUUGGACAAGUUUAGAAUUAUCAAUGAAGGGUGGCUGUUGAGUUAUCAAAAUCACCAAAUGAGUAGAAAAAUUAUUAAAUAGUUUUUUUUCCUCUUCUCAAUUUGUUUUGUUAAUAAAAGGUAAAAAAAAUGAAAUAGGAAAAAGUAUGAGGACAACAAAAAUAAUUAAUUGGGUUGGUGAACUCAGAAUAUCUUAUGGAAUUUAAAGGAAUGGGACCCCUUUGAAGAGAAAAAACAUUUAAAACAACAGCUGGUGGAGAGAAAAAAAGCUCUUGUCAUUUGCCCAUUAAGCUUCUCUUUACAUAUUAUUCCCUCUUUACCUAAAAUAUUGUUGGCUUCUUCAUGAGUUUUUAGAUUUUAUUAUUCUUAUUUAUUCUCAUCUCAAAAACCAUUCAUUGAAUUUUGUAUAAAAUUUCAUUCUACUAAUUGUUUGAAUCAUUUAGCAUAAACUUGACAACCUUGACUUGGCAUACAUCUGUUUUUUUAUGCAUGUUUGUAAGCUAAAGAAAACAGUUUGGUUAUAGACCAUGUUCCAUAACCAUAGAUAUACAAGUACUGUUCAAACAAAUAAGGAAUUAUUUGAUAGCUAUUAAGCCUAUUUUCUGUCAACUUCUUACAAUAAUUUGUAUUUUUUUUUAGUGCAAGAGACAUUCUCAACCUACUUUUACAAACAAAACUAGAUUCUUAAAAACUAGUUUUUUUUUCAUAAGUUGAUUUGAUUUUUUAAGACAUUAGUAAAAGGUAGAUAAUUAAGCCAAAAAAUUAGAGGUGAAAGGAGGCUUUGUAAUUAUAAUUUUGAGAAAACUAAAAUCAAAUAGUCACCAAAGUAGGGUAUAGAAAAGGAAUGGAUUGUGUUUAUAAGUGUAGAGUUGGAGAGAGUGUUUAAAUAGAAGUAUAAAAUUGAUGUUUGUUGUGUUUGUGUUUAUAAAUACAAUGGCAGGGAAAUUGCUUGAAGUGACAUGUAGAAUGCUAGGAGCCUUCGGACAGGAUUCUCGUUUCACAACUUGCCAAUGAAACACUUUUCGCCUACAAUUCUCAAACACACAGGUUUUUCCUUUUUUCUUCUCUUUUGAUUACACAUUUCUGGCUGCCCAUAUCACUGCUCUCCUUGAUCUAUUAGAUAAUAUAGGUUCCAACUUACAACCAAUUUGAUAACAAAUUUUUGUACAUCAAGUUGAAAUACUUGUCGUAAAACUUCUUGUUUUGGUUGUUUAAUAUAAUGAUCUUAGUUUUAACUCCUUAUUGCUUACAAUCAUAUAAUAUUGGCUUCCUCCUCUAUUUUGUAGUCUACUUUCAAAGCUUGAAACUAUAUUUUAAAACAUGACAAAUUAUGGUUAGAAUAUUAUUUUGGUCGCUAUAAUGCAAAGUUUGUUUAAUUUAACCUCUCAAGUUUGUUUUUAUUGAAAUCAAUUAAAUAAUAAUAAUAAUUUUCAUGCACGAGAAAUAAAGUAUAUGAAUAUGGUUUCAAAAAAGUCCACAAACAUUAAGGCUAAAUUUUAAAUUGAUUGAAAGUAAAAAAUACUGAAUUUGAACCAUUAAAACUAGACUAGAGACUAAAAUUAAACAAAUUUAGAAAUUUAAAUAGUAUUUUAACAAAAAAAUAAUAAUAAAAAGAACAUAUAGAAGGACUUGCUGUUUUGAAAAAUACAUGAAGGGAAGAAGGCAACCAAUAUCAACCUAAUUCAAUCAACUAGUUUUCAAAUGAAAAAGAACACCAUAACCAGUAAGCAUUAUUAUACAUAUAUUGAGUUAUGAGAAUGUGUUGAAUUGGAAUAUAGAAGAGGUUGCAAUGCAAUCUGAUUAAUAUAGAUGUGUUGAUGCAGAUGCAGAUGCAGAAAUGUUCUACAUGAAGAUGCAGCCCUUCUUUAAUGGGUGGACUUGGGAUGAUGCCCUUCAUCCUCUUUUUUCUCUCCUUUUUUCUUUCAUUUUUUUUUUAAAUGUGAGUUUGUGAGUAAAAAAAAGAAAAGAAAAAAAAGAAAAAAAUUCACUGUGAAUUUUCAAUCCUCAACCAUACUAUUUAGUACAUAAAUGUAAUUUUUUUUUUUAAUUUUGAAAAAAAAGAAGAAGAAGAAGAAAAGAAUUAGAUGUUAUGGUGAAGAUGAUGAGUAAGGGUGGUUGAAAUGGGAACAUAGAUGGGGUUGGAGUGUUAUUAUUCCCCUACUUAAAUAAUAAAUUCAAAGAAGUAAUUUGUGCAAUACACAAUAAACUUCCAUUUUCAUUUUUAUUUCUCCUAAUUCUUUAUUAUCAUCUCAUGAAAUUCAUUGCUUUCAUCACACACCCUUUUUCUCCUUUUUCUUUCUUUUGACUUUCUUCUUUGUUUGUUUGUGCCAUUUAUGUGUUUUAUUAAUUGAUGCCAAAUGUCUUCCUUUUCCUUCUUCUUUCUUCUUUGGAAAUGUCUUCCACAUUAGUAUCCUUCUUUUUUCUUUUACUUAAAUACCACUUUCCUACUUUCUACUUUUUGUUUUUCUUUCUUUUUAUUAUUAUCUAAUUCUAAAAUAUUCAUUAUCAUUUUUCUAUUUUUAAAACUAAUGAUGUGUUUGGUAGAUUUUUUUAAAUCAAUUUGAACAAUAAUAUGGUUUGUAUCUCAUGUUUCUAAACAUGUGUUUGGUUGCCCUUUCAAAUAUUUUAAUCCAAUUUAAAUCAUCUUUCAAUAUAUAUAUAUAUAUAUAUAUAUAUAUAUAUAUAUUUAUAAAUUAUAAAAUUAAUUACAGUUACUCACUAAUGUUUACUUUAAUAUAAGCUAUAAUUAAUUAAUUAAUUAAUUGAAGAAUUUUAUUUAUGUUAAUUCUUUCUAUAAUAAUUCUUUUGUAAUAUCAUAGUUUAAAUUUUACAAACAUACGUGUUUAUAACAUUAAAUUUACCAUCAUUUUAAUACAAUGAUGCAUUUUACACUUUUCGAAUCAAAACUUGGUUACACUUUUUAGAAUUCGUAUUGUUUGUAUCAAAAUUCGAAAAUAGAUUUUGAAAACAAAAUUCACGUUGAUGACCACCAAACACAUAUUUUAGAGGUGAGCAUCGACACACGAAAAAUAAACAACCGAAAUUGACUGAAUCAACACCCGAUAGUUGAUUCUAUUAAAAAUAUGGUCGGUUGGUUGGUUUAAUUAAAAGGUUUUGAAAAAUCGACCGGCUAAACAUCGUUGUCGGUUUCCGUUAUUAUAAACCAACUAGGUCGAUUUUCAAUCGUGAUUUUUGUCAAAACUGAUCUCGCUCGAUUGAUGAUCACCCCUAGCAUAUUUGUUUAACUCAGUCAAACUCAAAACAUAUGACAUCAUUUGAAUUACUUACCAAACAAAUACCAACUCUUCUGAUCUUUCAUUUGUAGUGACACGUCCGAAAAGUAAUAUAGCAAAUCAAAACUGAUAUUUCGUAAAUUAUCGAAGGUAGAUUUUUAGUUCUUUUUACAAAACAAAAAUAUUGUUUAAAAAUACCUUAAUUAAAAUAAAUAUUUAAAAGUUCCUUUUAAAAAUGAAUUAAAGUGGAUUCUUUCCAAAUCAAAAUAGGAUUUAAAAUAUUUGUUUUCCUUGUAAUGAAUGUUGUUGUGAUAUUAAGAAUGCCAAAAGGCACUUCUACAUUAAUCCAAGUUAGCCACACUACUUGUUGAAUGGUACAUAAGAAAGAUAAUUGUGGAGUUGUUCACAUAAUCACAUGAUCACUUUUAUGUGCAUGAAGUUAGGUUGGAUUAACAGAUUCUUCAAUUCUUUGAGAAUAGAAAAACAAAACCUAUUGGCAUUCUUAAUCCAUCCAAUUUUAAAACUCAUAUCCAUAAACUUCAUCAAAACUCUUUAGUUUCUUUUUUCUUCAAAUUUUCUCAAUUGAUAAGCUUCACAUCAUUGAACUAAUACUUUUAACAAUGCUACAAAUUAAUAGACACAAUCCAUAUCAAUUCAAUUUAGUUUGAUAUUAGAAUUCACAUCGAAUCGUAUUUACAGUACUCAACGAUUUCUAUCACUCAUUCAUUAACUCCUUAUGAUAUUACUAUUCAUCUCUAUUUUAGAGUCACUGCUAAACAAACUAAUCUUUUAGUUAGUUUUUUUUUUUAUGAUCAUGACACCACAUAUUUAUCGUCACUCAUAAUUCUUGAUUUUACAGUCUUAUCUUUUCUCUACUUCUCACUGUUUUUCUAUUGAAAUCUUUCACUCAUUAAAAAGGUUAUACAAUAUAAUACUCAAAGUAUCUCUCCUAUUAAUAUUCAACUUAGGUACAUUUGGUUUUGUGCAAUAUAGAAUAUUAUGUGAGAUUUUAUCCACAUAUGAUACACUUGGCUUGACUUGAUUGUUAACAUUAUUUCAACAAACACUACACGUUUAGUCUCUUAACAAAUAUUCUUUUUACUUUGCAACAUCACUUCAAAGAUCAAUUGUAUAUUUGCAUUCACGGUAAAGCAUAGAUCUUCAAAUAUUGAUAUUCCAUCUUUUCCAUUUUUUUAACUUCAUCAUACAUCUGGCUCCCUUUUUCGAGUGAGACUAUAGAGUAUUUAGAGUUGACAUCAAACCAACGGUAAUGAGUAGCACUUUUAAGACUAAUAAUUAAGUAUAUAUCAAUAUUUAUAAAGAUUUGUAAAUAUAGUAAAAUCUAUCAUGACUUCUAUUAGUGAUAUAGUUGCUAAAUUCUACCAUUGAUAGACUUUAAGAACUAUAUCUAAAUUUUACUAUAUUUGUCUAAUUUUUUUAGACAUAAUUGCCAUAUUCGGGAUAUGAAAAGAAAAAAAAACGUGUAUAUACACCUACAAUAUGAUCUAAUAACUUAUUAUAUAUAUAUACACACGUAUGUUGAGAAAGUGAAAGCAAAGCAGAAAAAACAAUUUAAGGUAAACCAUCUAUCAACGUUAAAAAAAAAAAAGAGAGUCGAGCGAUUGGUAGGUGAUGUUUCAACCAAAUGGAGGGCAAAUGAUGGCUUUGAGCAUAAGUACUUAAUGUAUACCACAUAAUACAAUGAGAAUACUUUAUAUUAAUUUUCAAUUUACGUCUUACAAUUGUGAGUUCAUGAUAUGGUCAAAAUUAGAAUAUUUGGAAUGCUAUUCCUACUAAUCUCUCUCAUUCACAACUAUAUACAAUUAAGCUCUUUACGUCUAUAUCUAUACCUCUCGAACUCUUUUGUUCUCUCUUUAUUUGAUGUGAUGGAGGAUUUAUACCCUUUGAAAUAUAAACCUCAUACUCAUUAAAAUCAAAAUUGAAGUGAAUCCAACACAAAAGUUUCUUUCUAAUAUACCCUUAACAAAACUUUAGAACAUGAUCGAUCACUGUAUUAUUAUGUUUGUGAUCUCCAUCUCCAUCUCCAUCUCCUCACCUUCUCACCUUGCAAAAGUUAUUACAACAAACAAAUAAUUGUGUCACAUCUCUUUCUUUCCAAUUUUGAUCCCAAGAUCGAAAACAACAUAACUGAACUCUCGUUAGUUAUAUCUAACAUAUUUGCAUAGUUCAUUUUUUUUCUAAUGAGAAACCUAAUUGUUUUGGUUUGAUUCUCAAUUCAUGGAGCUUAAACCAGCAAACACUAAUUGAUGUUGCUUCUUACUUUACACCCUCAUAUGUUACUAAGAUUCCUAAGAUUCCUUUUUAUCACUGAUACAUAUAAAUUUGUAUGAUUCAUAUAUAUAUAUAUAUAUGUCGAUAGAUAUGAUUCUAAUAUAUAUAAAUCUAUGAUUCAGAUAUAUAUGUCGAUAUAUGUCGAUAGAUGUUUUUAAUUUAUAGCACUCAAAAUUAUUAUUCGAGUUAGAGCUCUUAAUUGGGCCAUAACCACAUCCUUAUAACUCCACAAAUCAUCUCUAAACAACAUUUUUAAUUUGAUGAACGCAACUAUUUUUUAAAUAAUUAUUUUAAAGAAAAAUGAGAUUUUUCUUAUUAGUAAGAUCAUUUUUAAAAACUUAUAAUAUAAAGGGUAAAUUUAGCAUGAAAAAUUGAUAUUUGGAGAUUAAUUUUGAAAUUUUGAAAUUUUGAAAUUUCAAUCGAAAUUUUGAUAGUGAAAGAAUUUAUUUUUUUGCUACUAGAUAUGCUUGCUCAAGGGAAUUUAAGAGAAUUUAAGAGUUUUAAUUUUCGUCUUUCUUUUCCAUCGUGCUCUGUUAUGUUUUAUGUUAUGAUUUUUCUAUUAUUAUUAUUGUGUUAGGUUGGUUUAAUGCUAUGAUUUUUCAUUUUUGUAUCCACUUCAUUUAUAAUAAACAAUUUACAAUAAUUAUCUUCUUUUAUACAAAUAUUUCAUGCAUUUUUUCAAAUUCCUCCUCUUCACAUUUACACUAAUAUGUUACAACAUACAUCUAAAUGUUGUCUAUGUUUCCAUUAUUAUACAUCUAAAUGCUUAUUUCUUCAUAUAAAUAAUGGUUAAAAAUGAUCAUUGUAUUCUAAUUUAGCUACCAUCAAAAUUUCAUUAACUAAUAAUAACAAAUUUGUUAUUUUUAUCAAUUUCCUUAAGAGUUUUUCAAUUUAAAAUUAAAUCAAAACAUCACACAUUCUGAGGAUGCAUCCAAAUAUGAAAAAAGAAAGAAAGAAAAUCCUAUUAAAAUCGCAUUUAAGAAAGCAAGGAACAAAUUUGGAGGUAGGGGGUUUGAUAUAUGGUGGAACCUUCAAUCCUCCUUUCUUUGACCAUUCUUACAUUUUCUUUCUAAAUGGAAAGAUUUAAUAGGGUUAUUUUCAUGCUUGGCAUUUUGAAAGUAAGGAUAUGCAAAACAACAAUACUUUCAAAAGAGAAAAAAACAUGUGGAAUGAGAGUGGAAUUUGAUAAAUUAUAAAAACAUCUCCAAACUGUCAUUUCUUUCAAAAUUACAACAAUACAUUUGUCUUUACAUAAACAUUUCAAAACUUAUCCUACCUUGGGAUGGACAUCCAUUGGAAUAUUAUUUAGCAAAAAUUGAAACAUGAUACUGUGACAAAAUGAUCUGAAAUAGUGCAUCAGUCUCAACUUUCAUCCUAGAUCACUGCCACACCAUUCCAAAUUUCAGUUUCUUUCAAUCAAACUUCUACUCUUAAGGAUAGUUUUAAAACAUUUUUAAAAACCCAAAGCAUAUUAUUGCAACUUUGCAGUUUUUUUUUAAAACCAAAGCACAGUUCAAGGUUACCUAUUUUAUAGUUUAGCCAAUAUUCUUUCAAGUGUAUCCAUUUUGGACAUGCUUUAGACCCUAACUAACCUCCAAGAUUGAGUUUAUUUGGUAAAGAUGGGUACAUUCUCUAACAAGCUUGCAAAUGAAUGAGUCAUUUCCAGAAGAUAAAAAAGGAGAGUACUUUUCUAAACUUGAAAGGUUGGAAGAAGAGUUCAUCACAAAACAAACCAAUCAACCAUUGUAUUUCAACAGGUGGCACUUACAUUUUUAUUUUAGAUGGCAGCUGCAGUGUUUGCCGCUCUGCUGCUUCAACGCAAAUCAGAGUUUUAAGAACUUCCCUCACUCUUGUUUCUCCACCACUCCAUAAACUUAACUUGUGCAGCCAUGGUAUCCACCCUGUAGAGUUGAUACCAAUGAUUUGCGAUCUCUUGGCCAAAAGUCCAACCGAAUACACCCCCCGCAAGGAACGACAGCCCAGCGCCUGUCAAAACACAACUACGGAGUAAGCACACCAAUCGUUAACUAGCAUUUUAUGCAUCUUUAUACAUAGAACACAAUGCUCUUUUUCCUUCCUUCUUUUUUUGUUUUUUGAAAAGGAAACAGAUUGUAUUGAUGAAAUCUGAGGCAUGAAUUCAGAUGACAGAUACAAUGGGAUUCAAAGGAAAAAGUACAAUACACCUCGUGAAUACCAAAAAGAGGCCUACUCACAUAAUAUCGAAACAUAAAUUACUAGAACCUAGGGAAAUUAGAUAGAGGUUAUGAACACAGUCCAAUUGAGGCAUAUGUCUUGAAUUGAGUAAUCACCAAACAAUUUAGAUACAGAGCACCAAGACGAAGCAAGAAGGCGAGCUGAGGCAAAACGAUCUGACCAGUCAUAGAAUUUGUCAUGAAAAACUCCAUGAUUUCGUAUGAACCAGAGUGCUAAGAGAAAGGCUUUAACCGCAUUCACAUUAUACCAUAGCAUUUGUGCUUUUGGAGGAAAGGCUUUAACUGCAUUAAACCAUAGCGUUUGUGCUUUUGGAGGUAAAUGUGGACUGCUGAGAACUUGAAGCACAUUGUCUUUGAAGGAUUGUCCAAAGACCCAUUGCAAGUUAAAAAGGGAAAAUAGUUUCCACCAACACUUACCAGAGAAUGAGCAUUCGAAGAAAAGAUGUUAUAGAUCCUCUCCAGAAGCUUUACAAAGUGGACAAAUGGAGGGGGAAAUUGCAGGGCCUUGGAGUUUUGAUUGAAGAGUGACCGAGCAAUUAAGUGAUCCAAAAAGCAUUACCCAAAUUCGAACGUUCACUCUUUUGGGACUUUUUGAUUUCCAUGUUGCUUGAUAGAUGUUCUUUUCAAGAGAAUGCAAGGCAGUUAGAAACUGGGAAAGGGAUUUAACGGUGAACUUACCUGAGGAAUCCAAUAACCAAAGUCUAGAAUCUGCUGCAUGGGAUAGAGUUUUACCAUGGAUGCUAGAUAGAAGUGCUUGAAAAUCUGCAAUUUCUUCAUUUUUAGAGCACAUCGAAAAGAAGGAUUCCAGGAUGGAGUUGCAGGGUCCCAAUGAGAUCAUUCAUUGCCUUCUUUGUUGGUUGCAAUACGGUACAGAUUAGGAAAAACCUGUUUUAUUGACUGUUCCGAGCACCAAGGAGCUUCCCAGAAUGCAAUUCUUCUUCCAUCACCCAAUUUAAAGGUUGCAAAAUGAUUAAAUUUUGACCAUAUUUUUUAGAUACUAAUCCAUGGGCAGCAUAAACUAAGCCCAAACUUCCCAAAGGAAUGCCAUUCAAAUUCAUCAGUGCCACUGCCAUGUAUACUUUUGACGAUCUUGCAGUAAAAUGCCUCUGGUUCCUUAAAAAACGCCAAUUCCAUUUGAACGGCAAGGCUAAGUUCCUGUUUUUCAGAUUUCCCAAGCCAAGACCCCCAUCAGAUAAAGCUUUUGAUGCGGUGCUCCAUUUCACAAGGUGGUUUAGCUUGCUGCCUUUUUGUCCUUCCCAGAAAAAAAUGGACAUUAUUUUUUCCAAUUCUGUGAUUGCUGACCUCAUCAUUUGUAAGAAAGAUAAAUAAUAGGUUGAAAGGUUAGCAAAAACUGCAUUGCAAAGUGUUAGGCAGCCACCUCUAGAUAGAUUAUACUUAUUCCAACAAUCGAGUUUCAGAUGAAUUUUAUCGAUGACAGGCUGCCAGAAGGAUAGCUUUUUAGGAUAACCUCCUAGAGGUAGUCCAAGCAAGUGAAUGGAAUGGAACCAGUUGUACAACCCAUUCGAACAGCUGUUGAUUGGAUAGUGGAAGCGCCAAUGUUGACUCCGUAUAGAGCUGAUUUUUCCCAAUUUACUUUCUGACCGGAACACCAUUAAAAGAAACCAACUGUAUCAAUAAGAUUGUUCAAAGAUGUCUCGUUGUAUUGACUAAACAGAAGUGUGUCAUCGGCAAAUUGGAGGAUGGUGAUGUGGGGUCAAGCAAUUGGACAUGGUCAAGUUGCAAUAAAACCGCUUAGAAGGACGAGUAUCGUCCUCAAGGAUCAAAAUUAGGUUUUAACUUAGCUAUUCAAGAAUCGAAUUAAUUUUAUCUAAGGCAAUGGAAAAUGAGGUUAGGUUUGUUUCAAUUGAGUUGAAUAAAGAAGACUAAUAAUAUUAGCCAUAAUUUGCUACGAAACACUAUUCUAAGUAGCACAAAAGAAAGAAAGUAUGGAGGAGGAGAAAUUCCCGUGAUUGGAAUGUUUUGGAAUCAAAUGGGAAGCUUAAAAUGACAAAUUGAAGCCCUAUUUAUACAUGUUGGACAGGGAGAGCCUUGCAACGCUAUAGGUGCAGUGUGACGUUGUAGAGCAUCUUCACAACCGCACUAAUUGUUUGCUGAGUGCACUAAGUGCACAACGUUGCAACGCUGUCUACUUUUGACGCCUACUCAUCAGACGCAUGGGACCACUCGACGCAUCAUCUCCUUGUGGGCGUCAUUGCAACUCUAUAGGUAGCAUUGCAACACAGCCCUUCUUCUAGAGAAAUUUUCUUAAUUUCACAUAUUUCCUUCAUUUUUGUUCCAAUUAACUUGGGUUUGCCCGUUUUCGUGUAUUUUUAUCCAAAAUGAUAAAUUAGCCAUAAUUUGCUAAGAAACACUAUCAAACAAAUUAAAUCCAAUAAAAUCAACCCUAAAUAAGAAGUAAAAAUAAGCACAUUUUAUGCGCUUAUCAGAUGGAGAGGUGGAUUUUGUCUGUCCCAACCGUAAACCCUUCGAAUAAACCACUCUGAUGUGCCUGUGAGAUUAAUAGGCUGAGAACCUCACUGAUUAGAAGAAAUAAGAAGGGGGAUAGUGUAUCUCCUUGGGGUAUACCUUUUGAUGCUUGGAUGAAGCCUUGCGGUCGACCAUUAAUAAAGAUCAAGAAUUUUGGGUGUCGGAUACAUACAUUUGUCCAUUCAAUCCAUUUUGGAUGAAAACCCAUAUGCUUGAGGGUGUUGUCUAGAAAACUACAGUUUACUCAGUCAAAUGCCUUUUCGAGGUCAAUUUUGAGAAUCCAACCUUUUUUCUUCCUUGCUCGGUAGUCCUUCACUACCUCGUUUGCUAUAAGGAUUGGAUCCAAAAUUUGGCUGUCUCUUAUAGAAAGCACUUUGAAUAUUUGCUAUUAUUGAGGGCAUGACUUUCUUCACUCUUUCUGCCAAGACUUUGGUAAUGAUUUUAUAGGAAGAAGUGGUCAGACUAAUGGGCUGAAAAUCUUUGAGGGAUUCUUCCUUUUUUUGGAACAAGACAGAUAGUUUUCCAUUUUCACAAAUUCGUUGAACAUUUUUGGAAGACCUCUUUGAAAAAAUUCUAAUAUUCUAGGAAGAGUUCCACUGUGAAACUGUCGGAACCUGGUGCCUUAUUUUUCCCAAGAGCUUUUAUGGCUUAUAGGAUUUCUUCCCCAUUGAAUGAUGUUAUCAGGAAGGAAUUUUGAGAUGCACCAACCUGUUUCCAAAAUAGAUUGGAGCGGAAGAUUCUAGGGCCUGUGAGCUUUUUUGUAGAGGGGUUCAAAAUAAUGCAGAAUUUCACCUUCAACGGCUCUGAAUGAGGUUAUUGGUUCUUCUUCUGAAGAGAAUAUUUCAGGAAAACGAUUUCGCCUUUUUUUUGCUGCAGGGAAACGAUGGAAGAAGGAUGAUUCUCAUUGCCCAACCUCAACCAAUUCAAUUUGUCUUUCUGAAUCAAAUUUCUUUCUUCCAAGGAAUGCAAUGUUAUUAAAGCUCCUUUGACUGCAAGAUGAAUAUACUCUGUCAAAGACAGUCUACUCUAUUCAGCCUUUGCAUCAAAGAAUCUCAACUCUGGAAUAAGAUCAUUCUCUUCCCUUGUCUUUCUUUUACAUAGUCAGUGGACCAUGCUUUUACUCUAUCCAGCCUUUGCAUCAAAGAAUCUCAACUCUGGAAUAAGAUCAUUCUCUUUCCCUUGUCUUUCUUUUACAUAGUCAGUGGACCAUACUUUCUCCUUACUUUCCGAAGUUUGAGAUUUAAGACAAAUCCUGCCCAACCAUUUGAUUGUUCUUCUUCUAGCGUUUUACAAAUUUCUCUUAUGCAAUCUGGAAACAACCAGCUGUUACAGAAACGGAAAGGACUAAGGCCCAGCUUAUCGAACAUGUUUCCAUUAGCAGUGGAAAACAAUCUGAAAAAAUUCUUGCUAUUCGAUUGACAGUGGAAUUGGAAGUAAGUCGUCCCAGUUCUUGGUAACAAGGAAACAAAGAAUUAGAGAAUGUGAAUUUGAAAUUCCUUUUCUAGACCAAGUAAACAGUCCAUUUGAUAAGGGUAUGCCCUAUAAGGCAGCUUCCUUGAUGAAAUUGUUGAACUUUUUCAUUCCCUUUGUUGUCCUACCCAAUGGGGAUCUUUCAUGGGCUCAUCUGGUUAUAUUGAAGUCUUCUCCUAAGCACCAUGGUUCCAAACAGUAAUGUGAUAGAGAAAUCAGUUCCGGCCAGAGGAAUUUCCUUUCUCUGUAAUUAGAGUUGCUCCAUAUAUUGGUCACCCAACAGACAUUGUUGCAUUGAAUCUUGAAUUUUACUGAAAAAGAAUACCCGCCUUGAGGAAUUCAAUUGAGCAACCAUGCUUUUGUCCCAUGUUGUAAGCAUGCCACCCGAUCUUCCAAAAUCCUCUACAAAUGUCCAGCCGAUUCCAUUUGAACUCCAAAUUUAUUUGAUGAAUUGGUGAUCAAUGUCCGACUUCUUCGAUUCUUGGAUUAGAACUAUGUACGAAUAAAUAGAUUGUAAGAAAUGCUUCAGCGCUGUUGCCUUAUUUUAUCAUUGUAUUCCAGGAUAGAAUCUUCAUGGUCAAGGGAAGGAGAUUACCUGCAGUUGUAGACCACACGUAUCGACAAGAGAGCUGAACUUAGAAGGGAUUUGGGAGGGUGGAAGUUGCUCGUGCUGAAGGAGGAUUGACUUAUACGCUUCCCCCAAUAAAUCACUGUCUUGUGUCUUCUUCUACUGUAUGAAUGCUAUGUUGCGCUAACUCUUCACUGCUGAAUCUUCUGGUUUUGGUAUGAUGAAACUUGUGGCUUUGGUAUGAUGUAGAACACAAUGCUCAUAGUAAACAUUUCACCAAGAUAGUUCGUUUGCUUGGACGCAGCAGAUUUAAACAAAAAAGAUUCUUAAGAUCUUGACAAACAAAGCCAGCUCCUAAACAAGAAUUGGAGCCUUAAGGAUCUCAGUAUUCUACAACAUGACAUUACACUUUCCUAACUUGGGACUAAUCAAUAUAUCCCCCUAUUAAAUAAAUCGCAAAUUGCUUUAAGCAAGUAUACUGUAUAUGUUCAUGUCAACCAAACUCAUAACCUAUUUGAGUGGUAAGUAUAGUAUAGUACCACCAAAGGUUUUACUUUUAGCCAAAGAAAAUAACAAUGUGCUGCAUUGGUUGAAAAAGUCAUUUUAACUUGCAUAAAGAUGGAAACAAGAAAAGGAAUGUAACUUGAAGAGAUGUGACUGCAGAUUUCGUUGAACCAUGUUAUACUUAAAAUUAAAAAAUAAUAAACAAUUGCUAAUGUCAGCAGUAGUAAAGUAAAUGAAUAUUUUGAAUUCUACUGGUAUUCCUUUACUGAUAUGAAGCAGGCAGUUAAAUGGAAAGACAAGUGAGUUGAAUACCAUGUAAACUUCUUGAGUAUUUCCAUGCAACACCUGCAGUCGAGACAGCUCCAAUAACACUUCCUGUGAGACCAAAGUUUACAGCCUCUCUGGCAGUUUUCAACUGAAAAAGGAAUAAUAAGCAGCCAAUGAAUGAGGAAUCUAGAAGCAUAUACAUGAACUCUUAGUAACAGAAAGUUAAGGAAUCUGCCUUUGCCUUCCCGCUAUGUUUUAAAAAUGUGAAACAUAACGAGAACCAUGCUUAACCCGACUGUUUUUAAUGUGAUAUGCGGCUUAAGUAGUUUCGAAAUUUCAUCCUGAAGAAUGUUUAGGAAUACACUAAACAGAAAAAGAAUAGAGCAAACACCCCGGCCAAGUAGUUGAACUUAAGAAGGCACGAGAUCAUAUAAUGAAUCCAUGAUCUAACUAUUUAGCAUUACAGGCAGUAUAAUAAUAAUCUAGACUCUAGAUCAUAACUGAAAAUAAACUGGAAAUUGUUUUUAUAGCUGAAGGUUAGAAGACAGUGAAAAGAGAAAAAAUCAGUUUAUCAGCCACAAGCAACAAAAACCAGGACAUAAUAGGACCAGAGAGAGAAUCAAAAAGCCUUGUCUUGGCAGGAAAAUCACAGGCAAAUAUAAGCUAGCGCUGCACUACAAGGUUCUAUCAAUCAGCAUGAUAACAACCAAUACCAUUUACCAAUAUGGUUCUUAGGUACUUUAUUAAACACACUGAUAACAAACUCUGAGGAUAGACAAUUGCAAUAUAUUAUGAGUGCAAACAGCAAAGUAACACUAAGUAGAAAACGAAGAGUUAAAAUAAAAUGCAUUAAUUUUAUUGUAAGAAUGUAAUAUAACAUUCCAAUUCAAAAGAAAAAUAAACCAUGAUGGAUUGGCCAAUGGUAAAAAAAACUAAUAAAGUGGUCAUGGGUUCAAUUUAUGGUAGCCACUUACCUAAGAAUUAAUUUUCUAUGAGUUUCUCUUACACCCAAAUGUUGUAGAGUCAGGUGGGUUGAUCCAUGAAAUUAGUUAAGGUGCACGUAAGCUGGCCCGGACACUCACAAAUAUAAAAAAAAAAUCGAAAGGAAAACAUUAUUUCACUUGUUAUGAUAGAAAUGGUUUCAAAAGACUACUGUUAGGUACUUCUAAAAUGAAAGCAGAUCCCCUUAUCAUGCGUUUGACAGCAUCUUGGUGUGUUAUGUGCAAUUCAAAUGCUAAAUCUCUUAGUCAUCUUUUUAUGCAUUAUCCUUUUGCAUCUCGUUUUUGGUACAUACUUUUGGAAGCUUUUGGUUGGUCUGUGAAUUAUGAUCACCUUGCUUUUGUUUGGCGGGAACCCAUUUUGUUGUUUGAGGAAGACUCUUUGGUUGCCUCUUAUCCGUAUGUUCUUCUGGCAUCUAUGAGGAGAACGGAAUGGUGUAUCCUCUUCUUUUGAGCGCUUUAUGGAUAGGGUUCUUUCUACUGCUUUCUUUUGGUGUAAAAAUCAGCACUAUUUUGCACUUCAUAGCUCAUCUUUUUUCAUCUCCAAUUGAUCUUCUUUCUUGUAACUCACCAAUAACGAGUUUUUAUUCCUUUAUUUCAUUUAUCAAUGAAAUCGUUCCUUCUAUCCAAUUUUUCUUUUUUUUUUUUUAAAUGUACUUCCAAAAUUGACAGCAACAAACCAUAAAAAUUAUUCAAAAAGGAAAUAUUUGGUCCAGUUCCCUACUAAGAGUUAUGCUAUAUUAUAACUCAGGCCAUCGGGUAUCAACACUCACUGGGCAAGGAAAUUUCAGAUCAUCCCAAGCUCAAAGGAAAAAUAAACCCCACUAUUAUUGAACACAUUUAAUUUCAGAUAUACGAAUCUAAGAAUGGAUAAAAAAAAAACAACCGAGAUGAUAUGAAACACCGAGUGACAUCAACUCAGAAGCAGGCAAUAGAAGAAGUAAAAGAAGCAAAAGAGGAAAAGAAGUGAAGGAUGAAUUACAACGGGGCCAUGAACGGGAUCAGAAGCAAUAAAUUCCUCGACAUCGGAGGAAGACCAUGAAGGAAGAGGGGUCUGGCGCUGAACGUAGGGGCUAUAGUUGUCGAGAAUGGAGAAUCUGUCGGACCAAAACUCCUUGUAGCCUUCCCAGUGCUUCCUGAAGAAGGAUUGAGAGGACGAAUCUUCCAUGAUUGCUCCCUCAAAAAACAGAUUAAGAUUGAGAUUUUAGAAGCUAAAUCCGAUUGAAAUCAGAAUCCUCAAAGCUGUUCUCUCUUCUAGCUCUUCAAAGCUGGUUUUGUUUUGUGUUUGUGAGGAAAGUGAAGGUUAUUGGACCUCUCUCCACCUUGGGCCAAGCCAAAGCCCAAUAGAAAAGCCUACAUUUCCAUUCUUUUCUCUUACACAAAUGAUAAGAGAAGGUGCUUCACUUUUCUUUAAACAAUCAACUAUUUAUUAAUAAAAUGGAAGAUUCAACUUACCACGAGGAUAACUCAAUCGACAAUUUUUCUAUAGAAUAAAUAUACUAAUGGAUAAAAUAAACGUAACUCAAUUGCAAAUAUUUACAAUAAUUCUCAGAUUCGAGUUCCAGUUAGUCACUCCACAUAAUGCAUACUCUCUCCAAACUCCAAUCUCUUUCUCUUUUUCUUCUUCCCUCCUCUUUGUCUUUCCAGAUUUGUUUUCAUCUUAAUUACAUGCUUUUCAUCUCACCAUUGAGAAUACACAGCACAUAUAUUAUCAGAUAUUCUCCUAUUUUCUUUAUACUUAUCUUUUUAAUACUUAAUUUCAUACGUAUUUGUUGGCGUGUUGACUCUUAAUCUCAAAUUAUUUAAUUUUAAUUUAUUAUUUAUAACUAAUGUUUUGAGAGUAACAAACUAGAAUUAGUUUUUUCUUUAACAACUCAAGUGUUUCUAUGAGUCUAUAGCAUAGAGCUCCAAAGAACGAUCCCAACACAAUUUGAAUCAACUAAUUUGGAGCUCAAACAAAUAAGUUAUAUCGGAAACGAGCUAAACAAAAACAUAUCCGAGGUAAUGAUGUGUCGGUCAAAUCAUCAAAUUGGAUUCAAUUAAUGAUAGAUAUGUGAAGCAAAUGAAGGAGGAACACAUGGUUAUUUUUGGAUUGGUUUUAAAAAGAAAACGAAUUUUAUAUUAUUUUAAGUUUGUGUCUAACGAUUAAGUUUUUAAAGCUAGUGAACUUGUUUUUGUUGGAUUUUAAAAGAAAGUAUCUUAUAAAGAUAUAUGUUAUUGUAUUAUUUUUUUAUUUGUGUCUGACGAUUAAUUGAGUUUAAAUCUUCACCAUUUAAUUUUUCUUUUACAAGAUUGAGUGUACCAAUUUGAUUUUAGAUUUCAACAUCUUCUCCCUCGUAAUACAUUCUUCAAUUAGCACAUAUACUUAUCAAUUACAUAUUUUUUUUUCAAUCCUUUCAAAAAAAUUCAAAGUCUCAAUUGUUGCUCUCUCCAAGCUUUAAAUUUUCUUCUCUUCAUCUUAUAUUUGAGAGAGAAAUUUUAUACGAUAAGGAUUGAUUUGUUGAGUGCUUUAAUUUGUAAAUCUGCUCUUUGAAAGAAUUUUUCUCAUCUUAUACCUCAUUUUAAAUAUUUAGUGAAGAGUUUCUCUUAAUCCCUAAAAAGAGUCAUUUGUGUUGGUUUGAUCAUGAUCCGUGUAAAAGUUUGAGUUUGAACUCAUAAAAAGAGUAGCGUAACCAUUGUCUCUAAUCCGUGAAAAGAGUUUAUUUGAAGUUUUAGUGACAUACACCCAAAAAAAAAGUUUGAAAAAUGUAUAUAAGUUGGGUUGUGCCAACCCACGGUAAAAUUUUGCAUGUUAAUUUCUCUAUCUCUCGACUAUUUAAUUUUGGCAAUUAACUUGUCGUUAAAUUUUAUAGCUUGAAAUUAAUUGCAAUUUUUGUCUUUAUUUUAGAUUAAUUGCUCACUUGUCUAUUUAGGUUGGUAGAAUUUUAAAUUGUGUAUUGUAACUAUUUUAAAUGUAAUAAAAAAAUCGAAAUAAAAUAAUAUGUAUUAAACCACCAAUUCACCCUUGAGUUGAAGGCAAAUUUAAUUAUAUAACUUUGAUAGCAUAUUAAACCACCAAUUCACCUAAAAACUUAAACUCUGUAUUGGAGGAAAAUUUAAUUAUAUAUGUGACGCCCGUCCCAAAUGCCACCCUACAAGUUUGCAUAACAACUCAUCUUUCCUUCCUUUACUUGGCUUCUACGCCUGAAAUCCAUUAUUUGCUUGACUCCAUCGCCUGCUAACCUGAGGAGCAUAAGCUUAAGAUGUAAGUCAAAGACUUAGUGAGUGAUGUGUUUAGGAAAUACCUUUAUGGGGAAUACAACAUUUUCAACAAUGAUAGCAAUCUCAAUUUCACAAUCAUAAGUUCUCAUUGCAUUAACAUACAAACCACAACAAUCACAAUAAAUUCCACGCGUUUCAUUUCAUUAAGACAUUCACAACUCAUCGUCGAGACUGGGGAUUCUCUCAUCCACAUCUAUUUGCCUAUACCUGGGAUUCACUUCACUAGCGUCUCGCAAUAGAUUUGGGAUUUCCACCAGAGUCUCGUAAUAUUCAUUUUUUUCUCAGACAUGGAAUUUGCUUUCACCAGCAUCUCAUCGCCUAGACUUAGAAUUCACUUCCACCAGCAUCUCAUGAUAGAUUUGAGAUUCACUUCACCAACGUCUCACGAUUCAUUCCUCACCUAGACCUGGGAUGCACUUCCACCAGCGUCUCGAGAUAGAUCAUACAACUCCACACAUCACACAAUCAUCAUAAUCAACAAAUAAGAAAUGUUAGCUCAAAAGCUUUAUUUUCAAUGCAUAACAUUACAUUAGUAACAAUCUCAUGGAAUAAGCAUGGAUGAUCAGAUUACAAGAAAUAUUUUCAAUACAUACAAAACAUUUCUUCCAUUUAUAAGAAAUCAUUCACAAAUUUUCAUUUAAAUCACAAAGAUCACUCACAUAAAUACUUGGCCUCAACUCCUUCUCCUUUUGCUUUCAACUUUCUCUUCCCACCUAGUGGUUCCCUCAACUGGCCUUUCAGCACCAAGCACUUUCUCUUAACAAAGUAUCAGAAAGUUUAACAUCUUAUGUUUCUUUUUCCUGGCCUCUUUGGUUCUAUUUAUAGUGAUCUUUCACAUUAGUGGGUCAUCUUCAUGUUUUACACGUGUCAAGCUACCACUCAUCAGGCCAUGCAACCAAUCUUAAGUUCAACACGUUGCCAGUUGUCACUCUCGAUUAGACAUUUUCCUUGAAACGCUAACCUUAUCUUCUUGGAAUGCUUAACUAUUUAUCGCUUGACUCUCUUCUCGAAAACAACAGAACAUUUACUUUACCUCAGAGGGUCAUCUAGUCACCUCAUACGGACAUCUACUUCAUCGCAACCAAACUUAGGCAUAGGUACUUCUCAUCGCAAUACUACCCAAAUGCCUAGUUCUUAGCAUCAGUUGCAUGUUUCUUCUUCACCAAUCAAUCCUAUCGCAUUGCCUUGCUUCAACGCAUUCAACACUUAACCGAAGCAUUUUCUUCUCGUGUUACCUCUUUUCAAUCACAUUCUUCCUCGUAGAAUGCCUCUAAUAUAUACUUAGUCAAAAUGACUUCUCAACAGGGCUCCUCUUUAACAUGACUCCUUUUCUUUGGAUUCGGGCCUUAUAAUAUAUCACUAACAAUAUAUAAAAAUUAAUAUUGCAAAUUUAAAAUCUAAAAUUUAAAAAACUAAUUUAUAUAUUAAAAAUUUUAAAAUUAAGAUAAAUAUAUAAACAAACAUUUUAAAAGUUACUUUAAAUAAAUAUAACAAAACGCCAAUAUAUUUACGGUUUGUGUAACAAAAAUAAAAAUUUCAGGAAGCUAGUAAAAUAUUUUCAUAAAUUCAUUUGUUCUUGAUAUUGCUGGAAGAUUCGUCAAUUCUCUUUCUUCUUUUUCUUUGCCAUUUAUUCACCGUUCCAGAUUUUUUCAGCUCCUCUUUCAUGUUUUCUUUCUUCUAUUUUUAUACAUCUUCCUUUUUUUUUCUUUCUCCGUCUUAUAUUUCUUUCUUCCAGCUCUUAUUCCAUAACAUCAAAAUCGUUUAAAUAUCACUUUGGUAUAAUCUAAAUGAUCGCUUACCUAGUCAACAAGAUCGUUUAAUAUGGUCAACGUGAUCGUUUAGAUUUAAAACAUUUUUUCCAUUAUUAAAAAAGAACUACGCGAUCGUGUGGAUAUUAUCUAAACGAUCACUUACCAUACUUAACGCGAUCGUUUAACAUGGUGAAGAUGAUCGUUUAAAUUUAAAGCCAUUUAUCCCAUCAUUUAAAAAGAAUUACACAAUCGUAUGGAUAUGAUAUAAACGAUCAUGUACCAUAGUCAACACGAUCGUUUAACAUGUCAACACAAUCGUUUAGCGUAUCAACACGGUCGUUUGGAUUUGAAAUAUUUUUUUUCAUUAUUAAAAAGAACUAUACGAUUGUGUUGAUACUACAUACAUGUAUAUCAUUUUCUACACGAGCGCGUAUCACGAUCAUUUAGAAGAAGAAUUAUAUGAGCACGUGUGAUCGAUUAAUCGUUUUCUCCGAAUUGUUUUAUAUGUAUAAUUUUUUUAAAACGGCAUUUUUAAAUUUAAAAUGAAACUAAUAUAUAAAAUGAAAAAAAAAUUACGAAAUACAAGAAGAAAAAAACCCUUUUAAGUAUGAUUCAAAGCAACAACCCCAUGAGGAGAACUUCAUCAUUACAUAAGCGCCUCAAUACCAACGUGACAAACAAAUUUAUUAUUAUAUAGGAAAUACUUGUAUUAUAUUUUCUUAUUUCCGCAAAUAAAGAAUCAAUAGAAUCAUUAGGAAUCACCUCAUCAUUACCAAUAUCUGCUGCUGAUGUUCCUUUUGUACAAAAGGUGAAGAAGAUUGUGUAGUAGUUUGGUGAAUCAUAUUAAUUGGCUGAACACUAUGGGUUAGAAUACAGGCAACUGGAGGCGAGCAUCAAAAUUGGGACCGAGUAGUCACCUUUCUUGGCUACAACAUCACCUGCUCCAAUGCUCGGUGCUGAAGUUCAAUUGGAUAGUCACGAACACAACCUAUUCGAGGUCCUGCACCAGUUGUCCAUUUGCAAGAUAGAUACUUUCCCAAUUGAUAUGAUUUUGUUUCUUUGUGUGAGUUUAUUCUUUUCAGCACUGAUUCAUCAGGGAUGAUACCAACCUCGUAACUUCUAUUUUCCUCUUCUAACAUGUUUUUCUUCUGAGUUUCUGUAUCCAACUCCGAAACAUAUUUUAAGGAUCUCAUUUCUAUGUUUUCUCGUAUGUGAAGAUUGUUUAAUUUUCUUCUCAAAUUGAUUGGCAUAUUUGGCUCAAAUGUUUUGAUGGUUGACGAUGCUAAUUGCUCUUGAAAAUCUGAUUUUCCACCAAUUGUUUCUGCAGCAACAAUCUUUGAAACUCCAUCAUCCGAACCACCACUCACUUGUUCAAUCCAAUCCUCCUCUGACGAGCCUUUUCGAACAUGAAGACUUCCUUUUUGUGUUUGUAGUACAUUGUCUUCCUCGCCCUCCUCAUCACGUGGACUCAUCUAAAUUUAAUGAAAAAAGGAAACAUGUAAAUAAUGUUCUGAUUUCAUUAGAAAAGAACAUCAUAGAUCUAAGAUCUCCAAUCUAACCUUCACAUGAGUGAGGUCAACGUUGUUUUCUGAAAGGAAGGAGAUAAAUUCACGAAAGUUAUCUUCUGUGGGACGGUAAUGACCACUAUGAGGCCAAAUUGCCUGCUUAAAAAAACGAGAAACUGUCAUUAAACGGUAAACAGAAUCAAACUUGAAGAUGAACCACUUAAAUAGUAGGGGAUUGCAGUGAGAAAAGAAUGAAAGAGAAUUCUAAAAGCUCUGUGACUUGUACCUGUAGGAUGCCAUUUUCAACAACCAAUCUCCCGGCAGCAAGUGUGGCUCCUCCAGCCAAGAAACUCGAAUGGUGAAACUUACCCUUCAUUUUCUUUCCAACAUACAAGGCUUUAGAGGUGCUGAGAACAAAUAUCCACUUCUCACGCUUAUCAACUCUAGUGAUGUGAAGUAGUUCCCCAGAUUGCUUGUAAAUGAAUUUCCCAUCCUCCACAACAACUUCAUAGGCUGUUCUUUCCAACUGAAAGAAAACCAUUUGGAUGGUUCAACAUUCCAUAUGAACUAAAAGAAUAAAUAACAAUUUGAUGCUGGUUUGAGGCUCACUGGACCCAAAUACUGAAUGCACUGCUGUUGAAGUUUCACUCUAGGGCAUUCUUCAACAAGAUCUACUCCCUUCCCUUCUCCUAUAUCCAACCUAAGAAGUAUAGAUACUUUAUUUUGACUAAUAUGUCAACACCCAAAUGCAUAUCCCAUAUUUGUUAGGCCCAUUUAAAAUGCUCAAUAGUUUUAUAAUAAAGGGACAUAAAAGUUAUAUAUAACAAAAAAGCAAAAAUAGUAAGAUAUGACCCAAAAAAAAUUAACAAAGUUUGAGACUGGGGAAUAUCAUCUUCGUUUCUUAAGCAUAUUGACUUCAUUUUUUUUUAGAAAAACAACCACUUAAGGGCAAAAAUUCACUGGACUUGAUUUUGCCAAUGAAAUGUAUAUACUUUGUUCACUUUGCCCUUUUUUGCAAAUUCCCCUAAACUUAUUGUUGUUGUGCCAAUGAGUCUAUGACGUAUGUCCUCUCCUAUACUAAAAAUAAAAAUAAUAAUAAAGAUGAUAAUAAUAAUUAUAGUGUGAUAUUGUGUCUAUGCCUUAACUGUCAUCUAAGUUAAUAUCAAUGCUUCUUUAGUUCUUAGUAUCCGACAUGUUUUACUCUAAACCUUUAGCUUUUAAAAAACCUGAAUUUAGCACUGAAGCUUUUAAAAAUUAGGUGAAGGAAUGUUUACCAAUAGAAAAAGGGUUGUUCACUCUGAGAGUAAAGCCAUUUAUCAUAAUAAAACUGUAGGUUCUGGCCAUAACGAUGUCGUGGAUCAAUCUGGCAACAGAAAAAGAAAUUACAACUAAUAAUAGCAAGUUAAUUUAAAAAAAGAAAAAAGAAAAACUGGUCCAAUGUAACACUUUAUUUAUCUCAAGUUCAUUAGACUUACAGCCUCAAGCCAGUGUUGUAAAGCAAGCAUUUGAGCUUUGUCAUUUUUAAACAAGCCCUUUCCAACCUGUCGUGUUUGAAAGACAUAUGGUUGAUAUUUUUGAGAUGUUUGUUGGUUUCAUGACAAUAUCAAGUAAAACAUGGUGAAAUUUACCCUAGCAGCUUUGGUUCUUGCUCGAGACCACCGUGAAAUGGCAGUUUUAUGUUUCUCGAUGUCAUAAAAUGAUAUGGAACUUCUCCUGAGGUCAGCAAAAUUCAAGAGUUUCCACCUGCAACAAGGAUAACCACUGAGAACAAGCUCAAAAAAGAUCCAUUUUGAUUCAGAAAAAAGGCACAAGCCAGCACACAUACCAACUCUUCUCUGCAAUAACUGCACAAUCAGCCAGCCUUCUCCUUGUUCUAAAGCUUUUAUAAACUUUCUGUAAUUCAGUUGCUGCCAUGUGCUCCAUAUUUGUUGCAGCGAGAUCCAUAACAGCUUGGGUACCAUCAUGAUUCUCGGGCCUAGAAGAUUGACUCUCCAUGUCAUUGCUCUUAGGACUAUUAGCAACAAAAUCCAACUCUGCCUCCUGUAGAGGAAUAUCUGUUAUCUCUGUUGAAGUCAUCUUCUCCAAAUCUCUACCGCUCAACCUGACAGAUGAAUCUAACUCCGCCUUCUGCAAACCCACCGAUUUGAUUACUGAAGGCUUCAAAUCUCCACUAUCAGAACUGGUGGAUCGCUGAAGAGCUUUUACUUCAUCAUCGCCAAAAUUGAUGAAUUUCACAGUAACAGAUUCAGAUUCUCCCCCAUUUUUCUUAUCAAUGUAUUUGGCCAAAGGACAUGUAAAGAAAGCCCCCAUUUUAGCAAAAAUGGUUCAGCAAAGCCAAGAUGAACAUUAUUCGUGUAACAUGAAGUUCCUAGAAAUAAGAACAAAAAAAAAUCCAACACAAAUGAAGUCAUAAAUCUUCAAGGAAUAGACAGAGUCAAUCUCUUAACAAACAAGUUGAAUUUAUGCCCAGAAAAAAAAGAUUCGCAAACAAUUAAUCCAAGAAUACUUUAGAAGAAAACAAAAAAAGUGAAAGAUAUAAAUGCUAAACUUGAAGCCCAAGGAGAGUUUCCCUUAAUUUUCAAGCCCUAAACAAUGUACUAACAGCAAACAGACCAGUAUGAUUCCCAGUAGCCUGGAACCAAAGAUUUGUGAGACAGGUCAGAAACGGUAAAAAAACCCAUUUCAUCAAGAAAACUAGAUUCCUUAGCUCUUUUUUGAUAACCGUUUGGUGUUUAGUUUUUGGUAUUUGAAAAUUAAGCUUAUGAACAUUAAACCCAUCUAUUGAUUUGUCUAUAGUGCUAUGUAGUUUUAAGGUGUGUUUUAAAAAACCAAGCCAAAUUUUGAAGGACAACUUUCAAAAACUUGUUUCUGAGUAUCUGUAAUUUGACUCAAAUUCAGAAGUUUAGUUAGGAAAUAUGAAACAGUAGUAAAGAAGUAAGAAAUGAAGCAUAAUUUUCAAAACCAAGAACCAAACUGUCAUCAAUCGGAUGUAAUCAACCAAAUUCCAGUAAGCAACUACAGUGGGACUUCAGAAACAGACAGAAAAAGAGCAUCAAGCACAGACCCAACUUCAGAAAUAAGCAGUCCACAUUUCCAUGGGACCAAUAUCAGAAAGAAAAAGAAGUGAAAAAAAAUAUCCAUUUCAUCAGAAAAGGCUUGAAAUGAAUGAACAAGCAGCAAGAACCAAAAUGGAGCGAACAAGAAACCUGAAAUGGCGGAUUUACCUAAAUCAUAGGAUGGUAGGAACUGAAAAAUGUGAUAGGUAUAAGAGAGAACUCGCGCUUUGGAAAAAGUAAAAGCCAUAGAGCAUCGUGUUGGACGUACAAGGAUCUAAUCAACCAAAUUAAUUACUAAUGAGUAUAAAAAAAAAUCAAUUUAAGAGAAUUCACAAGCAGACAGUACAAGGAUCGAAACAAAACAAUAAAUUCGUUGACAUGGGAGCUAAGCAAUUAGCAUGGACAUGGAAGAGGGGGAGUCUCGUGCUGGAUUGAGAUUCUGGGGGACCAAAAUUCGUUAUAGCUCCCUCUAGAGAAGGAUUGAGAUGAAAAAUGUUCCAUAAUUGUUGAGCUGGGAACAGAUUAUGAAUGAGAAUUUAGGAAUAACUAAUGCGAUUGAAAGCAGAAUCCUGAGUGAUGGGAUGGGUUGGUUGUUUUAUCUCUGAAACUUUGCUAUUCAUUAGUUUGCUUUGCUCGCUUCGCGGGGAAGAAGAUGAAACACCUUAAAAAAAACUAACCGGGCUAAAUACCCUAAAUAAUGAUGCUUAUUCUUGCAAACAUAGCCGUUAAAUUCAAAAUAUUUUGGUAGCAAUAUUUUUAAAAAAUUAUAAACAUAUCAAGAUCCCUAAAAUUUCACUAAUAAUAUAAGUUGGGAUAGAUCACUUGAUAAUAUUUUCAUUUUUUAAAAAAUGUUACUAUCUAAUUAUUAUUUCUAAUUAAAAUUUUUAAAAUUAGGUAACUCUAAAUUAACUUUUCAACAAAAAAAAAUAUUUGUAAAAUUUAGGGAUAUUUUCAAAUAAAAAAUAUUUGUAAAAUUGAUGUGAUUUGUAAAUUAUUUGCAAAAAUAGGGAUAUUUUCUUCUCUUACUUAAUACUUAUUUUUUUUAUUAUUGUUAUGUUUCUUGCUUCUUAAAGAGAUUGAUUUUUUUUUUUUUGCUUGCUUCUUUUUUAUUCAAUUGCACUUUGCACUAUUUUCUUCGCAUAAAUUAAUUUUUGUUUUAAUUUUUCUCUAUCUUUCUUAUUUAAAUGUAUUUUUCAGUUUAGAUAUAUUUUUUAAUCAAUAAUAAUUAUUAUUAUCUUUAUAGUUUCUUUUUUUUUUUUUUAUCUUUACCAGUUUGAAAGCUUGUAAAGAAAAUAUAAAGUAAGAACUAGUAACUAAAUCAAAAAACUUAUUUCUCUAUUUAAAAAUAGAUAUUCUUUCUAAAGAUGGAUUAUAAAAUUUGUUUACUUGUGAAAAUAUCACACAAACUAAUGAGAAAUAAGAGGUAGUUUGGCCCUCAUUUUACUAAAAUAAAAUUAUUUACAACCCAAUGUUUAAAACUUAAAAUAAUCAAAUUCCCCUUCCAAUGUUUCCAAUAACUACAUUCAUGAUCAUCACCACUCCAACCACCCUCUCUGACCCCUUCCACAAAAACAAGCAAUUUAAGAAAUUUGUUGAAGUUUGUUACUAGAAAUUAUCAUUGACGGAUAAAAUCGUUGGAAAUUAAAGGGGUGAAUUGGUGUAACACACUAAAUUUAGAAAGAAGACAUAAUAAAUGGAUAUCACAUUUGAAUGAGCAGGAUCUUGAAGACAUGAAAUAAGAACAUGAAAGUAAUUGUUAAGAAAGACUUAAAAGAAUUAAAAGUUACUAUAUAUACCAACAACGUGCAUAUUCUUUUUAAGUGACUCAAUUAUAGAAAUUUUAAAGUUAAGCAUGUUUAACUUGAAGUAAUUAUAUGUUGGGUAACCUCUUGGAAAUUUUUCUAGGAUACAUGUGAAUAAGGACAAAGCAUCCUGAAAGCAAUAUUGCUGGUCUGUGGAAAGAACUUUCGCUCUAAUAAGCCUUUAGAAUAUAUAAAGAUGAUGUUGGUCGCAAGAGAAUGUCACGGAUGGGGGCGUUACAAUUGGUUAUUUUAAGUUUUAACCACCUAGUCGUAAAUAAUUUGACUAUAGCAAAACAAAUUAAAUUAGGGGUUACUUUUCAUUUCUUUUACACAUUCAUCGUGUGAUAUUUUGACGAGUAAACAAAUUUUAUAAUUUGAUUUUAUUUAUUAAUCGUUACUUUAAAACACAAGAUUUUUUAAAAAAUAGAACAAAAUGAAAAAUAUUUGUACUGUGUAAAAUAAUUUUGAAAACGAAAAAGCUCACAACAUGAAAUAACACGCAAUUAAUUGAUCAUACACAUACACAAAUAACUUCUAAUUUAAAUGAUUGUAUAUUUUAGUCUAAAUAAUUGUUUAGAUAUUAGUACAUAAUCGUCCAGAGAUUGACCGUAAACGAUCGUUUGAAUCUAUCCCUUGUCUAUUUGGAAUAGACAAUGAUAGUAAUCUAUCUAAAAUAGACGAUUAAAUAUUAGUACACGAGUGUAUCUAUAUCUAAACGAUUUUAGUAUAUGAUCUUAUACCAAAUCUAAACGAUUUUAUGUCAAAUCUAAACGAUUUUGGUACACAAUUAUGUACAUUGAUACACUUUUAUAAAUGUUUUUUAAAACUACUUAUUGGAACCAUACAUAAUAAAUGAAAAUCAACUCUAAAGAGUUUGUUAUGACUGAUUAAACUAACUAUGUGUCUCAAACACACUCAACUAGGGGCAGGUUGAUAUUUUAUAAAAGUAAUAAAAAAACUAAAGCAGAAAAGGCAAAGAGGAACUCAAAAAUAUAAUAUCAUUUUAGAAACAGUACAAAUUGUAAAAUCAAUGGCCAGUUAUAGCCGUAUGCAUGAGUUAUAUCUAUAUGCUUCUAGAUAUAAUUCCAUGUAUACUUCAUAUUUCUUCUCAUUUCUCAAAAUUAAAAAUAAUUAUCAGUACAAAGAUUUAUGUACACUUAACAAAAGAAAAAAGAAUAACAAAUAUUUGUAUCAUAUUUUCUUCUAUCCACAAAUAAUAAAUGAAUAGAAUAAUUAAGAAUGAAGAAUCAACUGUCAUUACCAAUGUCUGCUGCUGAUGUUCCCUUGAACAAAGGAGAAGCAGUUUGUGUAUUGCUUUGGUGGAGCAUAUCAAUUGGCCUAGAUACCCUUGGGCUCAACAUACUGGCAAUCCGAGGCGAGCAAUGAAAUUCAGAUCGAGCAGCCACUUUUCUUGGUGAUAAGCUCACCUGCUCCAAGGCUCGGAGUUGAAGUUCGACUGGAUAGUCACGAACACACCCGAUUCUGGGACCAGCACCUGUUGUCCAUUUGCAAGAUAGUUGCCUUCCCAGUUGAUAUGAUUUUGUUUCUUUGUGUGAGUUUAUUCUUUUCAGUAUUGAUUCAUCAGGGAUGAUCUCUACUUCACAACUUCCUUUUUCCUCUUCUAAAUAGCUUUUCUUUGGAGCUUCAGUAUCUAACUCCGAAACAAACAUUUCAGAUCUCAUUUCUUUGUUUUCCAUCUCGAGUUUCUCGAUCAGGUUACCCCUAUCUGGGAUGUGAAGAUUGGUUAAUUUUCUACUCAGGUUGAUUGACCUCUUUUGUUCGAACAGUUUGCCAGUUGAUGACAUUUCUUGAUCUGGCAAAUCUGAUUCCUUGCCAGUCAUUUCUUCAGCCAUGAUCUCUCCAAGGCUAUCAUCUGGACCACCGCUGAACUUUUGAGCCCAAUCCUCCUCAGUUGAGCCAAAUCGAACAUGGAGACUGCUCUUUUGCAUUUGUAGUCCAUUUUCUUCCUCAUCAUCAGGACUCAUCUGAAUUUAAUAAAAGAAGAAAUAUAUCAAAUUAUGCACUGGUUUCACCAGAAAAAGAACAUGUUAGAACUUUGUUUUCCAAUUCUCACCUUGACAUCAGUGAGGUCGACAUUGUUUUCUGUAAGGAAAGAGAUAAAUUCCUGAAAGUUUUCUUCUGUGGGACGGUAAUGACCACUGUGAGGCCAAACUGCCUGUUCAAAACACAAUAAAUCAUCAUUAAACGAGCAUUUUCAAGGUUAAAGACAAGCCAUUUAAAUGGUAGGAAAUCAAGAGAGAAAAGAUGAUUGAAAAUUCUAUAAGUUUUGUGACGUGUACCUUUAGGAUCCCAUCUUCCACAACCAAUCUUCCAGCAGCUGAUGUGGCUCCACCAGCCAAGAAACUUGAAUGCUGAAAUUUACCCUUCUGUUUCUUGCCAACAUACAAGGCUUUAGAGGUGCUGAGAACAAAUAUCCACUUCACAUGCUUAUCGACUCCAGUCGUGUGGAGGAGUUCCCUGGAUAGCUUGUACAUGAACUUCCCAUCCUCCACAAUAACUUCAUAGGCUACUCUUUCCAGCUGAAAAUAAAAAAAUAUGGGGAUGAUUCAACAUUUAAUAGGUGAAACAAAUUAUGUGAAAAAGAACAAUAGGAUGAAGGUUUGAGAGACUCACUGGACCCAAGUACUUGAUACACUGCUGUUGAAGUUUCAAUCUGGGGCACUGCUCAACAAGAUUUACUUCCUUUCCUUCACCUAUAUCCAACCUGUUUUACUCAAAACUUUUAGUUUCUAGAAAAUCUGAACCUUAGUAAUGAUGCUUUAAAAUUUUUGUCGAAGAAUGCUUACCAAUAGAAAAAGGGUUGUCCACUCUGGCAAUGAAGCCAUUUAGCAUAAUAGAACUGCAAGUUGUGACCAUAACGAUGUCGUGGAUCAAUCUGGCGAAAGAAAAAGAAACAACAAUUAGGGUGACUGAAAACAUGAAAUAUGUAAUUGCUUACUUCUCAAGUUUAAUAUACUUACAGCCUCAAGCCAGUGCUGUAAAGCAAGCUUCUGACCUUUAUCAUUUUUGGACAAACCCUUUCCAACCUGUAAUGGCGUUUGGAAACAUAUGGUUAGAAACUUUUGUGAGGGUUGUAGAUUCAUGACAAGAGCUAGUAAAAACAUUUCAAAAGUUUACCUUGGCAGCUCUGGUUCUUGCUCGAGCCCACCGUGAAAUGGCAGUUUCGUGUUUCUCAAUGUCGAAAAAUGAUAUGGAGCUCCUCUUGAGCUCAGCAAAAUCCAAGAGUUUCCACCUACAACAAAGACAAGAAUUGUGAACAAACUCAAAAUAGAUCCAUUUAGAUUUAAAAACAAAGACACAAGCCGGAACUCAUACCAGCUUUGCUCUACAAGAACUGCACAAUCUGCAAGCUUUCUUCUUGUUCUGAAACUUUUAUAAACUUUCUGCAAUUUCAUUGCUGCUAUAUGCUUCGGAUUUGUUGGAUUGAGAUCCAUCGUCAUUUUGAUCCCAUCAUGAUUCUCUGAUCUAGGAGAUUGAUUCUCCAUCACUUUGCUCUUUGGACUAUCAGCUACAACAAGCAAUUUGUCCUCUAGUGGAACAGCUCCAGCUUCCAUUGAAACCACCUUCUCCAACUCUCUUCUUUUGAAGCUAACAGAUGUUUCUAAUGUCAUCCUCCCCGAACCAACCGAUUUCAUUAUCAUAGGUUCCAAAUCUCUACUAUUGAAACUAAUGGAUCGCACAGGAGUUUUUACUUCAUCAUCACCAAAACUGAUGGAUUUCACAGUGACGGAUUCUAACCCAUUUUCCACAUCAAUGUAUUUUGCCAAAGGGCAGGAAAAGAAAGCCCCCAUUUUAGCAAAGCUCAACAACACGUAGAUAAUGAACACUAUUGUUCCUGUAACAACAAUAAGGCACCCAGAAAUGAGGAUGAAAACCCUAACAUACAUAGAAAAAUGAAUUGAUAUCUCUCAAGAAAAAUAGACGAAGUCAAUCUCUCAACAAACAAGUAGAAUUAAUGGUUAAAAAAAGACUCCAACACGCACGCGCUGACACACAAAGAAAUACAAAGUAACAAUUGCUAAAGCUGAAAUCCAAGGGUACUUUCUCUUCAUCCAAGGAUAUUUUCUCUUCUUUUUCAAGCCCAAUCGCAGAAAACACCACAAUCACAGAAAACAAACAAGCGUAUUUUCCAUUAAAACCAGAACAGAGAACUUCCUAUAAUCAUAGAUCUGCAAAACAAGUCAGGAAGAGAAAAAGGACCCAUUUUCAAUAUAAAAAAAACCCAGAUUCUAAAUGAACCCACCAAACAAAAUAAACAACUACCAUUCAAGAACCAAAAAAAAAAAAAAAGACAAACAAACAGAAAGAGACCAUUAUGCACAAACCCAUUUGAAGAAAUCAAAAUCCAAACAAACUAGCAGUACAUUGCAAUGGAACUAAAGAUCAGUAAAAAACAAAAAAAGGGAAAUGCUCAUUUCAUCAGAAAAGCACAGAAAUGGCAAGAAAAGGGAAAAGGGGGGUGGAAAAACAAGGGUGUGAUGGCAGAUUUACCUCAAUGAAUGAGAAGCUUUGGGGGUUUGGGUAUUGGAUUGGUGAAAAAAAAUAAAAAAAUGAGUAAGAUUUAAAAUGGGAAAUGUUAAGAGGAUUUGAGAAGAGGGAUGAGUUUGGAUUUAUAAAGGGGUUGAAGUGAAAGCGGAAGGCAGAGUGAAAGGGACUUUUCCACCGGGGAAGAGAGUAGAACUAGAAAGAGAGGACGGCUUGAACGCCACUCAUAGCAAAACCAUAUUUUAAAUACACAAAUUCGUGGGAAUAAAGUCAAUUGGUAUCUUGGUUUUCCCCUUUUUGAAUAUAUUUCCUUUUCUAUUCUCUCUCUCUUACUCUUUUUUCUUUUUAUGCCAAGUCUACUAUAGCAUAGUUUAAUUUGUCAAGAUAUCAUAUAUUUGUGUUGAAAAUUAUAUGUUUGGAACUUUCAUCCCAACUCCACUCCGAUGUGAACUUGCAAUAAUCAUAAUUAUUAACCUUUUCUCUUUUAUUAGAAUACUCCACCCUCCAAAUAUGUUUGUUGUUUAGUUUUGAGUUGAGAAAUAUUAGAUGAGUUAUUUUUACUUCUUUUUAAAAGAAUGUCGCAUGAAAAAAUAUAUGUCAAAUCGUACAUCAUACACAUUAACAUACAAACAUAUAUAUCAAAUAUAUAUAUGAGAAAUGUCUUAAAGUAUCCAAGCUCGAUAGGGUAUAAAAUAGUCUUGAAAACACUUCAAUAUAUUUACGUAUGUUUUAGAAAAUAGAAGUAGAAGAAGAAAUUGAUAUUGAUGGUUGUAAAAAAUUUCAUAUAGGUUUGGAAAGAACCUAUUUGUGAAUAUAGAAAAGUUCGAACUCAAAAUUGUGGAUACUGUAAGACAAGGUUGUCCAAAGGCUAUGAUGAACUUUUUAGAUAAAAGUACCAUUGUACUUGCCUACUUUAGAACUUACCUUUAUUUUAUUAAAAUCCAAAUACUAUAUUUUGUUCAUUUUAGAAAUUCUAUAAAUAUAUAAAUGUUUUUCUCUAUACAAAUAUUAAGGGUAAUUUACAACAUGAUUUCUCAAAAGUUUCAUCUCUCAUCUACAAGUUAUUUUAAAAUAAAGAAUAUCCAAAAAUUGUGAUAUUCUAUGUGAAUUUACAUCAUAUUUCAAUUUUGACUAAACAUUUUCAAUUGGCUAAAAUAACUUAUUUUGUUUAAAGAAUUAAAUAUAUAGUUUUUGCUGUAUGGAUACAUUUCAUUUUAAAACUUAUAUAAUUAAUCAGUUUUAUUUUCUUACGCUUAUUUUAAUCUCUUAAUUUUUUUAAAAACAAAUUGCGAACACAAUAAAAUUUGAAAACUUUGCUAUCUUCUACAAAUUUAAAAAAUAUAUAUAUUUGUUUAUAAAUUUUAUUAGGUUUAUUAAUAGAAAAAUUAUCAAAAACAAAAAUCAAAUUUAACUAAUUUUAUCUCAUGUAAUUAUAAAUAUUUUAUAUAUCUUUUUAUUUUUGAAAAAACUCCUUUAAAAUAUAUCAAAAUAUGACAUUUCAAUAUAAUGGACCGCAAUAUAUAAAAUAGAUUUCACUAUAUUUAUUUGUAUUAUGAUAUUUUACUACACUUGUAAAUAUUUUGAAAAGUUACAUAGUAAGUAAAUUUGGAUUGAAUAAGAUAGUUUUGGGAAACAAAAUAGUUGUUAUUUGUUUAUUAGAGGAAGAGAAAAGGAGAUUUGAAAUGUGACUAAUCAAUGAGAAACAUCCACAGUUGACUAGUUCAUUAGUCAUUGUAACUUGAAUCACAACCCUCUCUUCAGCAUAUCAAAUUUACAAAAUUGAAACCCUUCACUAGUCAUAUACACCUUCAAAAUUUGUGUCAUAACAUUGUUUAUGAGAAGUAAAAGGACAUUCCAUCCAUAUACUCCAAACUACAUCUCUACAUCUUAGGGAGAGAGAGGUUCCACUGAAACCCUUCACUCAAUCCCUAUUAAUUAUUCUCAACUUUUCCCACAAUUAUUCAAUAUAUAUUAUUCAUAUUAGUCUUAUACCAACUAUAAUUAUAUAUCUUCUAACUCACUUUUAACCUCACUAUCCUUGAGUUAUCUUCAAAUUUGUUAUCUAACCUUUCCAAUCAUCCAACAAAAUCUAACCUAUAUUUAUUUUUUUUUUUUCAUUUGGGACCUUUAACGUGUUUAGUGUUUUAAGUGAUGUGUCUUAUAUAAAUUCUCUUAACCCUAUCAUACAUGUGUAUUUUGUAUUCGGUCGACUAUUAUCCUCAAGAUGACAUAGUUUUUUUUUCCUCUACUAGCACGUUAUUAGUAAAUCUCGUGCUUUUUCUUAUUUAACUUUUUUAUCCUUAAUAUUACUUGUGGAUUUCAGCAUACCCACCUUCUAGAAAAUAUGUUAUAUCAAAAUGAUUCCACUCAUCAUCUAAUUAAAGUAUGAAGCAAAGGAAAUCAAUAUUAAUAAAAGAAGUUUGAUUUAAACAAUAAUUAAUUAGGUUAAAUUUUUAAAGAGAAAUAAUUAGGAAGUUUGUAGGAAGAUUCCCUAAGUGGCGUUGUCGUACGGCCCACAAGUUGACUGAAAACCAAAACCAAAACCAAAACCAAAGUGGUUGAAGAUCAGGAAGGGCUUUUGAGAAAGAGAUGAAUGAUUAAAACAAAAGAGAGUCUGUGUAGUCAAAAAAGUCUUGAGCCUUUUCUAUUCUUAUAUUGACAAGUUGUUGUCAUUUGAGUCCUCUUUUUCCAACUUAAUAUGCUCUACUGACUCGAUCCAACUUUCUAAAAUCUAUCAUUCAAUGUGUAUUUAUACUGGUGUGCUUGUCUAAUUCAAAUUUUUUAAAAGGUUUUGAGAGUUCAUGUAUGGAUGGCUAAGGAAGCUUGCUUGAGUUUCUUUAUACUUCAUAAGAUUUAAACAUGUUUCACUUUGGACUUCUUAUGCUGUAGUUAUCGAUUCUUUUAAGUCUUUCUCUUAACCAAACUUUCAUAUCCUCGAGGUUUCAUUUAGAUGUAUUUAUGUACUCUUAUGAACUCAAGUGUUGCUCAUGUUAGUUUAUGAGCAUAUACUAAGUGUAAAAAGAUGAUAAGGUUUAAUAAACAACCUAAAUCAAUCAAGUUAAUUUAAUGACAUUGACAAAUCACUUCAAAAGCUUGACUCUUAAGCUAAACAUUUCUAAAGAUUUUUUACUAUAAAAAUACCAUAAUUUUGUUCUACGAAUUCAACAAUGCGAGAAUAGUAUACAAAUUAAAGGUGAAUAGAGAGAAAUCAACCACUCUUCCACGUCAAAAGAGAAAAAAUACGUAGAUAAUAUUAUAUACAAAAUUGUACAAAAGUUUAUAUUAAUUGAAUUAUAUUCAUGUUGUUUAGUUGAUAGUUUGUAUUUUAAAAAAAAAAAGCUGACCAUUCUAAAACAGAAAAGAAAAGUUUGACAUAUUGGUUUAUAGUGUAUUGAAAUGAUGAAACUUUGAAAUAGUAAUAAUCCAAUAAACUUAAUUAAGAAGUCUUCAAAGGAUAGAUAGUUUUCCAAUACAAAGUAUUGUGUUGUAAUCAAUAGAUGGGACAAAAACAGAGAAGGAGAAAAGGUAUGAUUAUUUACAUGGAAAGAAAGGUUGUUUCUUAAGAAAAAAAAAAGGAAGAGGAAAAUAGGAAUUAGGGCAUUUGAAUUGAUCUUUGAAAAGACUUUGUUUUGCAGAACUAAAUAUGAUGCUUAAAAAUUGAAUAAAAGAAAAAAGUUGGUUUUGUUUUGUGUCUGAAUAUAUGAUUUGUAAUGGUGUGUGGAGUGACCUGUACUCUGUCCCCUCCAUUGGUGUUGCAUAAUACAUAUGCCAACCAACUCUUUUUUCUUUCAUUAUUAUAUAUUCUUGGACAAAUCUAAUUUGGUCUCCUCAAUUAUUAUUUCUUUCCCCUCUUUCCUAUUAUUGCAUAUCCCAUAUUUAUGUGUCACACACAAUUUUAUUCAUUUUUUCUACUACGGAAACAAUACUGUCUAUGCUUCAUUUAAUUUCUAGAUCUUCUUUCCCACAAUAAAUAAAUAUAUCUUUCUAUUUCUAUUUCAUGGAUCUUACUUUUUCACCCUCAUGUUUUAACUUUAUUUUUUAAUACGUCUUCAAUUUCAGUAUUUUACAUUUUCUUUUUUCUAUUUGGGAGGAAAUUGAUUUCAUUAUUUUAAAUUAAUUAAUAGAGUAUAUUUUUAAAAUAAGGGUAAAAGGGUAAAUGAUAAAAUAUAGAAACCAAAUAAAAAAUAAAUUCGAAAUGCGAUAUUAAAGACAAGGGUAAAUAAACAAAUAAGGGUCACUAAAUCCUCAUAUUUGGAUGUACUAAAAUAAACAAAUAAUUAAAUUUUGUGUAGGUAAUAAAAAUAAAUUAAUUUUAUCUUCUUAUCUUCAUUCUUGCCGCUAAUCAAAAUUAAAUAAAAGCUAUAUUGGUACCAUUUUUAAAAUUUUCAUUUUUUAAAAUGAAACCCUCUCAAUUUCUUGCAAGGAAAUAUUAAUCCAUAUUAAGUUAUUCAUGCAAAGGUAGAAAAGUUAAGAUAAUGGUGCAAUGGACCUAUUUACUUAGAAAAGUCUUAUAUAAAACAAAAUACUUCUAAAUUAAUCGAAUAUCACUUUUUUACGUUUGAGAUCGACAUAACCUUUUUUAUUAAUAAAAUUUGAAAUCAAAUAACUUGCAAGGGCAAAGCCAUAUAAAAAAAAUGUAGAUUGCCAUAUUAUUUGUAAAAAAAACAAGCUUUGAUAUUAAUGUACUUUAAAAAAUGAAAAUAGUACUAUUAUUUUUAUUUAGAAAAUACAGCAUAAUCUCUAGUAUAUAAAAAGUUGCUCUAUAAUUAUUGUUGAUAUACAAUAAAAAAAAAAGUUGAAAAUAUAUUACACUCUCAAAGCAGGCUUAAAAUCUUCAAUUAUAUAUAAUUAAUGAAAAUAUAAAAUUGUAUAGAAAAGGAGUAGAAAAAUAGUAUAUAAAGCAAAUAAUGAAGGAAAAAAAAGGUAUUAAUUAAUAAGUGUAACCGAAAGAUAUAUAAAGGGAAAAAAUAUAUAAUUUAAUUUGUCGGAAAGUAGAGAAAUGUGCAUCUCCACCCACAUGAAACCAUGCAUUAUAAAACUAUUUCUAAAAUAUAAAUAUAUAUAUAUAUUUAUAUAUAAUGUGUUCACACACGAAAAUUAAAAGAAAGAAAUAAAAACUUGUGAUGAUGAUCUGUAGAGUUGCAUGCAACAGCGCGUGGUUCAACUUAAUUCCUUUACCUUCUUCUAAUUCAACUUAAUUCCUCCUAACACUUUAGCAUUGUUAUCUAAUGUACGUAGGCUAUAGUUUUUACAAAGUUCAACUAUAUUGAAUAUUGCUCCAAACAAUUAAACAUUGUAAUCUAAUUUUUGUUCAAAUUUUAUUGGUUUUUAUUAAAUAUUUAUAUUGGAUUUCUAACGUUAGAAAGUAGAUGUGGUAACUCUUAUAAACUUUUCAUUUAAUUUUGUUUCUAAAGCAAGUAUUUGAAUUAUAAAAAUGAUGUCUCAUUCAGUGAAUGUGUUAUUAAAUGUAUUUGUCUCAAUCCACGUGUGUUCAUACUUCACCAUUCAUAACAUCUUCACCAUUUACUCAAAUAGCUAUCAAGCACCUUUUAAAUCUAAAAAUUUGACGGAGGAAUAAACUUAGUAGUUUUAUUCAAAUAGAGGAGUUGUUGGAAUGCCAAUUUUAAACUUUCAAAUAAAACACACCAUAUCACCACUUUCUCUUGCUGUCCUCCUUGCCAAGAGUUGAUAUAAUAAAUAUUUGAGAUUGAUAUACAUUAUUUCACAAGAGUUGAAUUGAAGAAUGAUAAGUAUGCAAUUUCAAAGAAUAAAACUAUGUUGAAGAUGGAUAUAAUACAUAAUUCUAUUUUAAUUGUUUUGACCCACGUAACAUAUAUAGUUGAAAGACUCCCAUGGAAUAAAUCCCCUCCCCACUAGGUAGGUGAUGAAAAUUGGAAAAUUGGAAAGUUUGGUAUUAAAAAGUGAGGUGUGGUUUUGAUAAUUAAGAUUUAAAAAAUGGUUUUCUUGAAGCUACUUCUUUUUAAGUCGUAAAAAUCCCUCUUUUGGUAUGCCAUUGUUAUGUGAUCACACAUGUAUGAAAGAGGAAAUAAGAAAAAGAAAACAAAGAACUUAAAAGUCAAACCCCAGCUCGAUAACGAAGGGCAUGCCUUUUUGUUUUCUUUUCGUACUACGUACAAUUAAUAUCACAACUUUCUCUUGCUGUCCUCCUUGCCUUUUUCAUAUACUAUAUAUAUAUAUAUAUAUAUAAAGUUAAGCCUAUAUUAUAAUAUUAUAUAUAUAUAUACACAUUUUCAAACAACAAAUAAUAUUAUCAAUAAUAACACUAUCAUGACAUAAAUUACAUUAUUUGAAUUGAAUUAAAGUAAUUAAUGUGAGAUGUCAAACAAUAAACCAAUAUUUACUUUAUUCCUCUACUAUCAUAUAUAUAUAUAUUAAUAAGAUGUUUAAAUAUAUAUUAAUUAGAAGAAUUGAGUUUAAUUAAUAGGCAGAAUAUAGAAGAAUGAAGAGGUUGAUUUUGUGUAGUCGUUGAAUCAACCAUGCCUUGCAUUUUGAAGCUAGAGAAAGGUCAAGACGAGUAGCACAAGAAUAAGCUAGCAUGUGAAGAGAGAGAGUUGGCGAUAGAAGUGUGAACAUGAUCAUGACCUUGGUCAAACAUAAUCUAAUGCAACCAUGCUAUAAUUAGAUUUCACUAUUUAUCAAAGUAUUCCUUUUAUUGAUCAAAUAUAUGGGGUAUAUGUAUCAUUCAGUCAAGAUUCAAACCACAAAUAUUUUAGUCACUAACAAAUUCUAUGGAUCUUCGAAAUAUUUAUUUAGUAACACACGAUAAAUUAUAUUCAUUGGAUUAAAACAAUUAAACAAAAUAAAAGUAACUAGCUAGAGUACUAUUAGAUUUUUCUUUUACAACAAAUACAAGUAGGAAGGUUUGAACUCUAACUUCAAAUAAGGCAACUUAUGUGAAUCACGUAAUUAAGUUUUGGACACUUUUACAAACUAGCUUCAACUGAAUAUUUAAAAAAUAUCACUUUGUUCACAUGCAUAUAACAUUUUCUAAUGAUACAUAGGAUGGAUAAAUUAACCUUAUAACUUUCAAGAUUAAUAAUAUAUAGUUUUAUGUUAGUUGAACUAUCCUCUCAUUUUCUUAAUCGAUUAUACAUGUACUUAAGAUUACUUUUGUAUCACCAACUAACGAGGCAUGAACAUACCGUAAAAUAUAUUAAAUAAUUAGCAGGAGAUGCAAUUUGUUACUUUAAUAUGAAGUGGGUAUACAAUAGAAUAGGAAGAAUUUUAAUAUUUGACAUUUUCAUAAUUUAUUUUUUUAGUUGAAUAAGAAGUGGAUUGAAUAAUCACUUUUACCUAGGCAACUACUAAUAGGUCAUAUGAAUUUAAUGUUAUCAAAAUAUUCAACAAAAUAUCAGUCUUUCGUAUGCAUUAAAAAUCCAACAACUAUUUCUUUCUUGUACCACAAUUUUGACAAAUCAAUAUUAAAUAUUGUACUACAUAAACGUAACUUUCCUCUUUAAGAAAUAGAAACUUCUACUACAAUAAUAACAAUAAUAAAUUCUCAAAUUAUAUUUAUAAAAUCGUAAAAUUUUCAAAUCCUAACUUCACCUACUUAUUUAAUUACCAAAAAGAUAGUCAAAGAUUCAUAAAAUAAAUGAUCCCCACACCUAAUGGAAUCAACACGAUUUAAUUAGUAAAUACAUAAAACUUUAUUUUUCUUCUAAAUGUCAAACUUAUAUUAUUAUUAUUAUUAUUAGGGUUCCUUCAUAAAUGGGUACGUAAAAAAAAAAUCUAACAUUACUCAAUUAAAAUGUUCAAUAUUUACAAAAUUUUUAAAAUAAAUUAAUUAGUAUUUUUUAUAUAACUCAUCAAUUACUACAAUGUGAUCUUCCAAUAUUUCUUCUCAUAUUAAAAUUUUUAGAUAAUAAAAAAAGUUACUGAAACGAUAAAAAAAAAAACCUUUUAAUUAAUAUUUUUAAUUAAUAUCCCCUAAAGUUAAGAUCAUUUCACACCAUUUCUUUUAUUUCUAAAGGAAAUAAAUAAAUAACUUUAACAAUUGUUUAUUAUUAAGGGAAAUAAAUAGAUAAUUUUAACAUAAAAUUCUUAAUGAUUUCAAUUUUAGGAAACAUAAUUUUAAUUUCAUUAAAUUGUACAUUAGUUAAUUAAAAAAGAUGUUGCAAUUAUUUAUGACCCUCUAAUAAAUAGUUGUACCAAAUAUCUUCAAAAUAUUCUUCAUCUAUGCGUUCAUUUGAUUAGCUUCAAUAUAAACAUAAAGUUAAUAAUAAUAAAAGAGUCAAAGUUAAGUUUUGUAUUUAUUAUUGUUAUUAUGAAAUCCAUACAUUUUGGUUGAAGUUAUUGAAGAUUAUUAUGUGCAUUAAUGAAGCUUAUUUUACAUUUGAUUUUAUCAAAACUAUAAAAUAUUUACUUGGUUAUGUGGAUGAAUUAGUGAUUGAGUACUAUAGUGAGAUGAAGUUGAGCAAAAAAUAAAGGUAGGUGAACUAAAUACUUAAUUCUAUCCAACUUCAAAAAACGAAUGAAUUGAAAAAAGUAUAAAUAAAAUAUAUACACGUGAGAAAUUAAGAAUCAAAAUAGAACUUUGGUAUUAAGAAUAAAUGAAAAAUCAAUUUACCACCGAAGUCCAAAAGGAGGGAGGGGGGGGGGGGGAUACAACUGUCACCACGUGCUAUCCCCAUGCAAAAAAAGAAAAAGAAAAGAAAAAAAUGAAUGUACUUUUGUGUUAUGAGACGUACGAAGCGAGUAUGUAUAGGGAAUGGUGAAGCGGAGAGCCAGGUGUCAGGAUAUGACUGAGCACGUGUUAAGGUGUUGAAUUACAAAAAUGCGGAGAGAAAGAGAAUCUGGUAGCCGCAGUAUGGUGGAGCCUGGAGGUGUGAUGAAUAAAACCACGUAGAUGGUGGGUGAGGGUCCAAUGAGAGGGGGUUGGUUGAGAAACGUCAACGACGUCGUAUGGUUUUUUUAGCAUCGGGGGUUUCUUAGACAGAGUAACCGUCAGAGUGGUGCGAGUGACAGCCAGCUAACACUCCCAUUGCACUAUUCUUGAGGGAACGCGUUUGUUUUCUUCUUUAUGCCUCUUUUUCGCAACGUCACCGACGCUUCUUUUUCCUCUCUCUCUUUUUUCGCUUUUUUUUUUCUUCUCUUUCUCCAUCGUCGUGUUUAUUAGAGUGUUUUGAAUUUUCUUUACACCUUCUUACUUUCUCUCAAUUUUGGUUCAUGUUUUCAUAUAGAUUUGCAAAUUAUUUAAUUCAUUUUUUAUUAUAUUAUAUUCAAGUAUUCAGGGGUGUGUAUGCAUAUUUUAAAGAAAAUGUUAAACUUCAAACGUUAUGUCAACUAAUUUAUCACAAAAAAUAAAUGUGAUUAGUACCAUGCAAUUUUAAGGGUCAUACUGAUUCUAAAGUUGUCCACAUUGCACGUACAUAUUCCAAAUAGGAUGCAACAGAAGGUCUUAUAAAUAUAGACUCAUACACCACUAAAUUCAAACUGUAAAUAGUUCUUUUUCUAUAAUUAGUUGAAUUAAACAUUGUGCAUGCUUACUAAAGCAUCAUAUAUACAGUGUGUUUAGUUCGAUACCAAAUUGAUGUGAGUUUUCGUAAGUAAUUAAUUAUCGAGUCCAAACUAGAGAAAGGUGUCAAAGAAGCGGUAGGACUUUAGUGAGCCGUCCCAACUUUAGAAAAUAACAAAAUCUAACUAAAAUAUUAAAAUGUCAUUAAUGUUCUUUUGUUCAAAGGAAAAACUGUCCCCAUUGAACAAAUAUUAAUAAUAAAAAAAUAUUAUACCUACUUAAAAGAUGAGUUUGUCAUUCGUUAAUUUCAACAAUUUUUUAUGAACUUUUGACGUUUGUAGUUUUGUAAAAAAUAUGGGUGGAAGUUGAUAUUUUAUCUAUAAUUUCAUUCUUAACUUUUUCAAUACAUUUAAUAAUAUUUAAAACAUAAGAGUUUUGAAUUCAAUUAAGAAAAAAAUAUUUUUCAAGAAAUUCAUGCUCGUUUAAAUUUAUUUUUUUUAAAAUUGUUUAAAUAAAAUAAUCGAAAGAAAAUGAUAUAAAUAGAUUCAAUUCAUUAGUCCAAAGUUUUAAUUGGAUAGAAUUCUAAAAUUUUAAUUUAAAGGGUAUAAAUGGAUUGUAUUUUUGUAAACUUUUAUGGAUUGCUGUGGUUGGUAGGUUCACUCUUUCAAUAAAUUUAAGGUUGAAUUUAACAACCCAAAAUUUGUUAAUUAAAAUUUGUUACUCUGCUUCACCUAAAAUGAUUUGGAGUGUGGUAGUUAAGAUUAUAUUCAUAUUUGGUGACACAUUUCUACCACACACACACAUGCACUCCUGUUCUGCACUCCUAUUCUAUCCAAGGGUCAUUAUUAAAAUUUAAACCUAAACUAUUAUAAUUCAAAGACUCCAUCCUAAACAUAAACAAACUAUUAUAACCAACAUAUUAUAGUACCUAUCUAGAUAUUCUUUAAGUUUUAAAUUUAUGUUUGAAAGAGAUAUAUAGUUAUUGUUGUUCUAUAAACAAAUGUCAAAUGAGAAACUAGAUAAGCGUUAAAUAUAUUGAAGCUCGAUGAGAUGUAGGAAAGGGAAGAGGGAGGUGAUGGUAAUUGAUAUGUAGAUUAACAAAAACAUUCGGAAUAUUUUAAAUUUUUGAAAAUUUACACCUAUUUUUGCAAUAAUGUAUGGAUUUGUUUGGUUUAUAUAUAUAAUAUCAAUAAGUGUAUUUUUUAUUUAAAAUAGUUUCAGACGAUAAAAAAAUUUAAAAAAAAAAACAAACCAUAUGUAGUAUCUUUUUUUCUGUAUAUUACAAAUAUGACAAGUAAUUAUAUAUAUCAUAUGACUCUAAGAAAAUUAUUAGAGGGUUAUCCACUUUUAAAUUUGCUAUUUUUAUAAUUUAGAAAAUGUUGUCACAUAGAUUUUAUUAUUAUUUUUUUACUAUUUUUGCAAACUCACCUUAUUUUCAUUUUAAGUUCAAAAGUAUAUUUUUUGAAAUACUUAGAAGUUGAAGGUAUUUUAAUAAUAAAACACUAUUAUUUUUUUUAUAUAAAAUUAAGUUAUUAAAUAUCAAUGAUAGAUAUAUUUUAAUCUUUUAAAAAAAUUUAGUUAUUUUUUUUAAAACUUUUAAAAAUUCAGACAUAUUUUUAACACAAAAACAUUUUUUCAAUAAAUAAUUUAGCCUAGUGAUAAAUCUCCCUUAAUAGGAACCUAAGAAAAGGCACUUAUAUCCCAACAUGUCUUGGAUCGAAGGGACUAAUUAAUAUAUCUCAUUCAAUGUUCGGGUGUUUGAGUCCACAAUAGUUGAAAAUUUCAAUUAUUAUUACCUAAAUAAAACAACGUAAAAAUCCUCAUGGUAUAAAUGUUUACUAUUUUGUAAUAACCCUUUUUUCUUAUUUGUAACUCAUACCAAAACAACAUGGACUCUAAACACAGAAUAUGAAAACUAUGGAGUCUAUUGUUUAUAGAUUGUGUUAUAUCUAUAAUUGUUUUACGUAAUUAACUAUUAUGAUUGCAAUUACUAUUCAUUAUAAUUAGAACUAAGUGCGAGAUCGUAGAGUCAAAUAUAGAAAAAGAUGAUAGUCGGAGUUUGAGAGUAGAGAGUUGAUUAGAAAAAAUUGUGAAAGAACUUGACUGACUAGAAUUCAUUUCAUUGCCACCGACGGAAACGUUUGUGUUGGUCUUUGUAAAGCAUUGGGAAUGACUAAUGAUCAACUAAGAAGAAGAAGAAGAUAAGAGGAGGGUAGAAGAAUGGGAGAGUAAAAGAGACGAAACCAUAGUGGAGAGACAUUAGAUGCGCUUUUUAAUUUCAAAUUUCGUAUUACCAUUUAAAUUAAUAAUAAAUUCAAUAAAACUCAUCAAAUUAUAAAGACUAUAAAGAAUAUAUAUAUUUUGAAAUUAAGGAUUAAAAAGAUAAUUUUUGUGAAUUAUUUUUGUAAUUUGAGAAAAAGAAGAAAAGGAGAGAAUUUUGAUUUAGAAAAAGGGUAAUAUGUCCCAUCAAGAAAUCAGUGUCAAAAGAAAAGAAGGAAGACUUUUGAAGAUGAUCUGAUCACAAAAGUGAUUCAUUUUUAUAGGAAUUAAAUGUGAGACCAAAUAUUGUUGGGGUUGGAGUCAAAGGAUGAAGAAAACUCAAUAUCUCCAUUUAUGUUUGGUGGGGGCAAUCUCCACUCCCCAAUUAUCCAUAAAAUGACUAUAAACCAUUGAAAUUUUGGGAUGCUUUUUUACCUUUAUUAUUUAUGGUUGGUGGGUGAAAAGUGCAUAUUGAGUUUCAUUUAUUCUAUCAAUACUACUGUGUGGGAAGUGGAAUAUCUUACUCAAUCUCCAACUAUACUGAAAUUGUUAACUUCCCUUUCUUUUGCUUACUCUUCCAGAUAUGAUCAUGUAAUUUAUGGAUUACCCAUAACUGAUAUUUGUUACCCUAAAUUUCCCUCUCUCAUUGACCGUAGUCACCUCGUCAUGGCAGUUUUGUUGAAAAAUUGAGACUACAUCCCAUCAAAUAAAAUUCGGGUAUGAUCCGUGGACAAAUUUUUUUAAAGAUAUAGACAUGGGUUCUUCUAUCCCAUUGUUUCGUUUUUUCUUUGAUUUGUUUAGAAGGAGAGAUUCCCUAUUUCAUCAGGAAUAGUUUAUUCUAUAAAAAAAGAAAAAAACUUUUUUUUUAUUCUUUUGUAAACUUUAUACUUUUAAAACAUCCAUAUAAAAAUGUUUGUUGUGUUCAUCAACAUUCAAAGUUAAUUUUGAAAUUUUCAACGCGUUAAAUUUUGUCUAUUGUUUAUCAUUGAUCAAAAGUAUACAUUUUAGAAUUUAGUGUCUUUCUUGGAAAAUAAUGCAAAUAAAAAUUGUUUCAAAAUCAUCCAACUAUCUAUUCCUAAUCUUAUCCUUAAUUAAAUAUUUUAUAAUUAAGAAGUUCAUAUGUCAAUUCAAAUAUACUUUAAUUGAUAUAAGUUUUUUAUUAAAUCAUCCAAUAAUUUUAGAGAAUGAUUAAAAGUGGCAUAUUUUUUGUUUUAAUUUUAAAAAAUAUUACUUUUCUAAAAUUCGUAAAAUUGUAUUUUUCCGUGAAUCUUAGACGAGGUUGACAACAAAUUUUUUUAAAAUAUUAAAAAUUUUCAACUUAUCGAUUGUUUUGGAUUUUGACGGUGCAUCUCGCUAGACAAUUAGAUCGAUAUUUUAUAAAUUUUUAAAUCUUUCCAAAUCUUUUAUUUAUCUUUAUUUAUCUUUUCAAACAAAUUAUUCAAACAUUUACAAAUCUUUUACCAAAUCUUAAUUAGUUUUUGCUACUUUCGUCAAUUUUUCCAACUAUUUCUUGUAAAUUAGCAUUGUUUUUCCUUUUACUAAUUCCUACCCUUUCUUUAAUCAAUUAACUAUCUUAUGGAACACCAAAAGAGAAAAAGAAGAAAGAAGUAGGAGAAACAAUACUAAGAAAAAGUUGUAAUUUACAAAAACGUAGUUCGAAAAAUUGGCAAAAAAUAAGAAAAUUAGUCAAGAUUUGGUGAAAGAUUGUGAACGUUUGAAUAAUUUUUUUUGAAAAGAUAAAAGAAAUUUGGAGAAUAUAUGAAAAAUGGUCGAAUUUCACUCUAAUUAUCUAGAGCACUAAGAAAACCCAAGGCAACAAAUAAAUUGAAAUAUUUUAAUAUUUUAGGAAAAUCUCAAUGGUCGAUCUCAGCCGAGAUUGACCAAGAAAAACAAAAUUACGAGUUUUAUCAAAAUGUGCUACUUUUGAAAUGUAAAAGCAAAAAUGUGCUAUUUCUAAAAAUUUCUCAAUAAUUUUGGUUAAGUUUCUUCAAAGUGUAAAUAAUAUUUUAUAAUUUUUUAUAAAGCGUAAAUAUUUUAUCAAAUGUUAUUUUGGACAAUUUUUCGAUAAUUUGAAGCCAAAUGACCCAAAUUCAUUCAGUUUUAUGUAAACUAAAACUGUAAAUAAAUUUUGACUUUUUUUUUUUAUUUUACACUGAAAUAAGGAUCAAACGAUUGAUCUUUGGAUUACUAACACAUAUUUAUAUCUAGGUGAGUUAUGCUUUAACAAAAAAGAAAAGCUAUCCAUUAUUGAAAAUAUCAAAAUUGCUAAACUAUUUACGUUGACAGACACUCAUAAAUUUAUUAAAAAAAAUUAUAGUUCACUGCUAAUGUCUAUCAUUGGACAAAAUUUAAAAAUUUGUUAUAUUUUAUAAUUAUUUUGAUGGAUUUUUCGAUAUUUGAAAAUGCUCCUUUAAUUAUACCAUAAAUCGUGUUUUUUAUUUCUAACCGACGUUAUAUUAUAUGUAAUUUGUUUUGGAACAAAUAAAAAUACAUCUAACAAAAGAGGUGGCUUAGUUAGACGCCAUAUAGGGCAAAGACCUAUUCUAAUUAAUAUAACACUCAUAAUAACAUAAAUCACAUUCAUGAUAACAUCAAUUAUUUGUUUCAUCAAUAAGUUAAAGGAGUGACGGCAUGUACCUUUACAAUCAUAUUCAUCUUAUUGCAAAGUAAUGCACAAUUAUAUCCAUAUCAAUAAUAUCUUUUUAGUACCAUAAAUAAUACUUUUUUUCCCUCUCUUAUAGCCUACAAUAACUAAGACAAAGUCAAGACUAUAUAUAACAUAUCUCUCAUUAAAUGCAAAUGAGAUAGCUCAUUAAAUGCAAAUGAGAUAGAUUUAAAUUAAAUAAACUUGGUCUAUAUCAUUGUCUUUUUUUCGUCACAAUCAAUCGAUUAUUGCUAAUGGUAACUUUGGGCGUGCUACCCGUUUUUUAGGGAAAUAUUGUGUGAUAAGUAAUGUUCAAUUCAACUUUUGAUCUACUUAUAUAAUGUUUUACAUGUAACCUUUUAAACAAUAAUAUAAAUGAAAUUAUAAUUUGAUAUUAUGUAGAAAACAAGGUGUAAAUAUUUUUGUGUUUUGUUCUAUUUUUUAGAAAGAUCAACUGUAUAUAAUAAUUUAAAUAUUGAUGAAACUAUUUUAAGUUAAAUUUAAAUUUUAUGUUAAUUUUAUGUUUUUCAUUUAUUAUUCUUUUGCAAAUGAGGAAUUUAGUGAUUGAAAAAAUGUAUUAUUGCGAAAUUAGCCAUAUCUCAGCCAUAUAUUAGAAGAAAAAUAUAUGAAUUUAUAGCCGUUGUUGAACUUAUGAUUGUAUCAAUUUAAAUUCUCAACUUUUGGGUGGUAUCGAUUUAAACUAUAAACAAUAAUAUAAUAAUUUAAACCCUAAACUUUCACAAUUGUAUCAAUUCAAACCCUAAACUUUCAUAAGUACAUACAUAUUUAAAUAAAUAUAAUGGAGAGUUUAUGUUGAUACAAUCAUAUAAGUUCAAAUUGUAAAUUGGUAGACUUAUAAACCACAAAGUUUAAAUUGAUAUAAUUAUUAGUUUACAACCUAAGUUAAAACAAGCACAUAAUUCAUGGUAUAAAUUGAUAUAUAUUCAAAACUUACCAAUUUUGUUUUUAAAUUCUAAAAAACAUAUUUACAAAUAUAUCAAAAUAUCAUAAUAUAUUUAUCAUAGAUCACAAUGGAUCAAAAUAAAAUGCUAUCUUUGUUGAUCAAAUGUUUACGAAGACAUGACCCAUAGUAGAUAGACUGAUAUUUUCUUAUAUUUUGUAAAUUUUUGUUUAUUUUGCUAUAAUUAAAAUUAAUUCUAAAAUAUUCUUUUCAAGGGUGUUUUAUAUGAAAUAGUGUUUUUGCACUAAGAAACAAACCACAGCUAAUUUCUUUUUUAGUUUUUUGUGGAAUAUUUGAUAUAUAUAUAUAUUAGAAAUAUUAGAAUGGAUAUACAUGGGAUUUGUUAAGAACAGACCAAUAAUUUAUGAUUAAAAACUUGGUACGAUCAUAUAAGAAUAAUGACAAGAAGAACAUAUAUUUAACUAUUUUUCUUUUUAAAAUUAUAAAUUAUUGUUUUUUCUAAUACAAUCAUCAAUAAAUGAUUGAGUGUAAUUUACAAUGGUUUAUUCAAAACUGAUCAACAUGUUAUGAUAAAAAAUAAAUACUUCAUACUUGCAUUUGAUGCUUAGUGAUUUCUAUGAAAAAUAAAUAUGUUUCAUCAAAAUAAUUAAACUUCUCAUCUUCCAAUAAAUAUUUAAUUAAUCAUAAUUUCCAUAAGAUUAACUAAUUCUUCACAAAUAUCUCAAAAUAAUCCCCAAACUCCAAUAUAAUUAACAUAAACUCUAAGAUAAUUAAGCUUAAAAGUUCCCUUAAUUUUUGGGUGUUACAUGGUCGUUCUAGUCUUUUGUGUUGUGUUGAGUUGUAACGAUAUUCUGAGUUUCGAAUAUGGAACUUCGCGAGGGAGACUAAUUUUAGAAGUUUCGCUUACUAGGUGUUCAACUCGUUAUCUCACGAAGAGGUACGUGUUGGGUGUCUAGGUGGCACGCCUCCUUCUAGUCGCAUGAAGUGGCCAGCGGGACGGGACGUGACAUCACUUGAUGUAACGAUCAAACUUUUCAAACUAAGAUAAAGGUAAAUUCUUGAAAAUAAAUGACAAAUUUUAAAUUUCAUGGAAAGAGGAAAAACUGGUUCUCUAAUAAAUAAAAUGUAAAAAUAAUCGUUUGAAAAUCAUGGUUUGGGUAAAAUGGUAAAGUACUAUGAAAUCAUAUUCCUAGUUUAGACCCUAACUAAUUUCAAAGAAGCUAAAAAUAAAUAAAUUAAAGAAAAAAAUAAUCAUCAAGUUCAAAUAAAAUGUUUAAAAUCAAAAUACUUAAAAUGAAAAAUGAAAAGCGAAAGCAAAAGCUAAGUCCCCAUAUGGCAUGCCAUGGACUCUUCAUGUCGCUUCCCGCUUUCCAUUUUCUCUACCUCUAUCUGAAACAUUAGACAAAGAAAAAGGGUGAGUGUAAAAAUAUACCCAAUAAGAAAUCCAAAGGAACUCACAUGAUCUAAUGAUCCUGUAGGAACACUCAUAACUCUGGUGAUCUCAAAGAAGCAUACAAAAGAUUGGGUUAUGAAGUGAUCCUGUCUGACCACACAUGAAACAUGACAUGACAGACUGGUGGUCCUGUCGAACGCACACAGUCAUAAACCUAAAAGGUGGUGAUCUCGAGGGACAUCGUAGAGUAGGCACAAAUCCUAAUAAUAAACACCAAAGUUCAAAAGCAUGUAACAAUCAUCAUAAACAUGGCAUGAAGCAUCAAUGAUAAUAGUCCAAAAUCAUGUAAUCCAUAAAACAUAUACAUCAUCACAUAUUGCUAGCCAACAACUAAACGUUAUUAGCUACCAUCAAUGCAUAAUCAGUAAAUACGUGCUUACCCUUAAAUUUAUGCUCGACGAUCCAGUAGAAGAAUCUGCUAUCUUAAAUUAGCUAAAAAAUAUAUUCUUUUGCUGACAGUCAAAUUAUUCUAAUUAAAUAGAUCCUAAACAAUAAGAGGAAAUUUCAAUAACCUUAAUUAAUAAAAUUACUAAUGGCCAGUAUCUAAAUAUUCUCCCAGUUUAGCUUACCAAGAACUAAAGUUGAAACCAAUUCAAUCUUAAUGGAAAAAUUCUACAUAUUAAAUUCUCUAAAAUCGCCAAUUAAACUUGUCCCGACGUGAUCACGAUGUGGAGCCGCCGACCUCCAUCGUUUAUUUAAUUUUAAUAAAUAAAUAGUUUUGGAGUCAUCACCAACCAUAUUAGGGUGUGAUCGGUCACCCAAAGAAAAAAAAAUAAAAAAGAUGGUGUACGUAAAUUCAUGAGAUUUAAGUUCGAGAGUCAGUUGUUUGUAGGGAAAAUGUUAACACCUGCAACACCCAUGAAAUGGUUAUCCAAUUUUAUCUUUUAAACUAAAUUAUACACCUUCACAAAACAAAGUUUUUUAUUUAGGUUUUAUUUAAAUGUCUCAUGUAUAUCAAUAAGAAAAUAAAACUUAAGCAUGAAUUGAUAAUUAUGGGUGGCUUAAAAGCCAUUAGAAAAAUAAAGUUUAAUUCAAAAGAUUUUCUUUUUUUAUAUUCACCUCAAUAAUAUUAAAAUACCAAAACUUUGAUAUUUUAAUCUCCAUCAUCGGUGACUAAUGAGAAAUUUGAUGUAUCUAAAAAUUAAUAAUUUCAAAUAGAGAAAUUUCAUGUAUUCAUGAAAUAUAAACUAUAAAAUCCAUAAAAAAAUAAUAUUUUUUCUCCAAUUUAUAUUUUUAUAUUUAAAUUGAAAAAUGACUAAUAAUAAUGAUAAAACAUUGUAAAAUUUGAGAAAUAUUUUAAAGAAAUAUGUGGAGAUAAAAUAAAUACAUAGAUAAUAUAAAUAAUAUGCAAGAUGAUUAAUUAAUGCAAAUUAAUGCAGAAGGAUGCAAGAGCAAAAUAAUUAAUGAACUGAAAUGGAUGGCAAAUAAUUAUAUCAAAAUGUACAUAAUGCAAAUAAUUUGAAUGAGUAAUUGACACAAGAGGCCAAAUGAGUGCCAACAAUUAACUCAAGAUGCCAAAAAUUAAAAACGUCAAAUACAUAAUGUUAAUUAAUUUAUCAUGGAUAAUUAUUAACAUGGAUUAAUUAUUAACGAAAGAUGCUAUAUGGAUACAAGUAAAUAACAAAAAUAGGUGUCAAAAAUUAAAAAGAUGGCCAACAUGAGCUUAGCUCAACUGGCACUUGUAUGUUUUUGUGGACGAGAGGUCCCGAGUUCACAUCCUCAUUCCAAAUGGAUGUCAAAUAAUUACUAUUUGAUGAGAAUAUCCAAAACACAUAAAAUUGAGAUAAUUAAACUAAAAAUUAUAUAAAAUUUGAGGGAUUAUACUUGAAUUUUGGAUCUUAUUACUCAAAAUAACUUUGAGAUCUGUCCGUGAUGGAGAAUUUUUUCGAGGAGCAAAGAAAGAAUUCAUCAUCAAAUGACAGCUCGAAUGACUCAACAACAAAAUGGAUUGGUAGAGAGAAAGAAUUGAACGAUCAUGGAAAUGGCAAGAAGUAUGCUAAAAGAAAGAAAGAUGUCAAAUGAGUUCUAAGGAGACGUUGCAUGCACUGGUUACAUUUUGGAUCGAGUUCCAAUGAAGAAUGUUCUAAGUAUGACUUCUUAUGAAGCAUGGUGCGAUGAGAAACCAUAUGUGAGUAUCUGACAGUAUAAACUUAUUCUCACGUACCAAAUUAGCUAAGAGGCAAACUUGAUGAUAAAUCUGAAAAAUGUAUUAUGGUAGCCUAAUGUGAAAAUGUUAAAGCUUAUCAGUUAUAUAAUCCUGUGUCAAGAAAGAUUAUUAUUAGCAGAGAUGUGAUUUUCGAUGAAUAUGAAUCCUAAAACUAAAGUGAAGUUGGUGAACUAAAAGUCCAUUUCUUGUUAAUAUGUAUGAGAAUAAAUUUGCUCGACAAUUAGAGCAAGCAUAAAUUUAAGCAGUGGCGACAUCUUCAUCUUCAUCUUCAACGCCAUCUUCCACAAGUGAUGAUGAAAUCUCAUCAAGGAGAAUGAGGAAUAUUUAAGAAAUUUGUAAUGCUACAAAUAGAAUUGAUGAUGAUUAUUUUGCUAAUUUUGUAUUAUUUACUGGGGUUGAUCCUGUAACUUUUGAUAAAUGCCAUACAAGAUAAGAAAUGGAAGAUUGCAAUUGAUCAAGAAAUUGAUGCUACAAAAAGGAAUGAUACAUGAGAGUUAUGAAGAUUUCUACAAACAAAACAGCUCUUGAGCUAAAAUGGGUAUACAAAACAAAGUUGAAGUCAAAUGGUGAAAUUGAAAAAUACAAAGCAAGACUACGAGCAGGAAUAGGGUGUGGAUUAUGAAGCAAUAUAUAUUUGCUCAUGUGACAAGAAUUGAGACCAUUUUAUUGAUUUUAUCUCUUGCGGUUCAAAAUGGGUGGAAAGUUUAGACAAGAGCGUCUAGUGAGUGGAAUCUUUUAUCAAAGUUUUUGAUAAAUCAAAGUUGCCUUAACAACUAUAAAAAUUUCGUCAAGUCAUACGGUAAAUAAUAUAACAAUUUAAUCAGUAUAAUAUUGAAUUUAAAUCAAAUCAUCUCACUUUUAUCAACAACUUUCACAAAUCAUAAUUUCAUAUGGAAAUCGUCUCUUUUCAAUUAUUUCAUCGUAAUUUAUGUCGCAUGACAUGCAUCUCACAUAUAUCAUAAGCAUCUCGCAAAUCUAGUCUGUAUGUUUAGUUACAUAUUUGUGUCCCUUUUCUCAGCUCAAGCGUUUACCACUCUUUUGCUCAGUUGCGACUAAACUCAACGCAUUUAGCAAGUUUCAUCAAUUCCACUAUGAAUUAUGCAGUCUUCUAAUGCUAGAUCACACAACAAGUAUAAUGCAUCAUAUUCAAGAUCACAUAGCAUGAAUAAAGAAUUCUAUUCCAAAUCACGCAACAACAAUAAAACAUUUUAUCCCAAAUCACACAACAAGGAUAAGGCAUCCUAUACCAUAUCACAUGACAAGUGUGAGACAUUCUCAUUGCAUAGGGUACAAAAGAUUAUUUCGUUUUCAACUUUAUCACAUCUCAUAUACUCUCCCAAAUACAUCAUUUCAACAAUAAGUCCAAUUCCUUUAUAAGUUAUAUGCAUUUUAAGGAUUUGAAAAAAUAAGAGAAAUCAUACAAAUCAUGGGCUAGGUAGAAAUGGAUUUAAAAUACAAUUUCAAAAUCUUUUUCAUUUUGGAAACAUUCUGGAAACAUUCUAUAAGAGGAAUCACUCACUGUUACAAUCAAUUUGCUCUUCCUCCUAGCUUCCCCGACCAAGAGUCUCCUUGCAUCUCUUGAAAUCCUGGUAGAAAAUAAACUCGUUCUGCAUCUUUGAAAUCUCAAAUACUUCUCUAAUUCUUUUUUAACAAGCUCAAGGUACAAGCAACUUCAAACUAACCUAAAUUUCCUUCCACGGUGAAUUUUUCCAUAAUAGAAUGAUUACUCUUACUAGCGGCGAGAAGUUGUCCAAUCUCAAAACACCACAUGUCUCUACCUAACCCUUAUCUUGAACUUUGAUUAGGUGGCAGGGUCAAAUCAAAUACCAGCCUGACUCAGGGUCACAUCAUUGUUUCUUAGUGAAGUAGCGCAAAUUGCUCUAUCGUUCGCCAUGUAACCCUUUUAGCAUAAAGACCUUUCAUCACACACUUCUUUCAUGAAACCCGUUUUGCCUACACAAGUCUCUUCAUGCAUUAUCCCUACUGCAGGGCCUUCCUCUCAUUAGUGGUACGUGGUCAGGGCCUUACAACUCCUGAUUUGACAUUCUCGAGAGACGCAAAACCUUAUUAUCUCAGGAACCAAACUCUUCCUCGCCUUAUCUUCUUGAGAAGCUAAACUCUUUUUUCCGCCUUCUUCUUUCUCCCGACAGACUACAACCGCCCACUUCUUUUUUUGAAUUCUUGAAUGCCUAACUGAUCUUCUUGCUAGAACUCCUUCGCCGCAUCAACUUUUCCUUUAUUGUCUACUUUUAACGCGACUUCCUUCUCUUCAAAUUUUAUCUUUAGAAUGAUCAAUCUUUUCAUUUUAGAAGAAUCAUCCCACCCCUCAGCACCUUUCUUCUGCAACAUGACUCAUUUUCUCGAACCUGGACCUCACAUAAUGAAUGCGUAUUAUGAACUUAAUUAUUAUAACUUGUUUUGAGUGCUCUUGAUACAAAUUAUAUAAGUUUAAAAUAUUUUGUAAAAAGUACUUUAACGGAGUAUUGCAUUGUUGAAGAUACUUUUUUUAAGAGUUUUUUUUUUUUUUUUUGUAUGAAGAGUUUAAAAUAUUAUUGAAACUUUUGAAUGGUAUUCAUUCCAAACUAAUCAUAAGAAUACUAUUUAUAUUUCUUUUAUUUAUUGUUUUAAAAAUUAGAAAUAUUAUUGAAACUGAUUUUAGGCUUUUAUUAUCAUUGUUGUUGCCUCGUUUGUGUUGGUUUCUUUCGUUCUAAAUAUAACUUUUUGACUUAAAAUUGAGAUGGCUGAGUAGGAAAAUUGGGUUCUACCUUGGAAGUACUAAAUAAUAAUAAAAAAAAGUUGAUAUGAAAAAAGGAAGAGAAAAAUAAAAGGUCAUGGCUUGCAAUGCCAAGUUGCAAAGAAGUCAUACAAUUAUUUCUGCCGACUGUCCUUUCAUAGACUUGGAGCUUAUGAAAUAUAUUCAAAGAUUCCCAUUCAACUCUUAGGAUUAAAAAAUCCAACCUUUCAUAGACUUGUCUGGUAAAGGAAAUUAAACGACUGGUAACCCAUCUUUCUUCUAAAACUUGUAGGGUAGUCUCUUAUCCUCAGGUUGGUUUGUUCUUGAAUCAAACAUUUGUUAUAGGUUGAAUGUUCGUUUGGCUUUCAUGGGCUUCAAUACCACAAUGGAUAAACGUGAAAAUUUAUCUUUUAACUCGAGCAUUUUACAAAGAUUGAAAAAUCUCUAUUUUUCUGGAGUUUUCUUUCGAAUUAUUGAAAUGUAAGAAAAACUUCACUGUCCAUUCAAAGGGGGUGUGGGUGACAAACAUCUACAAUUGGUACAAAGAAAAUUUAGAUGUUAGAAUUGUCACUCCACAUAUUGUUGAAGAGAAAAACAAACAAGUGAUGGCCUGAUGGGUUUUGAACAAUGCAAGUGCUACUUCGGAUGCAUUUUGAACAAUGACUAAAAUGAGGCAUUCCUUUCAGAGACGAAAAUGGUUAUAGUGGACUGACCAUUUUUCUUUUAUUGACAUCACAGAUGACAAAAUGAUGAUUUGGACCUAUAGCUAUUUCAGAGAAAGUAGAGAUGGAUUGGCCUAACUCAUAAAUAAAUGAGAGACUAAACCAUCGACACAUAUCGAAUUAACAAACAAGCAAAGAGGCUAAGAACAUUCUUCAAGUUACCGGAAAAAAGGCACAUUCACAAUUAAAAACUUCAAAUUCCAACAGCUCAUCGAUCCAAGAACACAAAAUGGAGGGCAUUUAAACUUGUUUUACGAAAAAGAAUCCUCAUCAAUAUAAACUCAAACAUAAGCUCACACAUCUCAAGCAAAAAAUGCCAAUAUCGUAAGACUAAACUUAAUAAAAAUACACAUUCUAAAAAGGAGGCCAUUUUAUUUAUUUAAUUAUGUCAUGUAGCAAAUGACAAACUACGAAGGAAGCUGAAGAGAAUCUUGUGAAUAUAAUCCUUUGAAUUGGAUGAAACAUUUCCUGAAGGAUAGAGGAAGAGCAUAUCAAUAGUAAAAUUGAAAGCUCAAGAGGGAAAUUGUGGGAAAAUCAGGGGAAUGCUUCUCGUAAUUGGGUGGGCAGAUCAAGAUCAGGCUCAGUUUCACUUAGUGGAGAGAAAUAUUGGUUCACCAUAUCUUCAGAUACUUGGGCUAAGGUUGGAGGAUUCCACUGCCACCAAUAACAAAAGCAAUUACAUUUUUAGAAUCCCCAAGAAUCUAAAGUUUUUAUUACUAAGAAAAGUAAGUAGCUCAAAUAAUAAAAUUAGUUUAUUGUAUUUACUUGAUCUCUAAAUUUCAACUACAUUCCUAAAUUUUGAAUGAUGAUAUACUUUGUUAACAACUAAACACCAUUGUGACACGCUCCUUAUUCUAUCCAACUGUCAGCCCCAUGCCGCACUAAUUCAACCCAAACAUAUCUAAUCAGCAUGCCAACUUCAAUAUUUAAACAGUUGUGCCAAUGGUGUAAAUUAAAUAGCCAAAUUUGCAUAAAUCAUUGCUAAACUACAACCUUGUUACAACUACGUCUUCAAAGUCUUCAAAUUCUUAAUUUGAUCGAUCUCACCUUUAAACUUACAAAAUUCUUACAAUUAAACCUUUAAGUGUUCCAAAAUGCACAUACUGUUAAUAAAUUAAAUUUUUUAUUUUUAGAUCAACCAUCUAAAUAUAAAGAAACAAGAAAAUUGUUGAAAAGUAUUAGGGUAAAUUGUCGACAAGUCUAUAGUUUGUAAGUGUGAUAGUAGCGAAUAAACGCUUCUAGGUUAAGAAUGGUUUGUGCAUUCUGUAAUAUUUAAGAGUUUAAUUGUAGUAAUUUAGAAGUUUAAGGGGGUGAUUAAUCAACAUGGAAGUUCGAUUAUAUUGUAACAACCUAUAGAUCGAAUGUGGUAUUUUGGAACUUUUCCCUGGUAAAUAAAAACAAUUUUUAAAAAAUGACUACAUAGGAUAGGAACAUUAUUGAAAUUUCACAAUACAAUAUACGAACUAAAUUUAUAAUAUAACCUAUGAGAAAGAUGUCGUUAAGCUAUAUUUACUCAUUAUUAUCUCAAAGGUUGAAUUUUAUCAAUUUCAAAUUUAGGUUCUGAAAUUUGUUUGACACACAGAAACCCAAGUACCAUUUAAUUACAUACCUUCGGUGAUAAAUCUUUGUCCACCAAUCGAGCCCGAACACCCUGAUGAGAAAAUUAUUUUGUGAGAUAAACUGAUCAGGAGAUUUUACAACUUACAUUAAAAGGCCUAGUAGUGAUUAUUAGAUUUAUACCUCACAAAAAUCACUCGAGAUCUGCUUGGAUAUCCCUUGUAGGGACAUUCUAUAUUCACGAAUCAAGCACUGGUCGAGUGUUUGGUAUCUUCCUUCUCGUAUCUGAACAAAUUCAAUAAUUAUGGUAAGUUGAGUUGGAAAUAAAAAUGAAAUAAAGAUAAGACUUUCCUCCGCAAAGAAGAGUGGGAAGGAAGACAGAAUGAGUUUGGACCUUCAGAAGUUCAAAGGGAAAAUAAAACAAGAGUAGAGAAAGAAACAAGAGAGAGAUAAACGUCAUACAGAUUUCAAAGACACCUUCAGGCUCAAAGGUGAUGCUUCUUUCAAUCGUUUUAGAGUGGAGAUGCACCAUGGAUCUUUUGUUUUGGAUGACUCGAUUUCCUGAAAGUAUGGUGGUUUUGCAAAUAAAAGAAUGCACAAACUUAUUUCUUCUAGGAAAUUUAUAGCGAAAAGAUAUAUAGACAUCCUAAUAAAAGUUCAAAUAUCACCUCGUGAACUCUAACUUUCAUCAAUCAAAUAUUAAUCAGACAUGUAGGAAUAUGAACUAACCAACGAAUCAAUGAUUUCUUCAACAGUGUCAUGGCUGAAACAUUUAUCAAGUAUUUCGAUUCUACAAAACAAAUAAAUAGAUAAAGCAAACAUAUCAGGUAAAAAGUAUGUAUUUUCUUAGUAAGUAGGCACACUCUAUUUUAAGCAGACUUUGAUGAAACACACACUAGCCAUAAGCAUACUUGGACAUUCCCUGAAUUUGUAGAUAACAAAUUUAAAGUGUCCAAUGCCAAUAACUUUUUACUUUAAUUUUACCCUUAAACGUCAUAUUAUUAAGGAGAAGGAGAGAGAGAGGGGGAGAGAGAGGGGGAGAGAGGGAGAGGGAGAGGAAGAAAAAAUAAAACUGAUUGGUGGGGGAGACAUAAUAAGACAAACAAAAAGAUAGGUUCAUCCCACUAAUGCUUCUAGAAAGAAAAACAAUAUACGCCUCAUAAUGCAUCAAAUCCUUCAAACAUGUUGAGCUAUUUAUAAUUUAAAUAUACAUUAUUUUUGUUCUACAUUACUGCGUACUAGCCGAGCCUAGCAAAAUGAUGUGUCAUUGUCUUAUGAUCCAGGGGCAUAUUUAAAAGGAUUUACAAAUAAAAACCAAGUUGAAAGCGAUCAAUUAUGCAUACCUGUGAAGUACACUUGUUUUAUCCAGAUGAACACGAUCACCAAAUUUAUUUAAUGAAGAUUCAACAAUAGAUGCAUCAUCUGUAACCAAAUUCCCUAGAUGCUCUUCAAUUAAUGGAAGCCGCUGAAAAUGGAAAGUAAAGUUAAAGGAGGCCAAAAUCUAAUAGAAACAGAAAAACUUGAAUGCCAAAGAUUUAAGAACUAACUGAACUAUGAGAAUAGUGCGUAGCAACCCCACAAGCAACCAUUUCUUCUCCUUUAAGCUUUUCCCCUGUUAGACCCAAGUACUCUCCUGCAAAGUACAAUUAGAUCAAAUCAAACUGAUAAAGUCGUUGAUUUCUCAAUUCAACUCCAGAAUCUAACUUCAAACUUAUUUCACCAUUCUGAGAAAAUAAUAAUCUAUUCUUUAUCAGGUUCCAACCAGCUUACUGCCUCAAAUAUCUUAUACUUCCAGUGGAUGAACAAAAAAUUUCAUCAGCAUUCUUGUAAAAUUAAAUUGAAGAGCAUAUGAGUAGGCAACUGCAACUUCAGAUACAAAGCAGGUCCGUACAGUAACUUAUUAUUAGAAGUUUGGUAUGAUAUGAAUGCGCUUAUCCAGAUUUUAGCCCGCUUAAGAACACGCUUAUUCUUCUUCAAAAAAAGAACACCCUUAUUCAUUUGUUUAUUUCCCUCUUGAUGAAGAGAACAUUUAGUGAGAACAGACCAAAGACCAAAGAUUACAGGAGAGAAAUGGAAAAACAAAAACAAUAUAAUAAUGAUAAUGAUUAUUAAACCACCAAUUCACCCAAAAGCUUAAGCUUGUGGUUGAAGGCAAAUUUAAUUAUAUAUCACCAACACUCCCCCUCACUUGUGGGCUUGAAAUAUUUGAAAGGCCCAACAAGUGGAAACUAAUUUUAAUUGGGGAGGAAGCGACAAUGCAGGGGCUUGAACGCAGGACCUCCCUGGACCACCUGCUCUGAUACCAUAUUAAACCACCAAUUCACCCAAAAGCUUAAGUUUGUGGUUGAAGGCAAAUUUAAUUAUAAAUUACCAACAAUGAUAACAUUUAUAAAAUUUUACAAAAUAAAUAAAGAAAGCUGAAAAUUCUUAGAAAAAACAAUUAUAGAAAAGAGCUCCAAUUCAAAGGAGUGAAUAAUAAAGAAUAAUCACCAAAAGCCUUAGUAACGGAAGCCUAAAGGGAACAUGGGACCUAGCAAAGGCCCAAACACACCCUUCCAAGAACUUUCCUCAUCAUUAUAGAUCCUCUAUUUCUCUCUAGCAAAAAAUUCCAUAUAAUCAUGAAAUAAGCAUUUUGCCAAAGAAACACCCUUCUAUCAUGAAAGGUGAAUGAAUAAGACCUCAUCUGUCAAACCUACGAAAACAAUUGGUAGCCAUAUGACUCCCAAGAUUCCCAAAAUACUAUUCUAAAUCCCUCAAGUUUGAAACAAACUAGCAGACCCACAGUACACAAUCCAGACUUUCUGCGGCCUCUUUACACACCUCACCAUUGCCCAACAGAACGAAAGAUAGAUUUGUAAAUAUGAUUCAUGAUUGUCCUAGCGUAUUAAGAACACCCUUGAAAAACCCAAUCCUACAUUUUGUAAGCACCUCCAUUUUGUAUUGUUGAAGUUGAGUUUUUACCAUUCACCAGGACUGAGAUAAAAUCUUUUGGAAAGGUCCAAAUACUUUCUAGUCAAUAGAUACUUACAAAUGUAGUCCAUUCAUCGCAUAUAGUAGUCCCAACCUCAUAGAUUUUCCCUCGUUUAUCUGUUGAUCCCUAAUUUGACUGCCAAUCAUGUGGUUCCCACAGAUUUUUCUGUAGGUGUCAUUUGCUUGGUGAGCCAUCUCUUGACAGUGCUCAUAACAAGGGUCCCUUUCGAGACUCCAGUUUUCAGUUCCACUGCAAAAUUGAGGUGAAUAAUUUCCAUUGGGAUUUUCUACUGUCAGUACCAGAGUUGCGAGUAUUUCAAAUUUCUUAAACUCAUGGAAAAUUAAGUAGAAUGAAAAGCUUGUACUACUAAGCUUAUGAUGGAUGUAAAUAUAUUCAUUAGCUAUAAAAUCAUCAAUGAUCUUAUUUUAUUUUUAUCAUGAUUCUUUCCUUUGAUGUAUUAAGUCUUUCUCCUAAUAUAAGAAAGCUAUUCACCUUACAUUUGAAAUAUAACGUAUUUUAUUCCAUUUAAAACUACAAUGGUGGAGAUCCUGUGCUCGCCCCUUUAUUAUCCAUUUAAUAUUAAUUUUCGCUUGUUGGGUUUCUACAUAUUUCAAACUCACAAAUGAGGGGAGUGUUAAAAUGUUGAUAUAAUAUUAAAUUUGCCUUCACCCAUAAACUCAGACUUUUGGGUUAAUAGGUGAUUUAAUAGUUCAUAAAUUAUAUUCCCUAUCAAAUUUGCCCCAUAAUAUAGUACAAGUUCGAAACCAAUGGAGCUUGGUUGGAGAUUAAGAAGAUUUUAAGAAUCAACACUUGAACUGUUAAACUAGAAGUUUUAGGAAAUCUUUAUAAAAAGUGUGUUUUACAAAAACAACUAAACAAAAUAAUGAAAUGUACUGUAAUGCAGAUUGGGAGAUUGGUUACAGGAACUUAUCUCUUAAUACGUCUGGUAACCUUUUUUGUAUGUUAGUUUGUAGUUUUCCUUCGAGGAGUAAUCUUAAUGGGGCAUAUUUCAGCUGGAAGCUCUAUAAGACAGCAUCCGGUUGAUGAGAUUUAGAUUCCUUCAGUUUAAAGGCUGGAAGGAUCCUUCAAUUUUUCUUUAAUUUCAAAUCCAAAACUGGAGCCUUGACCAGAACCAUUACAUUUCAGUUAUUCUUAUAAAAAGCUGACCGAUUAUAUUCAGACCUUCUUUAAACAUAAAAUUAAAUUCUUAUCCUCUUCUAUAUGCGCACACUAGUCUCUAACUUGUUAUCAUCCCACAUAUGGCACACCAGACGCUUGGAGACCAAGUUAUGUAACCAAAUAUACCCCCAUACAAUAUUGGCAUGCAUCCUUUGUAAUCCGAACAACAAUAAUCACUAUUUUAGCUAAAAUGUGAAAGCCAAUGGAAUCCAUUUCCCGCCUCAAAAUAACUGUCAAUUCCCUCAAAUAUUCAAGACCAAAAUCCAGAAGACAUUCAGCAUUCUUUACGAAACUGAAAGUAAAUUUCACUUAUGUCCUGACUCCUUGGUAACCAAGAUGCAAAAGAAAUUUUAAUUUUACUUAUGUGCACUUACCAACCUAAUAAUCCAAAAAUAAAGAAACGAACACUUCCAAAAGAAGCAAAAAAGUAACUGUUAGGUACUUUAACACGUAGGAGAACUACACCCCAAAAGCUAGCUAUUGAGGUGAAAGAGUCAAGCCACUUAAGUACCACAUUGGUCAUCCCAUUCUAACCAAUGUGGGACAAAGGUAGCUCAUAUUACCUUGGUUCCUAAAAGUAACACUUCUAACAUAUAUAUUACUAUGUAGCGUACAAAUCUGAUUUUGCAUCAGAGAAUUAAAAUGUUUACUCUUCCUAGUUCAGCACAACAAAAGAAUAAUAACUUCACCCCUUGAUCAAAAAGCAGUCACAUGCACUUGCAAACUCUAUAAGCAUGUCAGAUGAUCACUGUUAUAUAGCCUGAAAUGAAUAAACGCUAUGCAGCACUGGAAAAUUAAACAAUAAUAACUACCACCACCAGCUUCCCUAAAACUAACAUUAACUGGAUCCAUCGUGCAAGAUUUUGAAACUUGUCAAACAAGAUAGAAAGUAUUGAAGUUACCCAUGCGACCAGGUAGAUGUGAGAGGUGGAAAGAUGCACCAGCAUCAGGGUGGAAACCAAUCAGGGUUUCAGGGGUAGCAAAAACCUGAAAUUAGAUACACAAAUGUACUUGACAAUCAAUGCGAAAGCUUUUGAAAUGAAAUCAUUAAGUGCUUAUUUACACAAUGAGAAACUAUUGUAUCCAUUGCCUGUUAACUUCAGUAAUCAAAUCUCGGUAAUGUGGAACAGAAAUAUUAAGAUCAUACAGAGACAGACAUAUUUCUAUCCUAAUAGGAUCAAAUAGCUUUAGAUUGCAUCGGUCACCAUUGUAUCUUGUAUAUACAUUCCGAAUAUGAUAUUCUGAUUCUCUCUCAAACCUAAGUGUUUUACAAGACCUAAGUGUUUUACAAGGAGCAACAAACCUUACACUAUUCCUUCAUCCACCUCAUGCAAAUCCAGCGGCCAGACUGUUUAUAACUACAGCAAGCUUGCCUGACCAAAACUUCAAUCUUGUGAUCUAUUAGAACAACUUCCAACCCCGACAAGGUUGCCACUUAUGGAUUACCAAAACAAUUGUCAAGCUCUGUUUCAUACAUGGCCUUGAUCUGAUGUGUAGGGGGAAGAAUCUGACUAAGCCAAUGAUCCAGCCUCCUACCCACCCCUGAAGCAUUUGUUUCCAAGAUAAACGGACUUGAAAACCCUGCCAGCCAAGCUUACUAAACUUGUCCCAUUCCAAUUAAAACUAUCUUUCUCAGACAACUGACUCACCAAUCAUCACAAAAUACCUAUCAACACAAUGCAACCAUUCAUUCAAGGGGAAACUCCAACUUUUGUAACCUCAAAUAAAAAAUUAUAGCCAAGGUGCAAUUCUUACGUGUCUCACAGUUGUUGGCACCUAUUUCAAUAAUAAUUGUCACCAGUAAGAUUUCUUGCACUACCUAUCCAUGUUCACCUCAUCCUUUUCCACAGCUGAAACCAUCUUUGUCAAUUUCCACAUUCCCUCCAACUCCAACUCCUUGCCCAGUGUCCUUUUUAAUAGAUUUGUUUAUCUCUCCCUAAUCUGCCCAACCUCUUCCUCAACUUCCUAUUCUUGACUUGCAUUUAAUUUAGUUUUCAUGUUUUUUGGACUGAUCCCAUUUCCUAAUUGUAACAGCUUUAAUACCAAGAUAACAGAAUUUGAUGUUACUAAGAACAAAAGGGUACAACUCAGAAAGAUCAAAGUGCUAACUAAACUUUGCUUAAUGAAAAACAUGCUCCCUGAGAGUCUAUCUUCGAUUUAUAAUCUCUCCAUCAUGACUUCUCUCACUCACCCCUAAACCCCAGGCUGACUAAUAAUAUACUCCCACUCUAUGUCUAAGUUCCCCCACCCAUUACAUGUUUCCUUUGGCAUACAUUUAUUAUUUCUGGCCUAUUAAAGAUUCAAUUUCAAAUUUGACAUUUUUGAAAAACAAGGAUACCAAGAAAGUUUAAAUUAAUGGGCAAACAGAAAGUGAUUCAUCACUUCCAUAAAACUACCACCUAGCAGAAAUGGCCAAGCGUAUUUAGUUACAUACGAAUACUAUUACCUCAUCUAAUAACCGAAAAUAAGGAAUCUUUGACUUUAAAACAAUAAUAUAAUAAUAAAUAAAAGCUUCAAAGAAGUUAGGAUGGUGGGGGAGGGAAUUAUGUGUGCCAGUGACUUACAGUUUUAUCAGUUGCAACUCGAAAAGUCCCAGGAAUUGAAAUUCCAGUUCCACCACCCAUGGUAAUGCCAUUUAGAAUUGCCACCUGCAUGAAGAUUAUCAACACAAUGUUGGAGAAGUUAAGUGUUUACAUGUAGUAAACUUGGAAGAACGCAUAAAAUCAGCUGAAACAAAUUCAAGUUAAUGAUUAAGGAGAGGAUUGUCACAUUUGUUGUGAUCUUUUCAAAGCCAAAAACAGUAUGUGUGUGUGUAUACACUACAUAUAGAUAGAAGUUACAUUGAUCAAGAUACACAAUAGCAAACACAUGAUGAUAUAGUCACUGCUAGACCUCCCGCAAAAAUUGAUGCUUAAAUUAAAGAAAUCAAGAGGAUGUUAUCAGCCCGAGCAUAGUGGUAAACCUUCCCUACACCCACCAAGGAAAAUCAAUCUAUAUACAUCUUCAUAAAUUUCCUAAAUGUACCUUCAAAAGUCAUUUUUACAUAAUAACUUUACAUACACAUCUUAAAUCAAAAGUAACUUUUAUACCAUAACUCUUCGUAGACAGCCUAAUUUUUUUUACGAAAAGUCCUUGUAGACAUUUCCAAUGUGCACGUGCACACAAAGGUAUAUAUAUCUAUUAGAUGCCACACAAACAAGGAUAAUUCAAGAAAAUUUUGUUCCUGAUAAGUAUAUUACACAAAACACCAUAAUUUUAUGCUCCCAGUAUUAAGAAAGCGCCAUAUUUUGAAGAGAAUGAAACAAACUGUUCAAGAUAAAAAGCCAAGAACUAGGAACUCACAUGAGGCUUCAGGUAUGUACCAACCAUAUAUAUAAAAGCAUACAAUGUACUGAAAAACUUUUUACAAUGUUCUAUCUCCCCUGCAAAAGUCACCAAACACAAGGAUGGCAAUUUUAAUCAAAACUGAUGGAUGAGUUAACCAUAAGAGAGCUGAUUCUAACUUUUAAUCUAGUACAAGAAACCGAAGUUAACAAGUAAGCCUUAAGAUCAUCCAAUACCUUUUCUCAAUAUAAAUACACACAAAUACAAACAUUCACUCAAACACACACACACACACACACGCAUGCAUACAUACAUACAUAUAUCAUUCGUUGCCUUCUUAAAUUAUCAAGCAAUAAAGAACAAAGACAUCCCAAAAAAGUAUUGUUUUCAAUAUAAAAGACGCGAGAAUAUAAAUAGGUACCACAAAAUUUAGAAGCUAUAAUGAAGUCCCAUGUUUGAGUCCAAGAAGCUCAAAUGGGUAUCCGGUUAAAAAAAAGAAUGAGAUCCAACUCAAGGAUGGUGACUCAAAGAGGCACUAUCAUCAUAAGGCAUUUUGACAAUUCCAUUUUGAAAAGAUAGAGAGAUCUCAUAAGCUUUAUAAGUUAUAUGGAAUACUACUCUCAUUGUCAUUUGGUUUUGAGAUAGAACCUCAUAUUUAUCCAACAGGUUAUAGGUGAAACGGUCUUCUGUAGAUUUCAGUUCAUAGACCUGCACCUAAAAAUGUCUAUAAACAUUAAAGACCCAAACAUCCAUCAAUAGACUCUUAUAGUUGAGUACAAAAAGGUACAAGACAAGAAACCAUUUAAUGUACUGAUCGUCAUAGAGGAUGAUAUCAAUAUUUUGUGCUUCAUCAUCAGAUUUACAGUUCUUUGGUCCUCAGCUUUCUCAGAAACAUAAAUUAUUAUAACACUUGGAAACAUCUUUUGUACAAAAUAGUUCAACUUUUGUUUUCUUACACGAGACCAUUGAUCUAGCGCAGGACAACAGUUUGGCCCUCCUUAGUGAUAUAUUCAACAAAGUGUUAAUAUAACAGAGCAUAUCAGACUCUUACCUUCAUUGAUCAUAUGAUAAAGCGAAACAAUAUCUCCACCAGCACAAAAAGCCCUGCCACUGCCCUUCGAUAAUCCAAAAAUUAAAAAUUAAAUAAAGAAGUGUGAGCUGCAAGUGAAAAUGUACGAUUACAUCCGAAUGAAAAAUCAUCCUAGAAAAAAACUCAACAGAUGCAGAACAAGAUUACAAGAACAAGAAAAAGAAAAUACCUUCAAGACAACAAAACCAACAUCAGGGUUUUCUUCCCAUGAAUUGUACAAUUCAUGCAGUCUGGCCCCCUAAGCACCAAGUACAUUUAAGAGUAAGAAAUUACCAUGAAAUGUAACCAUCUGAGUAAUUUUUCCAAAAUAAACUAACAGACUAUUAUAUAGAGCUAAGAAAAAUUCUGGUGAACAAUAGCUGAAACACACAUGAAGCUGAAAAAAGAUAAUGCACCAUAUUAGUAUUAAGAGCAUUGAGAAUUGAUGGUCUGUUAAGAAUGGCGGUUCUGGACCAAGCCCUGCCUUCAACAAGCACCUGCAAAAGAGACACAUUAACAAAUUAUCUAAACUAAGGUCAAGGAAAUAAUGUAAUUAGAAAACUGACUUCUUGUUCGUGAUCAUGGUCAGAGGAAUGGUCGAGAAGAGAGCAUUGGUUUCUGGUUUGAGUGAGGAGACGAAUAGUUUGAAGGCUUCGCCUAGUGAAUAACGCAACCUUCAAACUCUGAACCAUCUUCUUCUGACGAUUUACCUACCGGUGUGAAAAAUUAAAAGUUUAGAAAUGAUUGUGCAAGAAUAGGUUGGUUUGUGAUCUCUUCUGCGACUUGGAAUCGGUAAUUUGUAGAAGAAAAAGGAGGGAGAAAAAGUUUGUCCAGAAGAAUCUUGAGGUGGACAUAGACUGGUUGAUUGGAAGUUAGAGAAGAAUAUUGGCUAUUCAUUACCGGGCACCAUUGCAGUUAUACCUUCUACAGCUUCGUUGAGAAGAAGAGUGCUUAUCAAACAAUUGGGGCUAUUUUGCACAAUUUGAGGGGGGGAAAGCAUAAUAAUUACAAAAAAGGGGAAAAACUAUUAUUUUAUUUGUUUUAAUUUAACAAAUAUUGGCAUCCACUUUUGAUAAGCUCCACAUUUUUCCCCUACUCUUAAACAACACGUGCAACAAUUAUAGUUUUAAUUUUAUAUUUAUAUCUUUUUUAUAUUCACAGAUUGUAUUUUUGAAUUUGAUUUGUUUACACAAUUCAAAUUUCAUUUAUUAACAUCUUAAACAUAAUCAUCUAAUCUAUAUAUAUCUAAACAAAGUGGAAGAUAGAAAGAUUGUUAGUUGUGUAAUAACAUAUAACGUUAUGUAAUAUCAAUGAUGGAAUAUAGAAAAGUUACUCUAGUGUUUUAAUAACACAAAACAUUAACUAAUAUCGGUUAUGUAAUCAAAACUUUUUAUAAUAAAGAGAUGAAAAAGUUAAGUGUAACUUCUCUCUUUAAAUGUGAAAAUGGCCACAAAUAUUAAAUUUAUGCGAAUGAUAAAAUUGCCACUAAACCAAGACUAAAAAAAUUAUAAUGGAAGGGUAAAACAUCCACCAAAAUCAUAUUUAUUUUGAAAUUAUAAAUGUAAAAAUUAUAGUUUUUUUAAUGAUUUUGUAGGUAAAAAACUAAAGAAAAAACUUCAAUAUUUCUUUACACAUUUUAUUACCUUUGUUUAUACUUAAUAAAUUCCAACAAUAUUUACAUUGUUUUAACAAAAUCAAAGGAUAAGUUACUCAAUCAUUUCAUUAGUAAAAUAGCUUUAAUAAGAAAAUGAAUAAAAAAAAACAUAAGCAAGAUUCUCAUGAUUACAUUAAAAAAGAUUAUCAAUAUUAUAUGAUUUAAACAUAAAUAGCAUAGACAUACGUACAUGUCAACCAUGAAAUUGGUGAUUCAAGUUUUCUCAACUUAUGUUGUGUACUAAAAAGAAACCUAUAAUGAAGGAAUAAACACAAGCAUAUUUCUAUAUAAUUAUAUAUAUAUAUAUAAAUAGACAACAAAAUUUAAAAAAAAAAAAAGAGAGAAUAAAAAAGCAUGACUUUAUUUUUUUUCUUCCAUUUUGUUGGGAUUUGUGAACCUGAAUGAAAAAAAUAAUAAUAAGAUAUUUAUAACUAAGAUUUUAAAAGGAAGAAUUUGAAAGGUUGAAAGAUAUAGAGAAUGUGAAUAGUUGGGAGAUAGAAGAUUAAGAAAGAGAGAAAUGUGAAUGGAUCUCGAUAAAUUUAAAUGACAUAAUUAAUUGGAGUGAACAUUUUUUAAUUUUUGAGAAAAGUUAUAACAAGGAGAUGAAAAGUUCAAAAAAUCAUUCCACUAAAAUAAUCAUUAAAAGUAAUAAUGAAAAUGACACAAACAUUAAAUCUACGUGAAUGAUAAAAUUGUCACUAAAGCGAAACUAAAAAAUGUUAUAAUGAAAGGGUAAAAUGGGGCUAAAAAAUUUCUCCACUUCCAUCCGUUUAUAUAUACUAUAGAUAGAUGUAUUUUUUUGGGUCUAAAACAUAACGUUGUAUUUGGAACCUCGAGACUUUUUAAAUUCAUACCAAAUUUCAAAUGUAUGUUACAAGGAAAGAGAAUGAUUUUUAAAAUUCAAAAUAAUUUAUAAUUUUGUAUGGCAAGAAUGGUUAGAUUUCUUAAAAUUUGAAAGUACAUCAUUUACCUCGUAAUUUUUUAAUUUUCAAUUAACAUAUUCGUAGAUAAAAACCUACAUUAGUAAAUUCUUAACUUUCUUUUAUUUUUCAAUUACUACAAGAAAUAGUAGGCUUGGGUUAUGUUGAAAGUCCAAGGGUAAUUGUAUUUUGUUCUAAUUUUUAUUCUUUUAUUGAGGCUCGUGUUGCCUAUAAAUAUUUCUCUCUUUGUAUUUUUUUCUCCUUACACUAGGAUUUUCACAUAAAUAUUGUGUUCAUUCUUUAUUGUUACUUUCAAUCUGGUACCAGAACAAGGUGGCGAACCCUAAAAAGAACCUUGAUGGAACCCAAAUUGAACCUUGAUGGAACCCAAAUUGAGGAGCAACCAGUUGAGCAUUAGACCGUCGACGAGCCUACUACAAUUGUCAACGUCGCUAUCCAAGUCAUCGUGGAUAACAUCAUUGCCACCGUCGUGACAAAUUGCUCUAGAAACUUCAGAUCAGUUUAACCAGCAUGGUUUCCCAAUCACACUUGCCACUUGUCCAACCACAUCUAACCGCACAGGAACAACACAUGCCACCCGUUUCGUUGCACCUACCGUACAUACCACCGCUCACCCUACAGCCAAGCAUCCACUCAAAUCCUCUUGCACGAGUAAUUUCCUUGUACGUGCCACCUUCUAGUUUUUCCUGAUCAAUGCAUGUGUUGCUGCUCAAUCUUGACCAAGUUUGAUAUAGUCCACUAAUUCAGCAAUGAACCCUAAUUGUUGUCCUAAGGUUGAGAAUCCUCAAGCCCACUUAACUUUUAAGAUGGGUUAGUUGUCAACACAAUCAAAACCUCAUGUGUAGGGUUCACCUCCUAAUGUCGCUCAACGACAACUUAAUGUACUUCGAUUUGCAAAUCGCAGCGAUUGAGGUGACACUAGGGGCCUCUUCCAACAACCUGGACAUGGCCUACAUACGACCUCACCAAUGUAUUUUAAGAAUUCGGUAACCUCGUUCCCAACUUUGUUCUCUUCCUUUGUGUCAUCUAAUACAAUGACAUAAUCUACAAUAUAUUUUUUAGGGGAGAAGCUAAAUAGCCAAAACUAUUAUUUGUGGUCCCAAAUAUCAAAAUGAUUCUUGAAAAGCGCCACAAGUUUGGCUUUCUGACAGGUGAGAUACCUAGUCCUCCACCAGGAGACCCACAAGAACAGUACUGAAAAGGGGAAGAUUCUCUUAUUUGGUUCACAUUGAUCAACAUUAUGGAACCCAAAUUGGCAAGCCCUUAUUGUAUCUUACAACUGCUAAGGAUAUUUUAUGAGACCCGUGCCUCGAAAAGAAAGGAAUUAAGAAGUGUUCUCGGGUCAUUUUGAGCCUGUGGCUGACCAAGAUGAAGGACAAAAGGGUUUAAUUUAAAGUUGAAUCUCGAACAGUCAAGUGGAAUCUCAGGUAAGAUUUAGGACAGAAGGGUAAUCCUAAGGUAAUCUUGCUUGCUAGACCGGGAUUUAAAGGAAAAAGAGAGUUAUAGUGAGUUCUUGGGGAAAUCUCAGUGCUUAUUUGACCAAGAUUAGAAGAAGAGAAAUGAAAUUAAGGAGAUCUUAGGCAUUCUCGGGCAGGAAUCCAACAAAGAUUGAAGGAUCUUGGGGUAAACUCGAGGUUGUGUUAGUCGUGACUAGUUCAAAAAAUGUUUAAAUGGUGAUCUUGGACUAUUCCUAACUGGGAUCACUAAGAAAUUAAUUGUUAGAUGAGUUGGAUUCCAUGUGUCAUGACAUGAAAAUAUUUAGAAUUUUGGGAAGCAUGAGCUGGCGAGUUACUAAGAGUUCAAGAAAUGGCUAAUCUAUUUUGAGAUUAGUAUUAAUAUGAGGUAAAGAUAUAAGAAAAAGGUUGUUAUAUGAGAUAUUAUUGAAAGAAAGGGUUAAGUGUUGUGCUUCGGAGAAAAUAUGCAAGUUUUGGAGCUUUCCAACGAGAAGAGUGUUUGGGCAAGCUUUUUUAGCAAAAAGGGAAACCUAAUUAAGUACAAUAAGUGAUUUUUCCAAAAUUAAGAUUGAUUAAGCUUCCUUCCACCGUUUCUAGUGUCAUGUGACUUAUGUGUUUCAUGUUUACAUUUAUGGAAGCAUGUUUUACGUUGUUAAGGAUUUACAGAAAGCGUGAUGUUGUGUUGAACACAUUUACGUUGAACUUUGGUUUCUAUAAAGCAUGGUUUAUAAAAAAGAUUUAAUGUUAUGUUUUAAUGAAAGUUCAUGUUUAUUGAUUGUAUUGUAUGCUAUGAUUGAGAGUCAACCAUUAGUCACAUUUUUAUCGAUGAGCUAGCGCACAUAAUAAGUAAAUGCAACCAUGUAGAAAAGUCUUUGCAUGUCAGAAUGAAUCUGGUUAAUGCCUAAAAGAUGUGUAUCGUGCUUAACGGUCUAAGUAACUAAAACGAAUCAUAAAAUUUCUCAUAUGUUGUUGGUGAACAGGGCAUCACAGUAGUCUAAACGCAAGAUGUCGAGUCGUAGCGUAGAGAAUGGUUCAUGUUCCUGGCGAAAGGAAUAAGGAAAGACUAAUGUGUGUUUUAUGUUUUAUUGAAAUAAUGACGUUGAGCCUGUAUUUGUGAAACGAAAUGACUAUUGAUAUGAAUUUUAUUCCCAAAAUGAUUUUUAAAAUCUAUCACUCACUGAGUCAUCGACUUACGUUUUAUGUUUUUUCUUUCCCAGGUUGUAAAGAAUUGAGGCCGAGGUUGGGUUAAAGAAGGCAAGCAAACUAGGUUGUGAAGGCAUUAUGAUUUCCUGUGUUUAAAUUACACGCUUUGAUCAUAAAUUUAAAGGCACAACAAUUCAUUAGCAUUACGAAAUGCAUGUAAACAACAACAAAAACGUAACUGAGUAAAUCCUACUUUUCAAAUUAUCAAUGAUUCAUCAUGAUUCCUCUCACAUAAAUGUGAUCAAUAGUUUUUUAAUUAUUCAACUUUAGUUAUAUUAUAAAUUUUAAAAUAAAUAAAUUAUUAAGUUUGUUUAAAAGAUAAAAGGUUGACACAUAUAUUGAGUCUAUUUAUUUUUAAUUCGACUAAUAAACUAUCAAUAAUCUUUACCAUGCAUUAUAUUUUAAAUCAUGCAACUUUUUAUGUAAAGGUACUAUCAAUAAUUUACUUUUUUUCUUAUGUAAUUUGAUAAGAUUAGCAAUCACCUUUUAUUACAAAAUUUAUAUCUAAUGUAUUAUUAUUAUAUUAUUAAUUAUUAAAAUGGAAUAAAUAUGUGAAACUUGAGGAUAAAUGAUUAAGUUAAACAAUUAUAAAUACGAAUCUAUAUAAAUAACAAAUAUAAUAAAUAACAUUUAGAAUUUUAAGUACAUCUUUGUUAUUUGUAACCACACCUUUACUACUUAUAACUUUUUUUUUCCCCAAAUUUUGUAGGAUAGUGCGAUGGAAAAUUGACUUUAUAUUUAGUAAAUGAAUAAUAGUUAAGACACGUAGGAGAACUUGAAACUAUCUUAAAAACAAAAUACUAUUUUCUACCUAGGAUACCUAAGAUAUUAAACAAUAAAAUACGAUUAUACUUUUAUGAAAAAAAUCAAUAAAUAUAAUUAUAUACGACAAACAAAGCAAACUUUUUAAAAUAUAACAAAGCUGACAAAAUAUUUACACUAUACUGAACAAUUUAAAAAACGAAAAAAGUUCAAAGGCCCACAAUGAAAAAUACCAAAAAUUGUUGUGAUUAAUUGACAUUCGUAAUAUAUUUGAGAAAUGAUUGUUUAAAUUUGGAUAUUCUAAAUGAUUUUUUAAAUAUUUUUUUGGUACAUGUUUGAUGAUUAAUUUGGGUAGCCAAAUCUAGACGGAUUUAUAUAUAUGUAUAUAUAUAUAAUAUAUAUAUAUAUAUAUAUAUAUAAUUUAAAAUCUACAACCAUCUCAAACUACACUUUAAUUAUAUUCUAGACUGUAGUUUUACUUUAGGGAUCUUUUCAAAAAUUAAUAAAACGUCAAAAUAUUUAUACCAUCCUAUAUAACAAUUUCGAAAACGAAAAAAAGUUCACAGGUCCACAAUAAAAAAUAUAAAAACUGUCUUGUGAUUAAUGGACAUCCAACACGUAAUAUAUUUGAAAAACAAUCAUUUAGAUUUGGUUCUUCUUUCUUAUAAGAUCGUUUAAAUUUGACUACUAAAAUCUAAAUGAUUCUUUGUACACGAUUAUUUAGAUUUGACAAAUGAUCGUUUAAAUUUGGUACCCAAAUUUGAAUGAAUUUUUUCAAGAUUAUUUGUCACACGAUCAUUUAGAUUUGAUAGUUUAAAUUUGGAUAGUCAAAUCUCAACGUUUUUUUUUUCAAAAUUUUUUGUUUACUAUCAUUUAGAUUUGGUAUACGAUCGUUUAUAUUUGGCUAUUUUUUUAUCGGUGAUCGUUUACAAUCCAAUAUCCCAAUGAUUUUUUCACGAUCUUUUAUAUUUGACACACAAUUUUAACAACCAAAUAAAAAUUUGAAAUAGAAUAAAUAAAAAAUUGUAAAGAAAAGAAAAUUAUAGAAGAAAAAAUAUGGAAAUGAAGGACAACUAGAAAUGUUUUUAAAAAAAUGCAGAAAAAGAAAAAAUGACGAUGAAAAAAAUUGGAGAAGAAAAGAAAAGCACAACGAAAAAAAGAGAAAAGCAAGAUGGAAAGAAAAAAAUUGUAGAAAAAAAAAAUUAUACCAAAGAAGAGAAGAAAGACGAUAAUAAAGAAUGACAAACCUGAAAUGUUUAAAAGAAUAAUAAAUUUCAUGAACAUUUUCAAUUUGUCAAGCAACCGGAAGUUUAUCAAAUUUAUGAAAAAUUUCCCCUACUUUAGUUAUGAACUUCAAAACUUGUUCCAAAACAAUUAAUUAAUUUUUUUUUGCUAAAGUAAAUUAUGAAAAUUAACAUGGCAUUUGAGGUCUAAUAAUUAGAUGGUAUGGUUAUCACUUAUUUUUAUUACAAAGCACAUCCUUAAACGCAAUUACAUAGCCCAUAUUUACACAUUAUCUAUCCACGUGGGAAACAAAACAAUUUAAGUAAAUAAUGUCAUAAAUGACAUCCCGUACCCUUUUCGAUUUCACAUAUUAGUUUUUGUAUUCAUCUCCAUUUUACUCUCAAAUCAUAUUCUUUAAAUACAUUUCAGCCCUCAAAAUGGUAAAAAUGAAACUUUCCAAAUGGUUGGAUAGUAAUUGUAACAUAUUCUAAAUUUCAUGAAUAUUUUGCAUAAUUUAGCCAAACUUUUAUAUAUACAAAUUCAUCUUGUUGGCUUUUAAUUCAAUUUAACUUUAAAUUAAAAUUUCAACUUUCCAACAUUCACCAUCGUGGGUCAAUUGUCAACCAAUUUUUUUUAUGCUUUGUUAAAGCUUAGAAUUAACACAUGUACUCUAAUGAUAUGAAAGAAGAAUAUUGUGAAUUGUCAAAACUUUAAGCUUUAUUAAAGGUUAAGAAUGCAUUUGGGGAGGGAAAAAGUUACGGGAGAAAAUGAUUAUCAUAAUCCUAUAUUAUGAUAAUACAUUAUAUUAUGAUAAUAUAUGUAUGUGGGAAGGUUUAUUAUUGGUAGUGUUAUGAUAAUAUGUGUUCGGGAGAAAGAUUAUGAAUGAUAGUGUUAUGAUAGUAUGUGUUUAAAAAAAGAAACAUAAUAGGUAGUGUUAUGAAAAUUAUUAUUAUUAUUAAGGUAGGGUUGGAAAAGGGUUAUGAUAACCCUUCCUCCAAACAAGAAAAGAGUUAUAAAAGUUAACACGUGCAUUCUAAGUCCUAAUAACAUGAAAGGGUGAAAAAUCCAACAUUCUAACCUUUUAGGAUAGUCCACUUAUGUGAAUUCGAGAAUAAUUUAAUGGGUCAAAUAUCGACAUUCUUCAACCAAAAACACAGUGGAAAUCAUAUAUAUAAAUUUUAUACAAUACAUAAAUAAUUGGACAAUAAACUAAAUUAUAUGGAUUCUCCUACUUUACAUUAGAGGUUGAAAGCAAAUAAGUUAAUGAACGAAUAAUAACAAAUAAUAAAAAGAAUGGAAAAAGGGAAAAUCUUGCAACAUCUAGAUCUACUGUAGUGGACAAUAUCACAAAAAUUAUCUUAAAUUUAUGCUAUAAAACUCUAUUAAAAUCUAACACAAACUAUUUGAUUCUCGACAUUAGAACCAUUUUGUAGUAGAAGUAAUUUAACAAAAUCAUUAAACUUAAAUUUAAUUUAGAUUUAAAAAAAAAGUAGUAAAUUAAGAAAAUUACAAAAAUUAAAUUACUCUAACCUAAAACCAAAGCAUGCUUUCAAAAAAUAAUUAGAUAAAAAAAAUAGACAUACAGAGAAAUUGAGACUUACUCUUGUUUUCAACUUUGUAUUUACUAAAAGUAAAAAAUGGGAUCAUCACCGCUUGGAAACCUCCUUAUACUCUUACUAAUAAUAGUUUUGGUACGUGGGAACCAAAAAGAAGAUUUUUGGGGAAAGAGAGAAUUUUUUUCACUAAGAGUUUACGUACAACACUUUUAGUUUGAUAGAGGAGCUGUCAUACAUACUUACGUACCCUCCUUCCUCUUCUUCAAGGAACAUGGAGAGAUCUUGAGAUACGUGGAAAAACAUCGUGUUCUCUCAAAUAGCUCCCUUAAGUAAGGGAGUUCUUAAUUUAAUUUUAAUGAAUUAAUUGAUUAAAUUAAAUUAAAUAAGUAAUUAAAUAAAAUUAUAUUUUGAUUAAUAUUUUAUUUAAAUCAUAUUUAAACGAACAUCUCUAACAUACUUUUAAUGUAAUUAAUUUAAUUAUAUAAAAUAAAAUAAAUUAAUUGCUAAACAUAAAUAUGAAUGAUAUUCAUAUAUAAAUAUCUCUCGUAAACUAUAAUUUUAAUAUGAAUGUAAUCCAUAUUAAAAUAAUAUUUGAAUUCAUUCAAAUGUUUUAUUCUUUUAUAAAUUAAUUUUGAAUCAUAUCCAAAAAUUAAAUUUAUAUUAUAAAGUUUAAUUUAAAAUAUUGUAAUGUGUCUCCAGCGGAGUCGCCAUGCUGUCGCCACAUGCCCGAGACGACGCGGAGCGGCCGACGUCCUCAAAAGAGCUAGUUUUAAAAUAAAAUAGGAGUCACCACCAAUCUUUUUUACGGUGUAAUUGGACACUGAAAUAAAAUAAACAAUUUAAAAAAAAUGGUCUGCGAAAAAUAGAAUUGAGUUCGGGAGUCAUUUGUGUGUGGGGAAGGUAUUAGCACCCCACAACACCCAUUUAGAAAAACGGUGGCCAAAUUUAAAAUCUUGAAUUUGAAAAUAUUUUUAAGUUUAUUUUAAAACUAAUGUUUUAUUUCAUCCCCCGUUGCUCCAACAUUUGAAGCAAUGAUCUCAUAAAAUAAGUGGAAUUAUAUUCCAUUAAUUAGACUAUAUAUUGAAGGAAAGUUUCUCACCUUAAGAAAAUGAGAAAUUAUUACAAUUUCUCAAAAUCUAUCAUAGGCUACUCUUUGAAUAAAUAUUUUUUAAAAAACAUUGAUUAAAUUCAUUUUUUCUUGGGAUCAAGUUUCGGACUUCCAAAGAUAUUGAACCCUCACCUCAAGAAUCUAGAAAUAACAGACUUCCAAGAAGUUCUAGAUUCCAUCGUAGGAUUUUUUUAAGGAAAACGGUAUAAGUUUUUAGAAAAGAUUGGUUUAGGAAAUCUUAUGAAAUCAUAUGUUAAAUUUUGAAGGUUUUGAAAAAAAAACAUAAAACAUUUAUAGCAUUAGAGACAAAUUUGCUAAAUGAUUUUUUCUUUUUUUAAAAAAAGUCUUUUAUUUAAAACAUAAAGAAUUUUAAAUUGGAAGGAUUGCAAAACAUUAAAAAAUUUAAAUACAAAGAGUUGCAUUUAAGUGCAUAUAACAAUAAUUAUGAUAUAGCAAUGUGAAUGGUAAAAGAAAGAAAACAUAAUAGCAAUAAAAAAAUAAGGAAAGAAACGAAAAAAAAAGAAUAAACAAAGAAAGAAAUAAUAAUAAGAAGAAUAAGUAGAGGAAGAAAAACAAGUAAAAAGAAAAAGAACCCUAAUAGUAAUAUAAUAUAAUAAUAAAUGGUGACGAUAAUAAUAAUAAUGAUAAAAAAAUUUCUACGUUCUUUAUCUUUAUAUUUUAGAGAAAAGAAAAUAAUGAUUCAGAGUUGAGAUUAAAAAGGGUAAUAAAAUACGGAUACAUAAAAAAAGCACAUUUGUUUUAUGUCAUUUUCUUUCUCCCUAUUUUCUUAGAGAGAAGAAAAAGACUAAAGAUUUUUUUAAAAAACAUGAUGAUAAAAGAAAACAAAAGUAGUACAAAUAUACUAAAAUGUUCCUACAUUUUCUUUCCGUUCUCUUUAUCUUGUAACAAGAGAAGAAAAGAAAAAUAAGAAUUCAAAUCCCAUAGAAAUUACUUGUUGUAUGAGGUGCGGAUCAUUGAGAUUAAAUCCCUACCAAAUGCAAUCUCCAACUAAGUUUAGUUAGCAAUGAGGUUUAAUUUGCUUAAGAUAAAAUUUUAAAAAAAUAUAGAGACAAUAGGGUAAUGAAAAGAAUAAUAGAAACGCGAGUUUUUUUUUUUUUUUUUUUUUUUUUGCAGAAAUUCACUCUAAAACUUUCUCUAAACACUAUUUUAAAAAAUUUCUCUAAGAAACUUUCUCCAAAGAAUUUUUGUAAGAAAUUCUCCUCUAAAGAAUUCUUUGUUUAAGAAACUCUUCAUUCUUUUUUCAAAUGACAAUGGUCCCUAUUUAUAGACCUCGAGUGUACCACAAAUUAGGAAAAAAUAAUAAGAAUAAAAUCAAAUUUUAAUAUUAUAUUAAUAAAACAAAUUUUCAUUUUCCUAAAAUAAAUUAAAUGAGAUAUUUUGAAAUUUUGUGAAAAAUAAAUUAAUACAUCAAAUGAAUAUUAAAAUACUUGUAAUUAAAAUUGAUUUUCUUUUUUCCUAAAAUGAUUUAAGUAAGUCUUGAUAUUAGAAGAUUUUAUUUAAAACAAAUUCAUUUCUUUUUUCCUAAAAUAGUACAAAUAUAAUAUUAAAAGAUUUUUAAAAAACAAAUUAAUUUAUUUUUGUUUCCUAAAAUGAUAAAAAUGAAAUAUUAUAAGAUAUUAUAUUAUUAUUAAUUUUUUUACCUUUUUUAAAAGUAAGUAAAUAAAUAAUUUAGCAAUUAUUAUUAAUAUUAGUAUUAAAAAAAAGAUAUAUAUGUGUAGGAUAAAAAUAGGUGGCUACACAUACAUUAUAUUAAUUCUUAAAGUAAAUGUGAACAUUUCAAAUUACAAUCAAUAUAGAUAUAUAGAUUAACCUUAUAACCUUUUACGAGCUAAGAAGAUGACCUAAUAGACCUACAGAUCAGAAGCUACAAUGUCUCAUACUUCAUGUGUGAUCUGGUAUGGGAUGCCUUUUGCUUGGUGUGUGACGUGACAUUGGAAGACGCAUUAUGCUUAGUGAAAUUGAUGAAACUUGUUAAAUGCGUUAAGUUUACUCCGCAUAGCUGCAACUUGACAAAAGAGUGUGAUAAUCGCUUGAGUUGAGGAGAGAGGUACAAAGAUGUAAUUAAACAUGCAGACUGGUUCUUUGGACAUCUCAAUGAAAACAAAAUUUGGACUAGUAGAGUUCCUUUGAUUUUUUUAUUUUUUUUUGUAGCAGAGUGGCACUUGCCCAAUCGUGUGAUGUGUGUCAGUUUGGUUGGGUUCAACAAAUCAGUCAAUAACGUGGAUUAGCUUGUUGGCUCCUCAAAUAGAAUUAUGGAAAAUAGGCCCAAUUCUGUUAUUCAUGGAAACCAAAUCGUAGGAGGUGCAUAUGUCAACUUGGUUUGCUAACAUUAGUAGAAAAUAUAUUACACAAUUAGGAGCAUCAUAAUGUGCUAUGGUAAGAGUUGUUCUUAUAUUUAUGAUUACUUGGUAUAUGAAAUCCUUUUUUUUUUUUUUUCUAAAGUGGUAUUCCAAAAUCUAAGUGAAAGUCACAAAAUGAACUUAGAAGCAAUGUCACUUCUAUACUAACCCAAACAUCUAGACAAAGAAAUUUCAGCUUAACAUAAUGAUCAUCAUGUUUAAUAAAAAGAUGACCAUGUUCAUGAUUCCAACGUCUUAGAUGAUCAUGUCGUUCAACAUGAAACUCCACAUCCACAAUACACACUUAGUUCAUGCAAUCUUUGAUGACGUUUACUCCGUACACAACAUUUCCUUCAUUUGACAACCCAAGAAUAAACAUUAUAGAUAGAGGUCAAUUAUCCCAUAAUUUAUAUGAGCUUGAUGAUCAAUAUGUGACCUAUAAAUCCCAUAAUGAGGGUAUUGAUGAAGGUCAAACAUCCACUAUCUAGGGUCAUGGUAAUGUUGUUGUUCUAGGCAUGAUCAAAGUUGUCUACUUCCAUUAGUGAAUGAAAUCCUUUGGCUUGUAACGUUAAGUUGACUGAACUCGUUUUAAAAGAAUAGUUUGAGUAUGAAAACUUAAUUCAUACGACAUAGAGUCGAAGAGGUUUUAUGAUUUUUUAGAAUAAGUAUAAUAUAGAUUUUAAAAAAAAGUAAUCUAUAGUAUAUAUAAAAGCAUGAAUGUGUAGAAAUUUUUUCCCCAUUAUACCCUUAAGUUUAAUUUUGUGUUUCAAUUUCCUUUUUGGUUUGAUGGUAAUUUCAUUUUUUAUUUUUUAUUUUUGUAAUAUAAUUAAUUAUGAAAUAUUAAUGGUUUUUAAUUACAUUUUAGAAAUUAAUUAAAAAUUAAAUAUCUUUUCAUUUUUUGUUUUUUUAUAAUCUAAUUAGUUAUGGAAGACUAAUGGUUUUUCAUUUACAUUUCUUCAACUUUCAUUACUAUAUAAAGGGCUUUCUUGAUUUCUUUCUACCAACAUUAUUGAGUAUUUUAUUCUAUUAGUUUGUUUUUCUUUCCUUCUCAAUUUUUUCUCCAAAAGUUCAAUAUUUAGCAUAUGAAGAUGGAAAUUCAUUUGAAGAAGAUCGAGCAUAUAAAGAGAGGGUAAAGAGGCAAAGAUGCAGUAAGAUUAUGGAGGGUUGAAGAUGGAUUGAGAAGGAAGACGAGAGGGAAGAUGAGUUAUGAUAAACCUAACACAAGGGUUAUGAUAACCCUUCCCCAAACAAGGGUUGAGUUACCAUAACCCUAACCCAAUAGUGAUAAUCCUUAUCCCAAACGGCCCCUUAAAUUUAAGAAAAGAAAGGGAAAUGGGCCCAUUAAUAAAGUGAGGAAACGACGUCGCUAAGUUAGGCGCUUUUUUAUAUUUUGUUGUAUUUAUUUAUGUGAAGCGGAAAUCGGAUGCCCUGAAACUUACAAAUCUGAAGCAACGCCGUCUGUUUCUCCAUCGAAUAUUUCAAUUUCAUCUUCUGAGCCCUAAUUUCUGCUUUCUCUGCCGCCGAUUCACUCUCUCUUCAGAGGUCUCUUUCUCCUUCUUCCAAGCAUUCACAUUCACACAAUUUCUUCACUUCUUUUACCGAUCUAUUCCCGCUUCACCACUUUGAGCUAUAUUUUUCCCAUUUCUUAACCUGUACUUUCGUAUGUCAUAUGGGUUUCAUGUUAUGCUUCGCUUUAUAUGUUCGAUUUCAGUUUAAAAGAAACGAUCUCCAAUCAAUUCUGCUGCCUUGAGAACUUCUCAUUACAUGUUGCAAUGCUUUUCAAUGGUUAACUUUUCUUUUUUGUUUGCACAGCUCCAGCGAGAUUCUUAGACAGCGGGCCUUUGUCUUUAGUUGCUGUACUAAUGAGGGGCAGGAGUUAUACUCCAUCGCCGCCAAGGGGUUAUGGAAGAAGGGGUCGGAGCCCCAGCCCUAGGGGGCGCUAUGUGGGACGUGGAAGAGACCUUCCCACCAGCCUUCUAGUUCGUAAUCUUAGCCAUGACUGCAGGUUUGUUCUUAAUCAGUUUGUUCUAUAGUUAUGCUUAUGUUUCUUUUUGCUCUUAAAGAUUUUUCCGUUUGGUGUGACCAAUUUUCUUGCCAUAGAAAGUCUGUAGGAGAAAAAGGGGUCUUUGUGUAACAAAGGUGCAUGAAUAGGGGAAUAAAGAAUCACAUAGUCCAAGGCAGUUAGAAAGGGCUCUCCCUCAAACCAUUGGGAUUUUACAAUCAUAAUGAAAUGUCCUAUUCCAAGAGCUAUUAAAGAAACAAAAUGCAAUGGGUCGAAGAACUAUUGAUAGUCCCUUUCAUCAUGUAGUCUUCUAUUUCUUUAUAACCUACAAAGUAUGUUAAGGCCGCUCCCUUCACUUGGGGCAGGGCACUCACCCCUCACUAGUUCUUUGUUGGGCUCUGUGUCGGGAUUAUUGCACCUGCUUUCACCGUUUUGUUGUCUCCUUCGGGAAGACAUUGUUUUUUCUUUCAAGAAUCUUGUGAAACAGCUUCUAAGUUCUUAACUUUUUAAUUUAAAUUACUUUCCAUAAUUGUGUUUGAUUUUUAUUUGAAAUUUCUGUUCUGGACAUUUGCAAUCUUGGAUUUUCAUAAGCUCAUGCUUAAGCCCUGGAGAUUUGUUGCAAUGAUAGUCAGCAUGCCCGACAGUGUAAAAAUGCUGUAGGACCCUAAUAUGUAGUCCGUAUUCCAUCACAUUACUCUGCCUUUUAUUUUGUAAUAUCAAUUCAGUGGUUUUUCAUUCAAUUUUCUUAUCCAUUGCGGUCCAUCAGUGAUUCAGUUUUGACCUGCAUCCAGGAAAUGAGAGAAGACCUUUGGUGUCUGAAUAUGAGAAUUUAAACCGGUUGCAUUCUUGCAACAUCUUGUUCUGAGUUGCAAGUUUCUUUGAGUUUCUGUAUAGUUUGUGAUUUGUAAUAGAUCUAUGUCACUGACUGUGUUCUGGUACUAAUUCUUUUUAACUGCCUACUGUUUUCUUAAAACACAUGUACUGACUACUGCACACUUCUGUUCUUCCUAGUUUACUGAUGUCAAUAUAUUGAGUGCUGUUUAUAAUCGAUUUAGAGUUAGAAUAUGAUGAUUCCUGGUCUUCUACUAAUUUGAAUUUAUUUUUUGUCACAGGCCUGAGGAUCUUCGUAGACCAUUUGGACAGUUUGGUGCUAUUAAGGACAUAUACCUACCGAAGGAUUAUUAUACUGGGUGAGCAUGUCUGAGCUGUAUGUAGGACUUGCGGAUUCUUUGGUACUGAUGUUCAUUUUAAUUAGCAAAAUGGCAAAUUUAUAAUUUGUGGUUAUAUGGCUUUUGAUUAAUUCUGUAAAAUUUAUACCACAUUUUAGUUUUAGUAUCUGAUAAAUGUUUAAUAUAUAUUAUAUUUCUUUGCUGUUUUCUCAAAUUGGUUUAGAAUUAAUGGUAUUAGUGAAAGCACAUUUUCAUUAACUUUCUUGCUUCUUUUGAUCAAAAUGUUUUUGGCACAAUCCUUGGUAGAAGUCAUUGCUGAAGUUUCUGAAGUAGACCCAUAGUGUUUCAUCUUUCAAAUUAUGCAUCUGAUUAUAGGGGCGUUUCUUUCUGUUUCUUCUAUUCUUUUUUUGUUUUUCCUUAUCACGUAUUAGGUCUGUUUUUUGAAUGUUGAAGAUUUUAACAGUGAAAGUAAUGUUUUGAAGAAGACAUCAAGUAAUUAGAGUUCUAUUGAAGAUGAUGUUAAUGGUAGUGAAGAUUGGAAGGAAGUUGGGUUUGAAUACAUAGAAGAUGUUCUCAAGUCUUGAAGAAUUUCAAGUCAUCUUAAAUCUGACACAUGCAAGGUCAGCAGCCAAGUGCUUGCUUUAUUAUAACAGACCUUCCAUAUAUUGCAAGGGAUAUGGUGGACAGUUUUAUUAGAGAAGGUUUACGGCAGGCCAAAUACCUGACCUGAUUCUGUGGCUUUACUUACUUCUAUUUUACAACAUUUUCCCUUUUGCUUCUUUUGUGCAACAAUUUUGCAGAGAACCACGCGGUUUUGGUUUUGUUCAAUAUGUAGAUCCUGCUGAUGCUGCAGAUGCUAAACACCAUAUGGACGGCUGUGUUCUUCUCGGUCGGGAGUUGACUGUGGUAUUUGCUGAAGAAAACAGGAAGAAACCAUCUGAUAUGAGGGCCAGAGAAAGAGGAAGGUAUGAAGCUUCCUUGUAUCAUUUAUGAGAUACUUUAUAGACAUGGAUGCUUGUAAUUAACUGUCAAAUAAUCUGGUGCAUUUGCAUAAGCCAAUGUUUUCCGAUCGGGUGUGCGUCUUUAGUUAUUCUGCUUUCUUAUUUUAUUAUUCAUAUGCGAGAAAACUAAGAUAGAAUUAGUAGGGCGCGGGGAAGAGUACGAAGUCUCACCUCUAACUCUUAUCCUUUUAGUUCUAGAUUGGGAGACCGGUAUGUAAUGAAAGAGAUCAACUUACCGAAACCGUUAAGCAUAUCUUUUCUUCUCUUAAAUCAAGGUGCAAAGAUCUAUGGCCCACGUAGCGGGAUAUUGUAGGCGAAACUUAGAGGAGAGGAUAGGCGUAAUUGAGGAGACUAAGAAAAGACAUUUAUACCGCCCCGUGGGUUCAUUCCCCCCUUCAGUCUACCCUUUUCAACGAAAAAAGAUGGCAUUGAUUCAAUGAACAAAGGCGAGGGCCCCUCUCUGAUAAGGAAGGAAAGGAAAGAAGAAGAAUUUGACGAUCAAUCUGGUCCGAUGGCUGUUCUCCACUAACCACAAGGAUAUAGGGACUCUCUAUUUCAUCUUCGGUGCCAUUGCUGGAGUGAUGGGCACAUGCUGAGAAUUUUGCCUGUCUUCGCCUCCAACCCAAAGUAGGGUAGAAGGUAAGGGCUUGGCCCGCCUGAAUAGAAUGAAUAUCUCCUUCGUCCUGUGGCUGCUGAAGCAGUAGCAGUCAGUCGCUGCGUAACAUAAAUAAAGAGGAAAAAGCAGUUGAACUGGAAAGGGUAGGAGGAGAUAAUACGCUUUAUGAAUAUGAGAAGAAUAUUGCGGAGAAGAAUCUUGCGAGAAUGUUCACUCUUUUAUUAAGGAGAAGGACGACUUCUUAAUGGAACUGAUUGUAGUAGGCGUCAGACUCUCAAGAAGUAAAGAGUUCUUGAUAGUUGAUAGGCUUUCUCGUUUUAAGUAGGUUUAGGAGGAAACUUCAGCAUUACUAGUAAGCCUCAUAAUAUAGAAGAUGAAAGUCGCGGCAUAAUAAUAGAAUAUGAUCUUCUUGUUCUCCAACACUUCUCACGGUAAAAAAAACUCUUACUGCUUGGAAAAGCACUUUUAAUAUAUAUAUAAUAUAUAUUCUUUUUUGGAUAUUUUGUAAUAUUUGGAAAGUGCUUUUAUUAGGCUGAAAAGCACUAUCCAAUAGUUGGUUUACAGUUCACAAGUGUUUGUGCUAGCACAUUCGCCGACAAAAAGACGGUCGCUUGAUUGAAGCAAGGCACAGUUAGUAAAAUAAUAAAUAAUAAUAAUAUAAAUAAAAAAAAACAUAAGAUUAGAAAGGAAUUAACUCAAAUAAUCUUGAGCAAAAACAUAUUUGAAAUAUAGAAAUAAAAAUGAUUUUGUUUCUCCUUUGAGUCUUUUUCUUCUUCAAUUUUCCUUCAUUUCUUUGGUUUUCUUUAAUUCUACCUUCACAAACUUUGAUUUUUCAUUUUAGGCCUAUUGGAUAAGAAUGUUUUUUUUUCCUAAAAAAAAGUGACCAAUUGAAUAAGGAGAGCGCAAAAGGCAAGUGCCUUACUGAAGGUGCUCAACUUGGGUACUUGCAAGGCAUUAAGGCCUUGCCUCGCCUCACCUCUCCUCUCGCCUCAGGCAAGUGCCUGGCCGCGCCUUAACAACACUGCAGUUCACAUUGAAGUUCAGUAUUGUAUAUGAAAUUAAUAUUUUAGUCAUACAAACAGUGGGCGAUAUCAUGAUCGAAGAAGAUCCCCUCCACGUUCGCCUCGAUAUUCACGUUCCCCAGCUCAACGACGUGGGAGGUAUUCUCGUUCACCAGCACCACGCCAUGCAAGGUCUAGGUCCCGUAGCUAUGAUUAUGCAUCCCAACCACCAAAACAAAGGGCUUACUCAAGGUAUUUUUAAAAUCUAUUGCUGUUUGAUAUCUAGUUCUUAUUAUGUUUCUGAACCCUUGUUUGAGCCUCAAAUUUUUUCUGUAUCUCAAUGCAGAUCACUUUCCCCUCGUGACAGACCAGACAGUCGAGAGAGGUCUUUCCCACGACAGGAGAGCCGUGGAAGGUCAUACUCCCGAUCUCCACGUCUCGAUGGUUCAAGGAGUAGGAGUCAAAGUCCAACACAACCUGGAAGUCGAAGUCCAAGCCCUGUAAGAGGACGAAGUCUAAGUAGGAGCAGGAGUAGGAGCAAAAGUGUUGGCCGGAGCCGGAGCCGAAGCCGUAGUCCCCGACGUAGCCCAAGACAUGAAGAAGAGUAUAGAAGUGAACCGAAUGGUGAUAGGAGCCCAAGUCAAUAGGCAAACAGUUUGAAACUUGGGAAGAACUACAAUGUACUAUUGCCAUUGUUUAGUUUGAUGUUUUCGUUAUAGACAUCAUUUCCUUAGUAUUGUUGGCUAGCGUUUGUUGUUCUUGGGAUUUUGUGCUUGAUCAAAAAUUGAUUGCCGAGUACUUUCAUUUUAAUGCUGUCUCUGGUGGUGCGAUUGACACUUCCCUAUAUAUUUUUUGAGCUCGUUUUUGAUAUAGUUUGCUUUUGUAUGCCACAUAUGUUACAACAUCGGGCCGGAGAUUUAAACUUCUGACCUCUAGAUAAAACAGACAGUUGUAGUUUCUCAAGUUUCAAGUGAUAUCUGAGUGGUUGGUCCUACUUCUAAUGUCUAUUGUGGCUAUUAUACCUAACUUAUAUGUCUGUGUUGUUUGGAAAAAUGCGUAGUUUCUUUUUUCUUUAAAAUUAGAAUUAGUACAUAUUUCUUCAUUCAAUUGAUUCAUUUUUCUUCUUCUUCACUAUUUUCUUCUCUCUAACAUCACGGUUCGCCUUUUGGAUGAUCUUUCUUGUUUGCUGUUUGUCAUAUGCCAUUGUUUGUUGGAAGAUCCAGUUACAGAUAUCCAAAGAACCCACCGAAUUGGGCUACACGGAGAUCUGCCUCGAAAGGAUUGGAAAGUCCUCGAAUACAUGGUGAAUAGAGGAGGGAGUUGAGAAAUUUUAAUCUAUAAUAUAAAAUAAAAAUUCUACUUCCUUUCUACUGUAGUUCCACAUUUGUCUCCUCCCACCUCUGUCUAUCAUCUCUGUACAUACAGUAGAAGGAAUUUCUUUUCUUUUUUUUUUUUACAUUUUCUGAAUUAAUUUCAAUGAAAGAGUAAAACACUUGGAGUUGGAGAACAACUUUGCGUUUAUGAAAUGAAUUGAAAAACAUUUUAUAUGAGGGAAGGAGAAGGCAAAAAUGCAAAGGGAGAGGUGUCCAAAUGUCUAAUCUUUGGGAUUCAAUAUGUUCUCUUAUUUAUAUUUUAUUACGCAUUCAUCGUACUGAUUUUAUUACAGUCAGUUCUCCAUUUUUCUUUAACCACACUUCACUUCCACUUUGAAAUCUUUUGAACAUUACCACAUUACUAUUCUCUAUUUAUUCAUACUGAAAUUUUAUCUUCACUUCAAAUUAGCAAAUCUCACUUUAUUUUCAAAAGCAUUUCACACAACCAACCAACAAUAAUUGAAGAAACAAUAGAAAUUUUCCAAUACUUAUAUAUAUAUUUAUAUAUUUUAAAUAAUAAGAAUUUAUCGUUUUAAUAUUUUUUCUAAAAUUCCUUGUGUAUGGUUGUUUUUAGUAGAAAAUUGUGAUAAUAUUUUACUGAAAUGGAAUUGUAUUAUAUUGGAAAUAGAAAAAUUAAGGAAUUGUUUUAAAAAAUAAUUAAGAGUGGGAAAAAUUUCUCCUUUUGAGGGAUGGAGGCAAGGACGGGGAGGGAGAAGACUGUAGUCCACUGGUGGACAUUUCUAGAUCGUAAAAGAUUGUUGAAUUAUUAUUUCUAGUUGAGAAAUUUUGCAUUUUAGAUUUAAGGUUUUGCUUCCUUUGUCAAGUGAACACUCUCUUAUUUUUCCUUCCCCUUCCCUGCCUUAUUUUUAGAAUGAAAGUUUAAACUUCCUUCACGAGUUCCUUUUUUAAAAACCUAUUCAUGUGUUCUCAAAAGCAGGAACAUUGAAAUAGGGAUGAAAUUCUAAGAUCAAAAGAAAUUCAAUUUGAAAUAGAAGAUAAUUAAAAAUUUUCAAGUGUUGUGAGUGUUUUGUUUGAAAAUAUAUAAUAUUAAAAGUUUUCCUCAGUAGUUCUUUGAUGUUCGAGAUAAUGAUUUCAAUUCAAAUGAUUUCUAAAAGAGAUUUAUAUGAAAAGCUUAUGCGUAUUUCAAAGUAUGUUUAUUGAGGUCUUGAAAGUUUAUGAAUGGUGUUCAAACUUUUAGUUACGUCUUUUAACGAACUAACUGUUAUAUGCACAUAAGGAGUAAAGGUCACCAUGGGGUGAAAGGGACUACAUGGUGAAUUUAGGCAGGACAAUGUAUAAAAAAUGUGCAUUGUCUCUCGUCGUGAGCAACAAAAACGAAUCUGUAUAUUCUCGGAUGCUAUAUUAACAAUAGUCUAAAUGCAAAGUAUUGAGAAGUGUAGAGAAUGAUUGGGGAUCCUUGGCAAAAUGAAUGUUUAGUAACUAAUGUGUGUUUAUGUGAGAUGAAGCAUUUAUGCGAAAUGAUAUGUUUAUAUGAAUUGAUAUAUUUCUAUCUUAUGUUGAUGAAGCAAAGGUAUUACGAAAAAGAUUUCUUAAAACUUCACUGAGUCUGUUAGACUUACGUUUUUUUAAAAUUCCAUCUUCCAAAAAUCAGGCGUUAAGGCCAAGUAAGAAGGAUUGAAGGGUUUCCCAAGCGAAAAGGCUGUCAAGACAUUUUAGCUUAAGUUUUAAAGGUUGUUUUUAUAUUUAUGAUUGUAAAGUUUAUUGUAAAAAGCUUAGCUAAAAGUUAAUAAAGGAAUUGUUUGUUAAGUAUAUCGCCUAAUUAAAGAAUUGUUUAAGUUUCAAGUUAAAAUAAGGAAAAACUACUAGGCGAUUAAGUUAAGCUUAAGGAUCUCAAGAUUGAGUGUCUUUGGUGUUAACACGUCAGAGCUACUUAAGUCACGUCGUGUCUCACAUGGCAAGCAAGGAGGUAUGCAGGAUGGGGUGUGACAUUUUUGGUAUUUUUCAUUGUCGGUUUUUUUCGUAUUUAAAAUUAUUGUAUACAAUGUAAAUAUUUUGCCAGUUUGUUAUAUUUUUAAAAAACCCCAUAAUAUUAAACUAAACUAAUAAUUAAUUGAGGAAUUUUGAAAAAUAGUAGAUUUUACAAAAUAAUUACAAUCUAUAGCAAAUUCUAUCAUCAAUAGUCAUUGAUAUGCUACAAUGGUAGAAGACUAUGAGUGAUAGAAUCCAAAAUUUUGCUAUAGCUUGUAAAUAUUUUAAUUUAUUUUGUUAUUUGUAAAAUUGACCCUAAUUUAUUCUCCAAUUAAUUAAUUGCUAAGUUAAAUAUCUUACAUUUAAUUUAAUCCAAAUUUGAAUCAUAUUCAAAUAUAAAUUCCUCUCAUAACCUAUAACCUAUCAUUUUUAAUGUGUAUUAUAUAGACAUUAAGUUUUAACAUAUAGUUUUAAUAUGAAUCUUAUUUACAUUGAUUAAUAUUUGAACCAAUUCAAACAUUUUAUUCUCUAAUAAAUUAAUUUAGAAUCAUAUCCAAAAUUAAAUUUAUAUAAUGAAGUUUAUUUAAAAUAUAGACUUUAUUUUGUAAUGUAUCACUAUAUAUUAUAUUAAUUCCCAAGGUAAAUUUGAACAUUUCAAAUUACAACCAAUAUAAAUAAAUUUCAUUAUCUUUUACGAGAUAGGAAGUGGACCUGAUGGACUUACAAAUCAGAAGCUAUAACGAUAUGAGAUUAAUUGAUUAAACUCAUUAAUCACGUCAAUAUUCGUUAACUAUGUGUACACUCUACUAAAAACUCAUAAUUAAACUUUUUUCACUGUAGAUAUAUUUCUGGGUCUACGGAUAUAAAGCAAUAACAAUAAGUUAGUCAUUCACAAGUGUUCGUAAAACCAACUGGGUCAAAUUACCGUUUACCCGCGGGUUACUUCUAAUCCUCAAGUAUCAGUGCUUCUCUAAUGAACAACUUGUUUAUAGUCCAACCAAUAAAUAGAAACCUCUUUCGUGCCAUAGAGUGGGUAAAACCCUUUGUUUAAGUCCCAGAGACACCAUUUAAGAAAACACUUAUCUACUUAUCCUAAAAAGUCAAGAAUGAGUGAAUUUUAUCUUGUGUGAUUAUGUCUCCAUCUCCCCACUCGAUCUUGUCCCCAAAAUGAUAACCAAAUUGAGUUGAUAAUCUGACCACUCUCACUUGUAGAAAUCAAAGGAAAAUUCCUCGUGAACAUGAGUUCAUAAUACACACUCAAAAUUAAGACUAAGUUACCUAGGUCAUCCUAAUUAAAUAGGAGCCUAACUAGUAAAUGGAGUUAUAUUUAAUGAAUACUAUUUUGUAGUUCAGUCUUAUGCAAACUUAUUGCAUAGAACACCCUUACUCGCAUGUCACCUAUAUGAAUGUGUUGGAUCAUUGCGUUUUUAUCAAAUACAAAGUGAGUCGUAUCCAUAGUGUUACUAGGAUAAAGUACACAAUCUUAUCCCUAUAUUAUAGACAUUUUAAACUAUCUCUCGAAUAUUGAUCCCUAGGUUAUUAAGAAAAAAUAAAUAAUAUAAUCAAUAAUACUCAUUAAAAUUGUAAUAAUAAUACUUUAUUAAUAACUGAUCAACAAAUUACAUUUACUAUCUAUGAGUUUUAGAGUUUUAGGACAUAAAAUCCAAUCAGUAUAUAAUCGCUUAGAAAAAUAUUGCUCGCACGUGCAUGUGGUCGAUUAAUCACGUGUAGACUAGAGUGUUUUUGGCAUUUUUUAAUUUCCAUUAUGAGCCUAUAUUGAGUUUUUUUUUUUUUUUUUCAUUUCUGAAUUGUUCUAUAUAAUGUAAAUACUUUACUAGUUUAUUAUAUUUUUUAAAAAACUCUUCUUUUUAUAUGAUAUGUUAUAUUAAGAUAUAUUUUUGUAUAUUAUUUAGGUUCAUAAAUAUAACAAUUUUUGUAUGAUAUGUUAUAUUAAGAUUUGUGUAACAAAAUAUUAACGAUUUGUGUAACAAAAUUAAAAAACCAAUGAAGUCGACCAUUUUCUUUAAAUAUUUCAGGUUUGUCUUUGCUCCUUUUGAAUUUCUGAUUUCUUCAUUCUUCCACUUUUCUUCUGCAAUUUUUCAUUUUCUUUCAUUUUGCAUUAAUUUUUUUAAAGUCUUAUUUGGUUCAUGAUCGUGUACCAAAUAUAGCAAAAUCUAAACGAUCGUGUACCACGUACGAAAAAAAUCUACCAAAUAUAAAUCUUUUUAUAUUUUGGUACAUCAUUGUUUAAAAGAAAAAUUACGUGCACGUGUGACCAAGGUUGAAUGAGAGCAUUUUUGGUAUUUUUCAUUAUAGGUCUAUAAACUCUUUUUUUCGUUUUCAAAAAUUUUCUAUAUAGUGUAAAUAUUUUGUCUAUUUAUUAUAUUUAUGAAAAAACACCUAUUAUUUAAUUAGAAUUGAAAUUAGUAAGGAUAAACUUAAUUAAUUGUAAAUAUAAUUAAGUAUUAUAUUAUAAUUAACAUUAAGUUGCUUACAUAUAUGAAUGAGUUAAUUUUAGUUAUGAAUUCCUUAAAAAAUUAAUUAGUUAAAGAUUAUUAUUGAUUCCAAAUUAAUUAAAAAAAUUAUGGUUAUAUUUUAAAUGAAUGAAUCUACAAAUUUAUAUACUUAGUUUCAUAAAUAAAUUUUUUAUCCAGAAAAUUGAAAUAGUAUUUUGAAUGUAGAGGGAAACAAUGUUAAAGCAAAGAAAGUGUGGAUUUAUAUAAGUAUUGAACCCAUGAAAAGUAAAAUGAAUGCAUAAUAAUUGGAUGAAGGAUUUAUAUGUAUUUUUCCCAUAUCACUUUGAUUUCUCCCAACGAAAGAAAAUAUAAAUAAGGAAGGGGAUAGAUAGUCGGUUACAGCUAAGCGGGUGGGGGCACGUGAAGCAUUUUCUCACAUGUGUGAAUUGGGGUCCACCUUCUCGUCCACGAAUAUUUCUUGGAUUCUUAUGUUUGUAGGGCCCUUUUUCUUUCUUUCUUCCUUCCUUCCUUCUUCUUCCUCUCAUUCUUUCAAAUAAUUCUACAAUAACUAUGCUACCAAUUAUCCAAUUCAAGAACCCACACUCAUCAACUAAACAUAAUUUUCAUCUUUUUCUCCUCUUUUUGGAUAUUCCCUUUUACAUUCCUCUACUUCAAUUAACCCUUUUUCCAAUUAUUGUUUAUUAUAUAUAUCAAAUCCUAUCAUUCCAUUUUAAACUAUACUCAACUGUACUUCUAUUAAUCAAAUUCCAAUACUAGAUUUCAUCUUCACAUUUUUACUACUUUUUUUUUUUUUUUUUAAAUAAGAAAACCAUUUUUAGUCCAAAUAAGAGGAGAUUGUGUAUUUCAUUCAUGGUUUAAUUUAAUUGAGAAUAAUAAAUAUAAACAAAAACUCAAUUUUUUUAAAAAACAUUCCACCAAAGUUUUGAAAAUUGAUUGAGGUGACAUAAAUAAAAAAUAAGUAAGAUAGUUGGGACAAUUUUCCAUUAUUCAAAUUUCCCAAAUAUUUUCUGACGAAACUUCAAAACCUUGUCCAUAAAAUUCAAUGGUCGAAAUCCUCACCUCCACUUUCAACUCAAAAAAAAAAAAAAAAGUUCAAACAAUGACGAACCAUGUGGAAAAAAGAUUCAUAGACUAUAAACGAAAGGACAAAGGAAAUUUCUUUCAAACUGAAAGAUCAAAGCUCGAACCAGAAAAAGUCACGUUGGGCAUUAAUAGCUAUUCUUCACAGAAAUCAGCUUCCAUUUGAUAGCAUUAGCAUUAUUAUUAUUCCCUCACGGCGCUACUAUUCCGUAGCUUCUUUUUCCCAAUCGAAUCUCCUCAAAAUGACUUUUGGGUUAAAAUUAAAGAAAAACGAACAAUUUUCCAGUCCCCACUCGCUCACUCUUGACUCUUCUCUUGCUCAAAUUUAUUAUCUUUUUUCCCUGUUCAAACCCCAUCAAACCAAAAUGAACGGCGAUGAUCAUCACCCCCUUCUGCACGAGAAUCCAUGCUCUCUUUGUUGUCUCAAAAAGAGAAAAAAAAAAGGCAAACAAAUAAAGUUUCAAACUCUGUGGGGUAUGACAUUUCUUUGCAUUUCCUAUCUGUUUUUACACCUUCUUUUCUAUGUCACAACCUUUAUUUCUGUUUACUAUACGUUGGGAUAUUGUGGGCUUCUUUUGUUUUGGACUUAAUUUUUAAUUUCUUACUAUUUGGGGAGUUUGGUUUUUUGCUUCUUCUGUCUUUUUCUUGAGUUUUCUGAGGCUUUUUUACUGCCCAUUUCUGUCUCUUCUUCCCUCUCUCAACUUCCAUUAAUCUUUGUGCGUUUAGGGUUUUGGUUCUGUUUUGAAGCUGACUGAAGAUUCUUGGAAUUGCAGUGGGUUACUGUCAGAUUGUUCAGAUCAGGUACUUGCCCACUUCUUGUUUUUUUGCUUUCCCAGCUGGGUUCUUUGUUGUUUCGUAGUUUAUGGCUUAAUUUUUGGUGUUCAAGAUUUCUCUACUUUGGGUUUCCAGUAGUGUCAUAGCAAUGUUGAAGUAGAAUAAGAAAUGGGUUCCUGUUUUUGAUAUUCUGUUGAAGCUAAGCUACAGUUUGUUUGAAGUUCUCCAAUCUUUCUCUUAGAUGGGGAUUGAAAGAUAGUGUCUCAUUUGUAAGCUAAGCUACACUGGGUGUGUGUUUUGGUCAAUGUUUGAUCUGCAUGUUUAUGAUGACUCUAUUGCAUCUAUCUUCUGUUUGAGGAUCUGCUGAGAGAGCUAUAUUUGUAAUGUUUUUGGGUUUUGGUUUUCUUUUUUCUUCCCUUGAACUCUCAACAUUUCAAAACCAGAGAUGGGAGCAUUUCCAUUUCAUUUCUCUUGAAGUUCAACACAAAAAUGGGUUUGAUGUUUGCUAAUUAGGAAGUAAUUUGUCAUCUUGCAAUCUUAUCCUUACAUUCGUCUUUAAUUGAAUCAUGUUUUCUAUCACUCUACUAUAAUUGCAUUUUUCUCUUCACGCAUUCAAUUACUUUUACGUGUUUCUGUUCAACUGUUCUGUUGUGGGUUCUUACUUAUCUUUUCCUUUUCCCAUGAAUCGUUGCAGAUUGUCUGUAAUUGCUUCUUUGAGUUUUGGGAGUUUGAUUCUUGCAACGUAGAGGAAAUAGCUGGAAUCUAAAAUUUUACCAAUCUGAGAAGUUGAAGUUUUGGUUGAUUGGAAAAUGCGAGAAAGGUGGCGCGGAAUUGUGAUCUUGCUUCUAUUUGGGAUGUGUAUCAAUGCGUUAGGUAACUUAGAUAUCAAACUUUUUUUUUUUUCGAACAUCCUUCAUAGUUUUUGUUUUAAAUUUGGAUUGCUUGGAAUAUUCUGAAAAUGGUCACGAGCUUUGUUUCCAUGAUCUCAAUGGUGGUUGUCAGUAUAAGCAGCAGAAGCAUUGGCUUUAUAAAUGUUAAUCACACGGCCUCUUCAAUCCUUUUUUGAAACCAACCUCCAUUAGUUUUUUCCUGAUGAAGAAUGAAUUGUUUAAAUAUAGCAAACUAUCUAUUUGUUACUGAGCUUUGUUCUUGACAUUAAUAGGUGCGUUUGUGGGGGUUAACCUUGGGACCGGUGUCUCCAAUCUUCCAUCAGCUUCCGAUAUAGUUGCAAUUCUUAAAUCCCAUCAAAUCACUCACCUCCGCCUUUACAAUGCUGAUUUUCAGCUGCUAAAGGCCCUAACAAACAGUAGCAUUGAAGUAAUUGUUGGUGUGACCAAUGAGGAAGUUCUCAGGAUUGGUGAAUCUCCGGCAGCUGCUGCAGCUUGGGUUAAUAAAAAUGUUGCGGCUCACUUGCCAGGAACAAAUAUUACAGCUAUUGCUGUUGGCAGUGAGGUUCUAACAACAAUUCCUCACGUUGGUCCAGUCUUAGUUCCAGCCAUGUAUUCACUACACAAAGCCUUGGUUGCUGCUAAUCUAAACUAUCUGAUCAAGGUUUCCACUCCCCAAUCAAUGGACAUAAUACCUCGGGCUUUCCCUCCGUCCACUGCUUCCUUUGACGCUUCAUGGAACUCUACGAUCUAUCAGCUCCUCCAGUUUUUAAAGAACACAAAGUCCUUCUACAUGUUGAAUGCCUAUCCUUAUUAUGGCUACACUAGUGGGAAUGGAAGUUUUCCACUUGAUUAUGCACUUUUCCGAUCACUUCCCACAAUUAAGCAGAUUGUUGACCCAAACACUCUUUUCCAUUAUAAUAGUAUGUUUGAUGCUUUGGUUGAUGCGACCUACUACUCAAUCGAGGCUUUCAACUUUUCUGGGAUUCCCGUUGUAGUUACUGAGACUGGCUGGCCAUCGUUUGGUGGAGCAAAUGAACCUGAUGCUACAAUUCAAAAUGCUGGCACCUACAUUAGCAAUCUGAUCAGGAGAGUUUCAAAUGAUUCAGGUCCACCUAGUCAGCCAACUAUUCCAAUCAACACAUACAUUUAUGAGUUGUUUAAUGAAGACAAGAGGCCAGGCCCGAUCUCGGAAAAAAAUUGGGGUAUACUUUUCCCCAAUGGAUCUGCUGUUUAUCCUUUGAGUUCAAUGUCUGGCCGUGCAACAGCAAAUUCUUCUGUAGUUUAUUGUGUGGCUAAAGAUGGUGCAGAUGAAGAUAAGUUGCAAGACGGCUUGAACUGGGCUUGUGGACAAGGAGGGGCAAACUGUGCAGCAAUUCAGCAAGGGAGGCCAUGCUUUCUCCCGAAUAACAUUACUGACCAUGCUUCUUAUGCAUAUAAUGAUUACUAUCAGAAAAUGCGUGGUGCUGGUGGAACGUGCGACUUCGAUAGCACAGCUAUGCUCACGACGGUUGAUCCUAGUAAGUUGUUUUAACAAUUUUUCUCUUUGUUCCUCAUAUUUAGUUAGCAGAUGUAGUUGUCCUACUUCAUAAAAUUUAGACGAGUUUUUGAAUUCAAACAUCUUUUGAAUUAAAAAUGUAUUUUAAAUAUAGAAUUUUACCUAUUAAUCGUUUAAAAUUCUGCAAAAGGAUGCUCAUGCACAUUCCUAUUACUAACCCACUUUUUCUUUAACAUUAAAGAAAUAACUUUUGUUCGUUUUUUCUCAAUCAAAGUAGUUGUUUCUAUGAAAAAAAAGGAACAAGAACUUAGAAUCAUUUGUGUGGUAAAGAUAUAAGACAUUUUUCCUUGAUAAAACAAAACUUACUGCACUAAAGUAUUUUUUGUUCUUACAUGGUCAUUACUAAUUACUUUAGAAAUCUUUGUUUAAUCAUAGUUUGUUUUCCUCCUCCUUUGAAACAGAAACAAAGCUUGCUUUUGACCGUUUUAGAAAUUAGACCAUAACGAGUGAGACUGACUUUAAAUGACCAAUCAAUAUCCGAAUAACAUUUUCUUUAUCCUCACAAAUGCCUACUGAAUAUUAAAAAUGGAGACAACUGUCCCUAACGGCUACUUGAAAAUCUGCAAUAAAUGCUGAAGAUCUUCCCCAUUCUUCAUACAAAGAGGACAAAUAGGGUGCAGUAAACUAUGAGAUGGAAGCUUUCUUUGAAGAGUGAAUGAACAAUUAAAGUUUCCAAAUAUCAUUAUCCAAAUGAGGAUAUUAACUUGCCCAGGGGUCUUACAUUUUCACAGAGCUUUAAAAACGAAUUUAUCCAAAGGAAUAGAAACCACCAAAUGCUUGGAAAGAGAUUUUACUGUAAAAAGUCUCAAAGACUCCAAUACUUCAAAUACCGAAUACGAUGAUGAGGUUGAUCAAUCUCUUCUUUUAGCUAACAGACUCAGCAUAAUCUGAAAAUUAAUAAUCUCUUAUUCUUUUAACCUUGGCGGAAAGAGAGAGACCAAGAUAAAGUACCUCCAUCCCAAAGAUCAGUUGCAACAUAAUUCUAAUAUAAUUUUGGGAACCUUAUUUUAAAGGCAUUUGUUCAUUGGGCUCGAUUCCAAGGUGCUUUAUAUUAUAAAGAUCUAUAAUUCCAUUAAGCACACACCAAGUGGAUUUUAGUUUCUCCGCUACAUUACCGUAGUUCUCUGAGUCAGGGUCUGCAAUGUUUUCAGCAGAUCAUUUUAUCCAUAAGCUAAACUCUGUUAUAUUUCUCCUUAUUCCUUUUCUAGCUUUCUGUUUAUCCUUUUCUUUUGGUAUUAAGAAUCUGAUAUCUUUGCUCGAUUUGAUUUAUUCAACCUGUAUUCACGGAUAUGUCACUUGAAUAUAUCGUACAUAAGUUUCAUACACCCUUCUGUUUUGCCAUUUGAAAAGAAGUGUCUGACACGUGUACGCGCCUGCCAUCCUCAACUAGUCAAGUUCGAUUCUCCCAUACAUUAUAUAAGUAGCAGUUUUUUUCUAAUAUUCUUAAUAUCGUUUGUAAUGCUGUUUGAACGACACCAUUUGUUACUGACUAUUUGGGUUUGUAUGGGAUUCAACUUUAACAAAAACUUUUAUCUUUUAAUCUCUCAUUUUCUUUCCCCUACGUUUUGCAGGUCAUGGGUCUUGCAUAUUCACGGGAAGGUAAGUGGAAUCAGUCUGUUUAUGCAUAACUAAAUUACAAAAAAGAAAAUACCUACAAACUCUGCCCUUUCACAUAUGUUCCAAAACGUUGAGAGUAAAAAUUUGUCAACAUGUUGGAUGAAAAUUUGGACUUAGAAUUUUGUGCAUUGGCCUAGAAAGGAGGAAAUUAAGACCCCAUGCUGUUCCAAGUCAUUGCCACCCCUUAUACAUGUCUCAAUUUUCAUCCAAAAUUUUAAUGGAUUUCUACUCCAAUGAGAGUUUUCAUAAGAUUUAUGAAAAGUCUUAGGCCAUUGCCGAAAGAAUGAAACAAAGGGCAAAGUCGAGGAUUUUUCUUCUUCUUUUUUAAUUAACUUAUUUAUACAUCAAUAAUUGAGUUGUAAACUGAUUCAAAAUAUUGAAAAACAGUUCAAAUUCAAGUGGUGGAGGUGGAUUUUCUCCUCCAGCAUCGGGGCCUUCAGGUCUGCUUCCUGGUGCAAGUUCAAAGUUGCAGAUAUCUUCAUUUCAGCUCUUCAUUUUGGUAAUUUUUUCUUGGGCUUUGAUGUUUAUUUUUACAUGAAAAGUAGAUUGUUCUUCAACUUCAAUAGCCAAUACCAUUCUUCAGAUUCCUAAUUUAUUGAGCACAAAUGAAGAGAGCAUGAUCUCUUCAACACCACCUGGUUUAAAAUGUUCAUCACAUGUAGGUGUUUUGUUUAUUAUUGUUCAUUGUAGUUUGUAACUUACUCUUCUGAGCUGGUAGUAACUGGGUUUAGUUUAUGAUUAAUUUAUAUUAUUUUUGGAAUUAAUACUUUCCAUUUUUGGUUAUGGAGGGAAAGUCUAUGGAAAAACCAAUCCAUGAUCUUUGUUUACCAUCUAGAAUUUUGGAAUUGAUAUGUCAUAUUUGUUAAGACUUUAGUUUAUUUAGAUCAACUUUAUGUUUAUUCAAAUGAUUAAAAAGUUUUUAAGUUUUUGGCUUCUCAUGGCUUAACAUGGACUCUCUGAGGUCAUUGGUCACAUGCUCAAGCUCUAUGGUAUUGAGUUUAUCCAUUUUUUUACCAUGUGGAGUGAUAAAAUGGAAGUUGUGACAUUAAGGUAGAUCAUAAAAACUUUGUGCUAAUCGAGUUGUUCUCAUGCAAUGUCCGCUCUACAGAAUAAGCAAAAACUUGAACUUAAAAGAAUUUCCAAUCUCAGUGGGUCAAAAAUUUGAUUUUAUUAGCUACUAAUAAAGUACCUAUUCACCACUGAUUAAGAUUUUAAUGAUUCAAAACUAAUUAACUAAUCUUCAUUUAGUAACUUGACAUUGAUCCCCUAACAAUAGGUUGUACUGAUCUUAUCACUAACGAUCAUCAAGUUAUACGAUCCAUCAUGUCCUAAGAUAUCCAUGGGACCUCCAAGGGACCUUCAUGUGUAGUGUAAGAAAAUGGUACUUCACCAAAUUUAUGUCAUUAUACUUUAUGAUCAUGAACACAUAAGCGAAAGGGUGCUGUCAAAGAAAGUUCAAUAACAUGACAAAAUCAACAAGAAAUUAAAAAAAAACAAUGGCUUUCUGGAGACCUUUUAGCUAUUUGAUCAAUUCAAUAUUUAGUUGAAAACAAAGAACCUAACACGAUGAGUUCUAAUGAUAUUAAACUAAUCAAUAUCCUCAAAACAAGAGGUACCACAAUUAUGCUCUAAACUCUGUCAAAAAUGAUUUUCAAACGUUAUGGUUCUCUUUAGGUAAAUAUUAAAAUUGUAAAUGUUGUACGUUAAGUUCUCUGUAGUCUUGAGGUCAAGACAAAAGUAAAACACAUUGAGAAAAUCUAAAAUCAAGUAAAAAAGAACGACCAAACCCACUGAAGAAAUUACAAGACACCAUCAGGAAUCCUCAAAAUCGAAGCCUGGAGCCACCUUGAACAACAAACCAACCACUUGGUGAGAUGAUAAAAUAGACAUUAGAUGCAUAGUUAAAUCAAAGAACGUAAAACUUUUGCCAUCAAAUUAGAUAGUUGGAUGUUCAAAUGUAAGGAAAAUGAUUGAAACACUACAGAUUACAAUAGGUUGCGUAUAAUAUAGAACUUUCAUAAACCACCCAAAGGGUUUGAAUGCUCUAAAAGAGAAUAAAAUGAUCACAAAAGUAGAAGCAAGAAAGAAUGAAAUAAGAUUUGAAAUGUAUCGAAGUUGUUAAUUACCACUUCCUAAAUUUCUUCCAUGGUGGGGAGUGUUGAAUAAGAAAAUUUAGUCCCAUUACAAGUGAUAAAAUAACACAUUAAAUUUAUGAUCGAUUACAAAAUUUAAGAAAAUAAAAUCGAAAUAUUACAGAAGCAGAAUUCUAUGAUAAAAACACCAAAAGAAAAUUGGAGUGUAUGGCCAAAAAUCCACAACAUACUGAAAAAUAACAAAACUAAAGAACUUUUGAUGUUUAGCCAAAAUGAAGUCAAUUUCAUUCAUCUUUCAUUAUUCAUUUUUAAUUAAUGCAGAACUCUUCAAUUUUAAAAUUUAAAAACAAUUUUAGAGAAAAACAAAGCAUUUAGCGAGAGUUUUUAAAACACUUCUAAAUUUUAUUUUAAAUAGUUUAUAUAUAUAAAAAAAUUAAAUAAACAAGUAUACCUUAUGUGAAAACAAACUCUAAAUCAUUCUCAAUUUUACUGAUUGGUUUAUCUGAUUUACGUUGUUUUCACAUAUAGAAGGUAAGUUGGAUUGUGUUGAACAACAAAUUUUAGUCAAUUAAAUCCCGUCACUUUAUCAUAACAAAAAUAGUGAUAAAUAUAUUUUGAUUAGGUUUGGUUAAUUAAGUUUUCUUAUAUCGAACCUAGUUUAAGGUACAUAUAGAAAAUUUAGGUCAAUGAAGGUAAUAGGCACCCGCCCAAACCCAAUAAGCAAAUGAGUCCAAGCCCAAGUUUAUAAAAUAAAUAGGCCCAAGCCUAAGUCUAAACCCACCUAAAGCCCGUGAAAAUUUUCUAUAAAUAGAAACCCUACCAUUUAUUUGAGGAUCUUUGGUUGAAGGAAAGAAUUAAAACUCUAAAGAAUGGAAGAUUCGAACUUCUAAAAGAUCUCAAGGUGAAAUUUCUUAUCAACCUCGAGAUUACCUUCCUCAGAAAGAUUGAAGGUUGAUUACCUUCCUCAUAAAGAUUGAAGGCUUGGAAGAUUAAACUUUUCUUGAAUUUUAUAAGAUUGAAACUUAAAUUAAUUUGCAACCACAACUUCCUGAAAAUCGAGGAACAAGUAGUUCUAGAUUUCUAUUUAUAUUAAAGAGAAAACAUCAAAUGAAUAAAUAUUUGAGGUUGUAUUCACUAAUUAUAAAUCAAUAUACAAAGUUCAAAUUCCAUGAAUUACAUUUAUCCGAAAAUCUCGUGUGAACAGUUUGGCACGCCCAGUGGAACGAGUCUCUAUCUUUCAUCUCUUUCUCUUUUUGCAAAGAAUAUCUUAAGAAAUCAUGACAUCCAAAGCUCUAAACGACAUUAACAAGAGGCCAAAUAUACUCACAGCCGCUCAAAGGAGUAUAAAUCAUUUGAGGACAUGUAGUUGCAAAAAACAUUUGGGAACAACUGACAAAGCUACUAAAAGGUGGAAUCAUAAUCAAGGAAAAUAUUGUAAUAGACAAAACUCAUUUUGUCCUUGAAACACUCAAGUGAGAAGAUGCCACAUCCAAAUAUAAUGUCAAUUAUGGUGGCUGACGUGGAUACAAGUGAAGAUAGAAUGGUAGAGCUCGAAAAUAAUGUUAACAUGCUUAUGAAGGCAAUUGAAGAAAUGGAUUAUGAGAUUGCAUCUCUAAAAAAUCACAUAGAGAGUUGUGACGCUGCUGGAUCAGGCCAUACACAUACCAUCAUGAAUAAUGAUAGAGGGAAAACAGUUUUGGAAGAAAGUCAACCAUAAAAUUCAAGCUAAAUUGCAUUAUCACUGUUUGUUCAACAAUUGUAGAAGAUGAUUACAGACUCCAUCAAAACUCAAUAUGGCGGACCUACUCAAACUUUUCAUUUGUAUUCUAAAACCAUAUACAAAGAUGAUUGACAAUCUAAGAAUGUUAAAUAGAUGCCAGCCACCCAAGUUCUAACAAUUUGAUUAAAAGGACCACCUAAAACCACAUGUUGCUCACUUCAUCGAAACAUGUGAAACUAUUGAUAAGCAAGCAGAUUUGUUGAUCGAACAGUUCGUUCGAACUCUCAAAGGAAACACAUUCGACUGGUACAUCGACCUUGAACCUGAAAUCAUUAAUAGUCGAGAACAACUUGAGGAGGACUUUCUCACUCGCUUCUACAACACUCAGUGUAUUGUUAGCAUGAUAAAAGUAAUUGCCACCAAGCAGCGAAAAGACGAGUCAGUCAAUGACUAUAUUAAUCGCUAGAGAGCAUUAAGCCUUGAUUGCAAAGAUUAACACUAAAGUUGAUAAAGUUUACUGAUGGACAAUUCAAAAUGGUUAACUCUAAAAUUAACACAAAACAUAUCGUUUUUCUAGCUAUUCCUUUUCAUGGAUUUAAGCUCUUUAGGAAACGAACUACACGUUUUCCAAAAAUUUAACGUCAAUAAAAUGAUUACAUUUCAUAGACUAUGCUUGUAUUUUAUUAUUUUUGGAAAAGUAAUAGAUUUGAGGUAUGAGCUUAAUUUGUAAAACUUAUUUUGCAAAAUUUGCAUCAACCUAUAAUUAUUAAUUAUUAUUUGUGAAAUGUUGUAUGAACAUGGGUGGUUAUCAGAUUUUAUAUUUUAGAUUAAUGGCAGUGGAAUAUUGGUUGUGAUAUAAUUAAUUAUGAUUUGAUACAAGUCUUGUUUUCCUAAAUAUUCUUGGCAUUUGAAACUGAAUAUGAACCAUAUGUUUAGCUUUUGUAUUUGGUCAGAAUGAGAAUGAGAAUGAAAAAAAAAAAGAAAAAGAGAGAGAAAAUGGUAAUGGAAUAUAAACACAUUGGAAAAGUGUGGAAUCACAGAAUAAAAUUUCAUUAAUAACAACUUUAACGAUACGUUAACCUUUCCAUAUUAAGUUUGAUUACUCCAACACCACAUAUUACCUCUCUCUCUAUCUCUCUACCAUCAUUUUCUAUAUUAUCAAUUUAUACUUCUAAAAUUUUAAGUCGGUAUUAAUUAUUAUUAUUAUUUUGUAAAUAAAGUUAAUCUUUGUCAACUUUAGGAUAGAAAGCAUAAAACACAUUUCAAGUGUUUUGGAGAGGAGCAGACGUACAAUACACAAAAGAGAAAGAAAUUCUUUUUUUGAGUGUAGGAUUCCGUUCAGCGGUGUAUAUAUGUUGCUCAUGUGGGUCUCAUGAACAACGAAUUUUGUUCCAAAUCGACCUUCUUCCAUUGUAUAUAUCAAAACUAUAUCAUAAUUAAGAAUGAGAUAUUUUUUAAAAUAACAAAAUAAAUUAAAAUAUUUAUAAACUAUAGCAAAAUUUUGGAUUCUACUAAUUAUAGUCUUCUAUCGCUAUAGCAUAUGAUAGAAUUUGUUAUAAGUUGUAAAUAUUUUAUAAAAUCUACUAUUUUAAAAAAAUAUAUAUUUAAGAAACUUGUUAAAAAUAAAAGUUUAGGGCACAUUUUUAUUUUCAAAGAUCAAAUAAAUAAAACGAUUAAGUUUAAGGACUAAUAAACUUGUAAUUUAUUAAGUUUAGGGAUGAAAUGAGUUGUUAAAAGUCUUACAAUUUUAAAGAGGAAGGGGAUAACUUGCAUUGAAAAGUGAAAUUUUAUAUUCUAAAAAAAAUAAUUUGACAGAAAGUGUUUUAGUUUAUAGUUUGAAUCCAUUUCAUGUCAUGUACUGUAUUAAAAAGAAUUGUGAAUUCAGUUGAAGAAGAAAAAGAAGAAAGAAAGAGAGUCAAAUACAAGUAAAAGAUAGCAAAAAACAGAUGAGAACUUGCGGUGGCAACAAAAUAAUGGUCAAUUUCUAGGGACAAACAAACUCAAAGUUUCAAAUCAAAGUGGGAAGAUUCCAUGAGUCUUUCCUGUAUACAUAUCCAUUGCCUUCCAUUCUCUCCCCCUCUCCUUUUUUCUUCUUCAACACCCUCCAUAGGUUCUAUCAAAACAUUGAAAUAAAAUUAUAAUCAAAUAUUUUGGACAUAUGUUUGUAGAUAUGAUAGUUUUAAAUUAUGAUAAAACAUUGACAUUGCAUUAUUGUUGUUUAGAAAAAGGGAUUGCUAACAAAAACGUUGAUUGUGCAUCAUACUUUCCUUAUCGGUGCUUCCCUUUUCUUUCUUCCAUCGACGUCUUCUUUUAUUUAGUAUGCCGUUUGCUCAUUAUAAUUUCACCAUGCAUCUUUAAAGGACUCUUACUUCUCUAAUUAGGGUUGGUUGUUCAACUUAUCUUAAGAUCUUAGGAAAACAUUUUUAUUAUCUUGUUCUAGCUAUUUCAUCCUAGUUAGAAGAAGGAAACUUUACAUGUAUCGAAGACAUACUACAUUUUCCUCACCACUACUCAUUAAUUGUGAUUGAAAAGAAGGGGUCCCUAAGCUUAAGAGGAGUCUAAGUCAUUCGAACUAAUGAUGUUUUGUUUAAUGGAAAGAUAUCACUGUGAGAGGGAGUCCCACAAACUUGAGGAGAGCUCAAGUUCUUUAGAAAGGGAGUCUAUGUCUUAGACGGAGCCUAAGACCAUCUUCACCAAAAAGUAGAUAACAAACAAAGAAAUUUAGAGGGAAAAGUAGGUAGACCUAUAGGCUUAAUUAAAAAUAAUACACAAAAAAAAUUGUAUGUCGUCACCAAAUGAGGCUAAUAUAAUUUAUUUUAAAAUUUAUUCUUUUACUCGAGAUAACUUAAAAAAAAAUAUCACUAACUAGCGACAAAAUAUUCUUAAUUUAGAGUUAUUUUUUUAAUGAAAUAUUAACAGUUUCAGUUCAUAUACUAUUUGUGUGCAUGAUUUUUAAUACAUUUUUUAAGUUUUUGAUUUUUUUUCAAUAGUUCAAAAGUAUAUUUUUAAAACAAAACUUUAACGGUUUUCAUCCAAAACGUACCAAUAGGGAUAUUUAUGAACUAUUUUUGAAAGAUUGAGGGUAUUUUUGGAACUUUUGAAAAUUUAGAGAUAUUUUUUACACACGAUGUAACUUCGAUGGCUACUUUUUAUGUUUUAGUUUUUUUUUUUUUUUUUUUGUCGACGAUAGACAUGCUGGUACUUUUAAUAUAAAUCUAUGCUUUUAAUUAAGUUGUAGAAAAGUCUACCAAAUAUAAAAUAUAAGCAACAAAAUGUUACUAAAAUAAUGAAUAGACAAGUUAAAUUGUUUAAAAAUUAAAAUAGUUUUUUAUUUUUUAUUUUAAUAUUUUUAAGUAUUAUUAAUCGACAUCGACGUUUAAUCAAUAUUUUUAUUGAUAUUUAUGUGAACGUCAACCUUUCAAACACUACUGGAUAUAUUAUAAAUUAGAGUUAAUAUCUUUAUUUUAAUAAUAUACAUUAAAAAAUAUAUAAUCUAUUAGUUCCAAUAUCAAUGUUUAAUAUUCUAAAAAAAGAAUUGUAUACCGAUAAUAAGAUUUAUAACUUAAUUUGAAAGUACUAAUUAUGAAAUUAUUAUAUUAUCGAUGCCAAAAUUUGGAUGAUGAAAAUGCACGCAACCUUCGUACGACAACAACGCUAAAUUUGUAAUCUAGGAAAGAAUAAAUUAUUCAUGAUCAAAAUAUUUGUACAUCGAUAUCAUGCUUACCACACAGGCUUUAAUGCUUUAUUAGAAAGUGUAUAUAUGUAGCAAGUUAAUUAGAGAGUUUAAGUAAUAAAAUGAAGCUACUUUUCUUACGGUUAUCUUGAUAUAUUUAUAGGCGGUAAUUUAUUUGGAAACCCUCUCCCUUGGGUUUUUUUAGUUGUUUUAGGUUUAUUCUUUAUUUAUUAGGCUAAAGUGGGCAAGAAAUAGUUUGCAUCGACUUUUAAUUACGUUUAUUAUCUAAACAUUUUGAGACAAAAACUCCAAUAAGUUUCCAUUUGGACUAAACUUUAGUCAAAAAUGGUAAUUGUAUAAGUAUAUAUUACAUAAAACGUACAAAUAUAAAUACAAUAAACUAGAGCAUCCUCAUACACAUUACACAUCUUUGACUUGCUCUAGAUUAUUUUAUAUAUCUUACCGAACCUAGACUCUCUAGAUGACCCUCGAACACUUUAGCCAUGAGAGCCUUUGUAAAUGAAUCAAUAAUGUUAUGCUCUGAAGUGACCUUUGUAACGAUCAUGUGUCUCCUUGUUGAACAAUCUCCCUUAUUAGAUUAUACUUCCUCUCUAUGUGAUUUUCUCGUUUGUAGCUGUGGGAUGUUUUAGAAUUGACUACUAUCCCACUGUUGUCAUAGUAUAAAGUACGAUAAAUAAGUUUAUGUUUGGAAAAACUUCCAAAACAUGCAGGGAUUUGCUGAGCCAAACUGCUUCUUUUGCUAUUUUGCAAACAACGACGUACUUAGCCUCCAUAAUGGAGUCUAAAAUGCAUCUUUUUCUAAACUCUAAUCGAUGUCAACAAUGAUAUAUAGUAGAUCAUUUUUUACGUGUUUUCAGCUAUUCUUCAACAAUUUUAGGCAUUAGGAGAGUACCUUUUUCUUCUAGUAAUUUGAGAAUGAUACUUUAUCUUAUGGAGAGCCUCAUAUAUCAUUACUCACAAAGGAGUAUACUCAAAUGUACAUAAGCCUAAGUUCUUAUAUUGAAGAGUCUUUCACAAGUUGGAGGAAAGAUAACAUCAAAAGAGAGAGAGUCUCAUACACUAAAAAAAGUCAAAGUGUAUCGUUAUUAACAUCCACAUAGGAGGAGUUUAAGUUCCAUUAAGAAGAAGUGUCACACCUAGAAGGAGCCCAUAUAAUAAAUAAGUUAGGCUCUACAUGUGUCAUAGUUAAACAUCACCACUUUAAUUAUUUCAAAUAAGUAUUACAUUGUAAGCACUUGACUUUUUAUAUUAGUGAAUUCAUCGUCCUUUCCAGAGUAUAGCAUUCCAUCGACGUAUGAUCGCAUAUCACCAAAAUGGGUCACUAAAGGAUCUGAGUGUUUUUCUUGCUUCGUUGUUUCUAUGCUAUAUUUUUGUAUUUGUGAUAGCUUGAACAUCUUAUUUACCAAUGUAAUAUAUAGAAAUUAAAAGUAGACCCUUAUGCAUGAUGGCGUGCAAGUUAAGUGAGGUGAUAAAUGAUCAUUAAAGGUAAAGACCUUAGAGUUGUUUGGUACAACAAAAGUCAAUAUGAGAAGGUGUAAAGAGUUUUAUAUGAUGUUAAGAUUAGUUCACUACAUUUUUAUUUUCUUCUCAAGAAGUGAUAUGUUAGUUUAACAAUAUUAGAUAUAACCUUUUUAGAGGUUGAAAAGUUUCAUCCCCAUGAAUUUCAAAACAAUUUCUUUUGGGGUAUUUUUCUGUUAUUUAUGAAUUUUGUUUUCUAUAAUCAAUUCUUCUUCCAAUCAAAUCUACAAAUAUUUAUAAUAUAUGGUCAAACUCAGUAAGAGAGUAAAUUAAAUUUAGUGAUUCCAUCAUCAGGUUUUUCAACAUAAAAUCUAUAAACACUUUCUUAGUUUUUCUUAUAUUAUUGAUUCAGACAAUUUGAUCUCAAAAUAUUCCAAAACGUUAUACUAUUUUGUAACUAUUUCUCCAUCUUUUUUAAAAUUUUUUUGCUCUCAUAUUCACAUUUACACUAAUAUCUAAACUAUACUAGAAAUAAUUAAAAAUGAAAAUUUCCAUAAAUUUUCAAUAAAUUCAUAAAAUUAUAAUGAAAAAAGAGGUUAGAAAUUACCCUUCAUUGGUUCACCUUUGACAGCUAAGAUAUUUAUAAAAAAUAGAAAAACAAAACUGAUUGAAAUAGUUUUCUCAAACCCAACUCUAAGAUUCCAUUAAACAAAAUUGACUUUGAAUACAGAAUCUUUAUCUACUCUUUAAUCUUUUCAAAUUUCAAAGAAUAAUCUAAUAAUAACGUUGUAAAUAUGACAUUUGAACUUACAUCUAAAAGGUACUAAUUUGACAGUUUUACCAACAAUCUAAAUAUUCAUUCUCCUACUUUUUGUUAUAUAUAUUAUAUCAAAAGUAUAAAGUUAAAGGAGUUUGAAAUUUUUGAUAAAUAAGUCUUCUCUAUAUUAUUUUAUAAAUUAAAUAUUUAAGAUAGAAUAAAAUUUAUCAAUAAAAAAUACCUAUAGCCUUGGCCUUGGACUUAGGGCUGAGAUUCACAAAAUUUCUCUCUUCAUUUUGUUCUUAAAGUUUUCAUUUUUUUUUUCUCAACCAUAUAAAAUUGUUUAAAUUUUUCUAUAUUAAACGUGUCAUUUUUUUUUCUUUCUUGUCUUCAGACAAUUAAACAUGUCAUUUUCAAUACAUUUUUAUUCAAACUAAAUCAGUAUAAAUUUGUCCAAAAAGAAAAUGAAUAUUUUAAAGAACAUUUUUAAAUAUAUAAAAAUCUCUCGAUAUUUAAUGUGUAAAGAUAUAAUUCAAGUUUUUAAUAUAUAUUUUGAGAAUAUAGUAAUUGAUAUUUAUAUAAAAUGAGAGAUUUGUAAGUUUUAUUUUGAAGGUGAGAUUUGUUUAGGGAACGGGGAGCCCUCACCCAUUGGUCCAUUCUCCAUCUGAUCGGACAAUCAGUGCCGGAACCGAGAUGGGUCUCCACAGGACCCUGCCCCUAGAGAAAAUGGAGAUGUCUACGUAGAGGUAGAUGUGGAAUGUGGGCUAUUUAUGACCACACCUACCUUAUGGAACAACGUGAACAAAGAAAUUAAAAGAGUUUCAUUCAUUACCUUCAAAGUAUCUACAUAUUUAAAAGCUGUAAAAAUUAAACUACAAAAUAUCUUAACUAAGAACUGUAUCAUUAAAAAUUUAAAAGCAGAGAAAAACCAUAAACAUUCUUGUUUCUCUCACAAUAAUUCAACAAUGGCUUCAGGUUCAGGAUUAAACUCCAAUAUCUUCUUCUUCUUACAAAUCUUCAUCAAUCCAAACCACAAAAUCCCACCCACCGUCAUUCCACCACUCACCAACAACACAUUCUUAUGGGUAAAAACCAUCACAACCACCAGAAACCCAGACGGAAUCAAACACAUCAUAAUCAAACCUGGCAGUUUCAAUGGAACUUUGAACGGCCUCUUUAUCCCUGGAUGCCUCCAUCUCAACCAAACAAACGAUGAAAAUUCCAACAACAUUCCUAAACUGUAUAUGAAAUUCGCCGACGCUACAAUGUCCGUGAAAUCCAUGUACGAAACCGCCAGAGAAAUCGCCGUGCAGAUCACAAUCCCAAUCCAUGGCGUCUUGAACCAUUUCGCUCUACUCCCGAAGAAUUUGGGUAAAACCCCAAUCUCCGCCAUACCCAGAAUUUGAUACGCGCUGCUGCUUAAUUGGGCUUCGAAAAGCCCAAUUGCUGAUAACGUUGAACCGAUUUCCAGGAGGAAUUUCAGCCAUUUUCCGGCGAUUAUUCCUGCGGCUUGUGCGUGGAAUCCAGAUCCCCAAGCGGAUUGUUCAACAUCUACGGCGCCGAUUACGGCUAAGAGUGGGAUUAAGUAAGAAAGACAAGUGAAUAUUACAGAGACGAACAGAGCCUUGGGGAACGUUUUUUGGGGGUUUUCAACUUCUCCGGCGAGUGUGCUUACAUUAUCCCAGAAAUUGAGGUUCCAAAACAGAGUGUUGAGAUACAGAUUCCAAUCCCUUUCCUUAUCGCCCAAAAUCAGCCAUCGAUGGGGCUUGAUUUUGGGGAUUGCAAUGAAGGUCAUUAAAAUGAAGGGUAAGAGAGAUAAGAAGGCUAAAACGACGGCAACGUAUCCGACGAUGGUGAGACCGAUGUAGUUGAGGGCGGCGAGGAUGAGGGUGGAAGCGAGGACGGCGAUGCGGCGGGGCCAGCCGGAUUCAAGCGGCGGAGCAAUUUUCUUGAUGUAAUCGAUACAGAGGACAGGGAAGGCGGCGAUGUUGAUGACGCCGCUGAGGAGUUUCCAUGUACCCAUGAGAGAACCCCAGAAGGGUCCGAAGGCUCUUUCGGCCCAAAUGACGAAGCCGCCGUUGCCGGGGAAAGCGGUGGAGAGCUCUGCCGUGAUUAGAGCCUCCGGGACACUCCAUAUGAAAGGAAAGACGAUGAAGCCGAUGAUGGCGAGGAGAGGUCCGGCGGCUUGGACGGUUGGCUCUUCGCCGUAAGGGCCGCCGGCGACUUCGAAGUAGAUGAGGAAGAUGAGGGGGAUUAGAGUGAGUUUUUUUCUGACUGAGGGAGGGGUGGAGGGAGUGGUUGUGGGGAGGAUUUGAGAAGAGGAAUCGGUGGUGGCCGGUUGGUUGGAGUUGGACUGUUGUUUGUCAUCUGCCAUGAUUGAUUGGGAGAAGCUAACAAACAAACAAAACCAAACAACUAAAAAUAGAGCCUUGUAAGAUUAUAAAAGACAAAUAAAAAGAGGAAAAUAGAAAAAUAUAUCAACAAGUUUGUUAUUAAUAUUAUUAAUUCAAAAAAGAUAUAUACCAUUUUAGUCUUAAAUUUUGAAAAAGAAUGGGUUUGGUCUACAAUGUUUAGAACACAUCUCUUUAGUCUUUAGUCUUUGGGUUUGUAAGAAUAUAUUCAUUUGGUGUCAAGCUUUUUAAUAAAAAUACUUCCAUGACCUUUGUUUUGAAGUCCAUUUUUAAAAAUUAAAAAGUAAAGAAAAGGAACCUUUUGAAAAAUAAUGAUAAAAGGAGUCAAUUAUCCAAUACAUUUUGAAAACCCACAUUUUUGUUUUAUAGGUAAUAAAUGAGUUGAGGAGGAGAGGGCCAUAUUGUUGGAUGCUAAAUGCUAAAACUGCAUGAUUGAUUGAUUUAUUAUUUAAGGGCAAUUUCUCCAUUCAACUAUCCAUAAAUCCACAAAUCCUUUUAAAUAUUCUAUAAACAAUCAAUUUUCAAUCUAAAAAUCAAAUCUUAACUAUUAAUUGACAAUUUUUCAUAAACAUAAAACAACCCUCCCUAUUUUUUCAAGAAAAGUAUUCAACUUUUGCUCUCCCUUUCCAUUUCUUUCAUAUGCAAUUUCUUGUUUACUUUUUCUUUUUUUUUUCCAUUUCCUAGAUUAAGCAUUUAGUUUUUAAAAAUUUAUACUUAUUUCUUCUCAAUUUGAUUUUCAUUUUUUCAAUUAAAACAUUUAAACUCCUGAACAAAAAAUUAUAUUUACCAAAUUUGUUAUAUGAAAAAAAAAAAAAGUGUUGUGAACUGUUUUUUUAAUUUUUUUAUCUAAUGCAAUUUUCCUAUAACAAAACACCAAAAUAUCUAAUGCAAUUUCCCCUCUCCACCGUCUUUCUUCUCUUCUUCUACAUUUUUUUUAUAAUUUUUUGAAAUCAUCGUCUUUGUUUUCAAUCAAUCAUAAAUUUUAUACCAAAUAUAUCAAAUAUAAAAUAUUUUGAAAAAAAAUCGUUAGGAUAUUGGUACAUGAUCAUGUAGAUUUGAAACGUUACAAAAAAAUUAUUAAAUAUAUUACACCAGUGAGUGACCAAUUAAUUGUGUGUUAACCGAACAUAUUUGGUUUUCUAUUUGUGGGUAAUGUAAACUUUUUUUUUUCUUUUUGAAAUGGUUAAAUAUUCAGUGGAUUUGUUAUAUUUUUUUAAAAGACCUACUUUUAAAAACUAUAUUAAUAUAUAUAUAUAUAUAUAUAUAUAUAUAAUAUAUAUAUAUAUAUAAUAUAUAUAUAUAAUAUAUAUAUAUAUUUAGUUUUCAAAACAUAACUUAGUUUUAUUUAAAACGCUAGCCCGAAAUAGAUAACAUUACAAAGGAACUUAGAAAUAGGACUAGUUUUUAAAAACAAAAAAUAAACUAUUUGAUUUUUAGUUUUUUUUUUUUGUUUUUGUAAAUUAAGUCUAUAAAUAUUCAUUCUACUCCUAAUUUUUUGGAUUUUUAUUAUUCAGAUACUAAAAAAAAAUGUAGUGAUUAUCAAACAUGACCUUAAUAAUUCAAUUUUAGCAUGUAACAGUUCAUAUGUACAUUUUCAAAUUGGUAAAAUUAUCUAAUUAUAUUUUUAAAAUAAUACAAAAAUAUAAUCAAAUUUUUAUUAAUGAAGUUUAGUGGGAUGAAGGUGGUGAUAUAAAAAAGGAAAAGAAAUAAAAAUUUGGAAAACGUAAUUGAAAUGAGUGGUUUUGGAUGUGAGCUAAUAAAUGUAUAUCUAAAAUAGCAUUAUUUGAAAAUUCCAUUAGUUUCUUUACCUUUUCUUUUCUUUUCUUUUGGGGAUUCUCGACUUGUAUCUUUACGCUACAAUAUGAGAAAAUUAGAAUAGCCUUCAACAUUAAAAUAGGAUUCCAUAUGAUGCCUUCUAAUUCAUUUAUUAUUUCCUUUUAAAGCAAACCACAACACAAUCUUACCCCAUCCAAUCAAAACUAAUCUUUUUCCACUCCUUUCCUCCUUUUAUUUUCACCUCUCUUCCAUUACAUGCUUCUUAUGAAAAAUCUUAUAAAGUCCCUCAUCCCACAUAAUUGAAUCAUCGAAAAGGAAGAUACACAUUGUUGGUAUAGGUAGUAGUUUCCACUUCUUAUAAAUCUUUUCUAAUCGUAUUAAAUAAAACUUCUCUUCGGUGUCCCUAAUAUAGUAUUAAUUUAAUACAUUUUAUGUCACAUCUUAUCAUAUCAUUUUAUUGUUAGUUAACUAACGGUCACAAUGGUCUUAUGAAUCAUUUAGAAUCAUUUUCUAAACUUUUUCAAGGCUCAAAUGUUCAUUUUAAAACUUAACGGACCAAAUAGAUAUCGAUUUUAAACAUCAACAAAUAAUUAAAUAUAAAGAGAAUUAUAAAAGUAAUAACUACUCAUUUCUCCAACUCAGCGUUUGUAGUCCAACGGUUAGGAUAAUUGCCUUCCAAGCAAUAGACCCGGGUUCGACUCCCGGCAAACGCAUUUUGCUAUUCAAAACCAAACCAAGAAAACUUAUGAAAUCUUUGUCAAUUUUAUUCUAGUAUAUAUAUAAGAAGAUUUAUAUAAAUAGAUGUCACACUCUUCUCAAAGAAGUGAGGUGUGACGAUGUCAAUUUUUGUUACGAUGUUUCACCUAUUUUUUUUAUAAGUGUGUGGUCGUGUGAUAUUGGCGUGGUUGAAGACAAAGUGUGAAAAAACGUGCAACAAAAUUAUGUGUUGAGAAAAGUCUUUUACGAAGUACUCAGUCUGUGUGAUGUGUGGUAUUGAACAUUUUGUUUAUGACAUUGUGACUGAUUUGUUUGAGAAGAUCCGUGCAAGUUAGGGGAGCCUAAACAUUGAAGAUUGUUUUGAGGAGUCUCUCACAGGGGGAGACUGCAUAUUAAGACGAAAGGUAGAAGCGGAAUUGAUUGUUAACCUUUCUGCUAAGUUUAAUGAUUCUAGUGCCAUAGAAUUUCAGAAGGUCGUGCAUGUGCAUGGGGUUUGCUUUACAAUCUCUUCAUCUCUCCUCAAUUAGUUUAUGGAAUUAUCUGUGUAUGAAGAUCUUGCUGUUACUUAUCAAUCUUUUGAGUAAUUGGUAGUGGAACUCACUAGUGGCAUAGUUCACUCUUGGCCUACAAAUGGUCAACUACCUUCUGUUCGGUUGAGCAUCAAAUAUGUUAUUUUUCAUAAAAUAGCAUCCUAUCAUUCUAUCUACUAUUGAUGUGGCUGGUCCAGCUUCUAAGACUAUGAACUUGAGUUUUCGACUGUUUCAAGAAGCACGAAUCACAUGUUUAUGAUCUACGUCUUUAGAUUUCUGUCUUGCUCCUGGUGGUUCUCGCUCCUCUUUCUUCAUUCUUCCCGCCUCCUUCUGUUGGGUUGUUGCUUUUUGCUCCCAUGAUGUCUCAAGUUCUUCAAGUACUUUUUGAGGAGUCGAGUAGAGUAUUAUGCGGGUUUUAUUUGCUCAUUGCUCUAUGGUGGAGUCAUUACUGACAAGAUCUUCAAAGGAUGAUGUUUUCAGUUACUGUUCCUGCUUCUUAACUUUAUUUUGUCAGCAAGCAAAGGGGAGUGUAUAUGGGUGUUAUGUGAUGUGAUCUUCUUCAACACUCUAUGAAUGAAUAUGAAUUUGCUAUUUUGUUUUGUUGAUGAUUAGCUGGUUUAGAUCUGCUUUGGUCCUCUACGAACAGAUAUGGAUUUGAUGUUUUGCUUUGUUGAUGAUUAGCUUAUUCAGAUCUGGGUAUGAUAUUUUUUUUUGUGACUAAAGUGUUGUGUGGCUAGCUAUUUUUGGUUUGCUUCUCAAUAUAACUUCUGGGUUGUUUCUAGUUUCUCUGUGUUUGGUUCUGCUAGUGAUUAGGUUGUUGGUUUGUUUUGUGCUUGUCUGCUCAAAUAAAGGAAGCUGGUCUCAAGGGGGAGUUUGUUAUUGUUGUGGUCUCACUUCCUUUAUUGUAUUUAUUUAUUAUGUUAUUCUGAAUUUGGUUAUUGAGAUUGGUUGGUUGGUUGUGCUAUCCCUUCAUUCUCGAGUUGUUUGGAUCCCUUCCCAUAGUUACUUCAUAUUAUUAUGUGAAUGUUUUGUUAUGAUUUGUAGAAAAAAAAAAUAAUUUCUUGAAAAGGUGUGGUUGGUGAUAUAUUUCGAUUGAUGAGACGUUUCGAUGUGUCCCUUCUUGACUUAUGAAUUACGAUAUUGCACAUAGAAGAUAGAAAAUUACUGAAAAGUCCAGAAUACUUGAUGAGAAGAUUGCAAGUGGUCUUUGAUAUAUAAUCUCUUACCAUAGAUCUAAAGCCCAUCAGAUGUAGAUAGUGUGUCAUUGAACUGGGUAACAAAAGUUUGAUGUGUUCUAUGUGAUUUUACGUGACUCCGUAACUAAUUCUUAUUUAGUCACAUUGGUAAACAAACAAGAAAGAAAUACACAUAAAUUUAUGAAAUGUUGGUUUAAUUCCAUGGCUUGUCAGCACAGUUGUAAGGUCGGCAAUAUUAAGCAGCAAUGUCUUUGAUUUGAAUUUCAGUGUCAUAAAUCUUUCCAUUUCGAUCACCAAGCAGUAGGAAGAACAUAAUGUGCAUAAAUCCAUCUUUUAUUAUAUAUCCUGAACUUACCAUCAUCCAUAUUUGUAAUGCUCCUCUAGUGCUUUUUCAUUGGACUCCCUCUUGGAAAACCAAAUCUAUAUAUCAAAUAAUAAUUCAAUUCACAUAUGAACAACAAUAUUUAGUAUUUUACAAAAAACAAAAAACAAAAACUAAUUAAUUAGCUGAUCGUUUUGUAUUGAUUUUGAACUGACCUGAGCUAUAUUAACUGCUUGAAUAUCAGUUUGACCACCUUGGUAUAGGAAUUUGAUGGCCAAAUACUAUGGUUUGCUACUCCAUUCUACAACUUGCACCAUCAAAUUUUUGUUUUUGUAAUCACAUGGUAUCCUUCAAAAUAAAAACAAUCCCCAAAAUUUAUAUGAGUUCAUUUAAUUUUGAACUAACUUAAAUAAGGGCCUUCAUAUAUCAAAUGUUAUUUAUAUAUAAUAUUUAUACCUCUUCUAUUUUACAUCCAACGUAUCAAUUUUCAAAAGCCUUCUUCACCAGAAGAAAUUCUGUUUUAUUUUCAUAAUUUUGAUCUGUCAAAACUAAUUUUGUUUUCAAUAAGUUGCUCAAUCUCUUGUUCUUGCAUCUUACCUACGUAAAAGGCAAACAUACUUGUCAUCCUCUAAAUUUUAAAGAGUAUAUAAUGACGUGCAUAAGAGUGAUGUAUAGAUGAUAUGAUGUACAACCACACAACUUUGAGUCAAACUGAUUACAAAAGUAAAUGAUUUAUAAUUUCAUACAUGAUAGUGAUCUAUAAAUAUAGACGAUAGGUACGAAUAUCAUAGUCAAAUGUGGAAAUGUGUGCUUAAAAUAGAUAGAUGUUGCUACAACUAUAUAUUUGAGUAAAAGUAGCUAUACAAGAAAGGAAUGGUGUAUUUUUGCAUGGAAGGGUUUGAUCUAGACCAUAUAUUUAAAUCACCAUGAUAUGUAGACAUAUGUUUGGAUAGAAAGUCUUUUGUAUUAUCAGAUUGUGGAAGCAAAGAGAGGAUAAAAAAUAAAAAAAAGAGACAAUAUAAAUAUAUAUAUAUACCUGAUAGCAUGCACCACAGGCAAUUCCUUGUUUAUAAAGGGAAGGCCCAACAGCUACAUUAAAUCCUUUAGAAAUAUCAAACUCCAAGCUUUCAUAUCCACAUCAUAUACCAUUCAAUAUAUUUCAAUUUAAUUUAAUAAAGUUUUUUUUUGUUUAUGCAAAAAGUUUUUUUUGUUAUGAAUGACAAAAUUAUUAAAAAUAUAUCAAUUAAGAAAUUUAAAACUUUAUUAUAUUUUGUAAAUAUGACACAGGGACCAAAGUUUUUAAAUAAACAAGAGAAUAGUAUGGAACAUUUUAAAUAGAAUAUGAUCAAUGUUGCAAAACGUUGUUCUCUCCGCAUUUUCUUACUUGCUUCCUAUAUUUCUCUUUGUUAUUAUUAUUCGUAAGAAACAACUUUAGACAAUAUCAAUUUUCAUAUUUUGCAAUUUUGUUUUUGUUUUAAAAUAUUUUAGGCCCAUAUUUUGCAAAGAAUCCCAAAACCAUUAUUAUUUUGACACGAGUUAUAUAAUCUUUGUAAGUUCCUUUUUUUGUUAGCAUUUCGAGACACUUGAUGCAUAGGUUUAAAAUGUUAAGCUUGGAGGUGAGGUCGAGAGAUUUAAUUUAGAUAGUAUGAAUUUAAGAAAACUAAGUUUGAAGUGCAAAUUUGAAGGUUUGAAUACGUAGUGACAUGCUUAGAAUACCGAACAAUGUAAUGCAAACUUAUAAGUGUUGAGUUUGUGAAAUAUUUUAUUAUAUUUAAUUAAUGGUUCUAUUUAUGAAUCAUUUGAAUUAAUUUAAGAAGAAAACAUAUAUAUAUAUAUAUAUAUAUAUAUAUAUAUAUAUAUAUAUAUAUAUAUAUAUAUAUAUAUAUAUAUAUAUAUAUAUAAAUACUCAAUUUUAUUUAAAUACUUUUAGUAAAAGGGAGAAACUAAUUUAGUUUAAUUUUUUCUAAAAUUUUUCAAUAGAGUAUAAGAAUUUGAACUUGGAUAAUACAUGCCAGUUAGUAAAGUGUUAUGCUUACAUUAAUAAAAAAUAAUACUACAUAAAAAUUUCUGCAAGAUCAUUAAAUGGAAUAAAAGCUAAAUAAUUCUUUGGUUAAAAAUAUCAUAGGUUGACAUCGAUAUUAAUUCUUUGAUUUUUCAUCUUUUUAGUCCUAUACAUUUAAUUGUCUAAAUUUAACAUCAAAUCAUAAAUUUAAUUAGUCUUUAUGCCAAAGACUUAAAAUAAAGCUAAUUUAUGUUCAUUUUUAUUAAAAAAAAUUGUUACAUGUAAGAAUAAUAAAGAUUUUUUUAAAAAACCAGAACAAAGCGUAAAACUAUUUACACUGUAUAGAACAUUUGUUAAAAAGGAAAAAGUCCACAAGCUCACAACAUGGAAAAAAAAAAGUUCGAAAUUAAUCGAUCACACACGUGAAAAAACAAUUUUGUACCUAGUCUAAACAAUCUUGUAUUUAGUCUAAAUGAUUUUGUAUCCAGUCUAAACGAUAUUAUACUUGUGUAUCCAGUUUAAACGAUGUUGGUGAACGAAGAGAUGAGAGAUGAUGAAAAAAGAAGAAGAAGAAGGACACAAGUAUCAAGAGAAAAAUAUUGACUUUGUGAAAAAAGAUGACAUCCAAGAUGAAAGAUGAUGAAAAAGGAAUAAAUUAUAGACGAAGAGAUGAAGAAAUUAUGGAAGGAAAAAUCUAGAAUUUAUGAAAAAAUUAACGUGUAAUAAUAAUAAUGGUUUGAUUUUAAUUUAAGAAAUGAUAUAAGAUAGUAUGUGAAUAUAUUUUGGAAAAAUAGGAAGGGACUACUAUUACAUUUUAAAGCUUUUUAAAAAUUUGAUAAAUCCAUAAUUUACGACUAAUAGUUCCUUGCAUAUUCAGCGUUUGUAGUCCAACGGUUAGGAUAAUUGCCUUCCAAGCAAUAGACCCGGGUUCGACUCCCGGCAAACGCAUUUUUGACAACUUUGCUUUUUUAGUCCAUUUAAUGUUGAAAUAACUAAAUUUGUAAGGUUAAUUUUCAUAAAUACAACCAAACACCAAAAUAUUUAACUGUUGAAUAAAAUAAAAAAAAUCCAAAUUUUGUAAUACAUAUAUCUUUCCUUUUUAUUUACUUAUGAGUGCUAUUUAAAUGUUAUAUAUAUUUAAAAAUGUGAAAUGAAAAAAAUGCGUGCGUUUGCCGGGAGUCGAACCCGGGUCUAUUGCUAGGAAGGCAAUUAUCCUAACCGUUGGACUACAAACGCCGUUGGUUAGAAUAUUUACAGUGCAAUUGUUUUUUAAGUGUAUUACCGAAGCAAUACAGUGCAAUUUAUAUGUAUAAGGAUUUUUUAAACCCUAAAUAAUUGGAAGAGAAAAAAAAAAGAGAAGAGUUUACGUAUGGAAAUACACGAUUGAUUUGACCAUAAAAAAACAGUUCUUUUCUAACCUUGCUGGUAAGGUGUUUGAAUCUCUGCUGACAUGAUUUUUUAAGCAAACAUUUUUUGGGUAAUAUUGUUAAAACCAAUAAACACAAACGAGCAAAGAUGAUGUGCUUCUACGUCCGGAUGGAAUAUUUUACUUUAAUAAUGUUGUUUAGAAAAAUAAGACGGUUUUCAAACUCAAUACAGUCACUCCCAAACAACUUAAUCACCCAAUCUUUUCUUAGGCUCAUCCCAAGGAAUGGAGACUCUCUUUCAUGUUAACUUAGACUCUCGCUAGGUUGUUGUAUUUGGUAAAGGAUGUCUUAGACUCCUCUUAAGACAAAGAUACUCCCUAUCAAGAAAACAUGAGUUCCUCUUAAGUGGUGUGACAGCUUCUUCUCACUUCAACUGCAUCUUUCCUUCUUAGAACCAAGUCACUUUGUUCAAUUUGCAUAGGCACCUCCUUCACUUGAAAAUCCCUUCUUGGUUAAAAUGCAAUAUAAUUUUAGUGUGAUGAAUAUCUUGGAGUAUAUCUCUUAACAAUAUUGCAAAAUAGCUUUCUUCUUUCCAAUGCUUAUCUCCAAUGGCAACCAAAUACACAACACGAUGAUGGAACAUACAAUAAUCUUCUUCAAACUAAAAGGCGAACCCUAGACAAUUAUAGGACUACAUAUCUUUUAAAUAAACAAAGUGGAUAGACAAAGGAGCAAUAACCCUAACUUUCAAAGCAGUCAUGCAUGCAUAGAAAAUGAAAGAAAUCUGCAUAGAAUACUACUGAUAAGAAAGGAAAGUAUUUUUCAAAAGUCAACAUUUUUAAUUAGAAAGCAUCCACUUGUCAGAAAACCACCAAUGCAGAGACAUCUCACAUAGUAUCUAUAAAACUUAAAACAAAUUAUAUUGUCAAACAUAAGUUUUAACAACGCUAAUUCUGUAAGACCCAUCCUUGGAAAAGUUGGUGCCAAGGAUGAGAACGAUGCAAUACAGGAAGCUAGGUGUCCAAGUGGGGAGUUGUUUAAGUUAGGUGUGAAGGGUUAGACGUUCAAAAGCAAUAAAUAGUUUUGUAGAAUUGGUCGGACGGAUUUUGUCUUCCAAAUUCGUGCCAAAUAAUAAACCGAAUCACACACCAAAAUUUAGUUUUAAUGAGAAGUUUGGAUUGAUCACAGUAAGCACACUGAUUCCUCAAACAAAUGAAUUUUGAACCACGUAACGGGGUUGAGUAGAGAUUGAUUGCAUGAAAGUAAAUAUCAAUUAGGAAAGUAAACUUGUGAAAAUUCAACGACAAAAGGAUCUAACUUGCAUUAUAGCGAUUUCCCCCUUAUUUAAAGAAUUUAUGCAUUGAACUAACUUAAUUUUUGUCCCACUUCCUCGUCUCCCAGCCACGCCAAAUUAUGGAUUACAUAUCACAAAAGGAUAAUAUUAUUGAAAGAAACAUUAGGUAAACAUGUGAGAAUAUUUAUGAUAUAUAGAUAUAGACGAACAUGUAGGAAAAAGAUUCAAAAUGAACACCGUAGGUUUAUGACAUAAAAACAAAGAUUACAUUAUUCUUCUUGCAAAGACCAACAUGCUUCUCUCUGCACCCGAUGAAAAGGAUAAACGUUUUGGAAAGCUAUUAUUUCCACCUGCAAAGGACAAACAUAUUAAUAUCAGCUCUAAGACAGUACCAAGUAUUUUUAGGAUGGUUAUUAUUUACAGUUAAAUCAAUACAUGACAAGACAACAAUAUCUUGAAACAAAAUUAAAGCUGUCUUGCUAAACAAUCAAGGAAACAAAAUUAACAACCUUCUAAUAAUGAAGUACCCAAAAAUAGGAGGAGCUUCUUUAUAUCUUAAAAGGUCACCUUCGUCUCUAACCUUCAAAUAUAAUCUUCCAAAUAGCCUAUUUUGUUCCUUAAACUUUUAAACAUUUUGUUAAGUCCAUAAUCUUGUAUUUCACAUUCAUUUUUCACCAGUCAUCAACAAAAUUAGAAAUCUUUUAAGAACUCAAAACCUAACCUACUAUACGUUGCUUCAAGUACUUGUCUGCUACAAAUAUUCAUAGAUUAGACAAAUAUAGUGAUAGCGAUUUUCUUAAACAAUUUAUCCAAAAGUAAGGACAAGGAAUCAAAUGGCCUUUCAAACCAAGUUUAGGGACUAAAAUAUAGAGUAAACAUAAAAAGUUUGGGGGAUAAAAGAAGAUUUAAACCAUUUUAGAGGUAUUGAAUCAACAUUAAAAAGAGUUCAUGUUCCCCAAUAUCCUCAAAUCCGUAGUACUAUAUCUUCUAACAAAAGAGAAGUUAGAGACAAACACCUCAUAAGUAAACUGUAUAAGCCAUGUCUAUGGUACUAACCUUCCAAAGAACUCCCUUUCCUUUUGAACUCAAGGAGUCUUGUUAAUGAGGAAGCAUUAGAAUGAGAUGACAGAAUUAGAAGAACAGUUUUCUCUAGCAGCAAAACUGAAGGGAUGGAAAGGUAGCCGAUAAACAGGUACCCAAUAAUUCUAUAAAAGCACCCCUCUUAAAAACAAGCUACUUUGGAGGAGAAAAAAAGAAAGAAAAGAGAUAAGAAAACUAAUUGUCCAUGAUUUACAGUUAAUCUGUUUUUUUUUUUUUUACAUGAAAAUGUGUCCUAAAGUGUAUUAUAAUCACUCCACUGAUCAGAUUGCAACCUCAGCAGAGUCCCAUCUACUCUGUAGCUGAAUCACUUACUUCAUAUCCAAUUCCAUCAUUCACUUGAUGAAUGAGACAUUGUGAAAUCAGGAGUUUGAUUCUAGAUAAAUAUUGUCAUAGUCCUAUUCUGAGCUUGGUUAAGCCUUAACUUUAUUUUCUGGUUUUUAAAGAUUAAGUUUGCUUGCCGAUAAAUUGUUGUUUUAAAAAGCCAUCGGAAAGUGAGAAAACAACACAGUGAAGUAAUAAUAGGCAAUAAGCAUUAACAAAAUUAGAGAUCACAAGAAGUUAAAUUUUUCUAAAACUGAAAAGUUAUCUAUUGAAGCAAUAAGCAUUCACUUAACUUCCUGAAUAAAAACUACCUCGUCUGAUCUCUGACUAGGAACUGCAAUUAACAAUGAAAUUCAAUGUACAAAAGACAAUCAUUCUCAAUCAACUCCUUUACAAAUUCCAGCAGAUCUGAUAGUUCACAAUGAAAGAGUUGGCAUCCCAUUGGAUCUAGUGGAGAAAUUUCAUAUUGUCCAACAUCUCAGGAACAAAACAUCUCUUGGUGAAAAAACAAUUCUCCCUUUCAGCCACCAUAGCUUUAUCUAUUGAAAUACAUUGAUAUAUUGGGUCCGAAAAUUGGAGAGUUUGACAUACAUAUUAAAGAUUCAUUAACCAUUAAUUCAUGGACCUAUCUAACAUCUUUUAUAACUACUUGUCAGAAGAAAUACCAUUGAUUCAUCUAUUAAUUUUAGAAGUAAAAACAAGUUAAUUAUUAAUUUAAAUAAUCCUAAUAAUUCUUUUUAUUUACUUACAGAAAUAAAUAAUCGUCAACAAAUUCAUAAAAUCAAUAUCGAUAAUUUGAUUUUGAUAAUUUUGGAUAUAGAUAUCAAUACUGAUAAUUUGGAGAAGCUUUAGGUGACGUCAUUAGAUGGGACAUUCUCAUCGAUCAUAGGACAAUUAUUUUAGUCAACCAAAACUCAAAUCACAUCACAGAACCCAAAUCUCAGAACAAGCAUACUACUAGUACUGACUGUCACUAUUUCAUAUUUCAGAUCCAUGAAUCACAAACAGACUGAUAAACAGAAAUAAAACUGGAAAUUCAAAAUCAAGAGUUUGCAUCUAAAACAGAACAAGCAAAUAAUCAGUCUCCAAAACAGUAAAUUUCAAGAAGAUGAGAUCAAAACUACCUCACAUUGCCUCUGUUUUCCCUUCUAGGCAAGCUUUCCUUCUGCAUGUAGGAAUGGACUCAAACAUGCUGACCGGCAAAAUCUCAGACAAGAACCCAACCGCAAACUCGAUGGAUUUAGAGUCUGGAGUAACCUUGAUUCCAGUAAUAGGAAGCCAGGCGAAGAGCUUCUUGACUUCAAUCCCAGAAACAUCGCUCAAUGACCUAUUGCUCAAUUUCCCCUUGAUAUUCUUUCCGUAAUAGACCAGAUCAGAGAAAUGGACAUAGCAACUGCUUUGGAGUUGGAUUUCGAAGGUACCAUCGUCUGAGAGAGUGUAGGAGUUGACAUUGUCGGGUAAGAGACCGACUGGAAAACCGUAAAGGGGAAGAAGAUCGUGGAUAUCAGAUGACCUGAGGGGAAAAUCCCUUGCGGAAAAGGAGAGGUGGGUUUGAGUGGAAAAGAGGAGAAUCAGAAGAAAGAGAGAGAAUGGGGAGAGGAUUGUGGAGAAGGAAGCCAUUGAUGGAGUCUUGAGGAAGAAAAUGGGGAGAAAAUUGGUUGCCGCUUACUUGGUUGAAACAUGUUUAAAUAGAUGCCAACAGGUGAUAAAAUAUUUCUUCCUAUUGUCUCUCAAUAAUUCAUUACAUUGAAUGAGUUUUUAAUUGAUGAAGAUUAUCUCGUAACUAAGUCGUAAUAAAAUAACAAAAACGAUCUUCUUACAAGAGCCCAUGUGAGAACCAAUCACUCUGUGCCCCCAAAUAUCAACUCUUCCAUUUCCACCCAUUACCUCUUUUAAUUAUCUAAUCUUGUUUAAGCCAUUGACUUGGGUACGCUUUCUAUUUUAAAUGCUAUUUCUCACUCCCUCCUUUCUCACAUCUCACCAUUCCUCACUCCCCAUCUCUCAUUCCCUCUGCUUUCUUUGUGUUUCCUUCUCCAAAUACCUCGUCUCUCUCUCUUCUUCCUUCUACUUUCUCUUCCCAUUCUCUCUUCCCCAUUGUUUUAAUAUAAUAUAUAGGUUAAAAUAUAUUAUAAUAAGAUAUACUAUAAUAGUCUGCACUCCAAACACCGACUAUAAUAUUUCAUACUAUAACAUUCUGCACCCCCAAACGCAAAUUAUUAUAAUACCCACAAUUUACGCAUUCCAUUUUUCCUGUUUUUGAACUCUUUUUUCUACUUUAUAAUAGUUCUAUUAGCAUGUGACUAACAUUUGUUUCCUCAUAAAAUAUCUUAUACCAAUUUUUAAAUAUACUUAAUAUGUAAUAUAUAUGUCCAUACUCUUAGAAAGAUCUAGGAAGAUGCAAAAUAUUAGAGAAAAGUUUUUCCUCAAAUCAUGUUACAAUAGAGUGGGGGGAAACAAUUUUUGAAAGCUCCAAAGCAACCCAAAGGGGAUUGUGAUCCAUAUUAAUAUACAUUACACAAAUUACAAUUCAUAUAUAAACCCUUCUAGUGGAAUUUAAGGCUGGUCAAAACAUUGUUGUUGACAGGGUCAGACAAAUGAUCCAAAAGGUUUUGGUAAGGUCCAACACCAGUAACAAGACCUUGUAUAAAGUAACCCAAAAUUGCCAACAUUGCAAGCCUUCCAUUCUUAAUUUCCUUCAACUUCAAUUCCUUCAUUGACUUCUCAUCUUUCCCAAACCCUAGUGGGUUGAACAAUGGCCCGCCAGGGUAAGCUGGGUCCCCUGAUCCACCCAAGAACUUCUCCAGGCCCAAAAAGUAUUGUUUUCCCAUGGAUCCUGGCUUGGCCCAAUCUUGAAAUCUUCUGUGUUCAGCAAAGCCCAUCAGAGCCAUUUCAAAUACAAAGAGUGUGUAAGGGUCUGCCCAAUAGUUGUAGGUCCCUGCUGGUGGGAUGACCCCUGUUUUGAACCAUGGGAGGGCUGUUUCUGGUGGGAUUAACCCCAGUGAUCCAAAGAUUUCUGGGGCUAUGGCUCCUGCUGCUCCCAACAUUGCAAACCUUCCGUUGAUCACUUCGCCGUAUGCCAACCAUCUUGGCUCGAUGAACCCUCCUGUGCCUUCGGGAUCAGAUAGCCCCAGUGGGUCAAACCCGAAAUCGCCUGGCAGACUAAAUCAAAACCACCAAAGUAAUUCAAAUUAUCACCCAGUAACUUAGUUUAAAUUUGUAGAAAAGCUUUUUGACUUUAAGAAGAUGGUUUAUUUUAAACCUUUAUUUGAUAAGAUUAUUGUUACUUAGAAUAUGAAAAAUAAUAAGAAGUGAUAGAACUUUUUGUAAUACCUUCCAUCCAAGUAAGAAAGACUUUGUUUUGAAGCGAACCAGAGUUGCCUGUCUGCUCCUUGCUGCAAUAAUAACAAUAAUAAAUCUCACAAGUUGCAACUAAACUACUUAACCCGAAUACGAUUUGAACUAGGAGAAAGUAGAAAGAAGUUAUUUCUCCCUUCUUCAAUAAUGAGCCCCUGCUCAAUCACUACUCAAAAACUAAAUUAAGACUCUGGUGACGAUUAGUUUUUUAGUUUUAAAAUUAUAAUUUAUAACUACUACUUCACCUGUACGUCUCUUGGUUUUGUUGUCCAUUUUCUAUAAAUGUUUUAAAAUACCAAACUGAAAUUCAAAAAUUAAAAAGACAGUAGCUCUCAAAUGUUUUUGUUGUUAGGAUGGAUGGAAGUAAGAGGUCAAGUCUUUCACCAACAAACGUCAGAACCAUAGUAUAGAUUUAGAACAAAAGAAACAUAAAUUUACAUUCUAAACACUCUUUCAGAUGCAGAGCUUGAAAAGUAGAAAAACUCAUUGAACACAAGAUCUUUCCACUAUAAUAACCAUAUUAAACUUGGUGAGUCAACAACCCACCCGCAAGACAAUAGAUAAAAAAGAAAGAAAGGAAAAGAAAAGCAAC